UUCAUCAUUCUCAUAAGUAGAGUGUACCAUUCAAGCCAAGCAAGCAGUGGUCAAUACAAAUCCACCAUGAAGACCUUUCUCAUCUUUUCCCUCCUUGCUAUCGUGGCGACCACUGCAACAACUGCAGUUAGAGUUCCAGUGCCACAAUUGCAGCCGCAAAAUCCAUCUCAGCAACAACCACAAGAGCAAGUUCCGUUGGUGCAACAACAACAAUAUCCAGGGCAGCAACAACCAUUUCCACCACAACAACCAUAUCCGCAGCCGCAACCAUUUCCAUCACAACAACCAUUUCUGCAGCCGCAACCAUUUCUGCUACAACUACCAUAUCCGCAGCCACAACCAUUUCCACCACAACAACCAUAUCCACAACCGCAACCACAGUAUCCGCAACCACAACAACCAAUUUCACAGCAACAAGCGCAACAAGCACAACAACAACAACAACAACAACAACAACAAUAACAAUAACAACAACAACAAAUCCUUCAACAAAUUCUGCAACAACAACAACUGAUUCCAUGCAGGGAUGUCGUCUUGCAACAACACAACAUAGCGCAUGCAAGCUCACAAGUAUUGCAACAAAGUAGUUACCAACUGUUGCAACAAUUAUGUUGUCAACGGUUGUGGCAGAUCCCCGAGCAGUCGCGGUGCCAAGCCAUCCACAAUGUCGUUCAUGCUAUUAUUCUGCAACAACAACAACAACAACAACAACAACAACAACAACAACAACAACAACAACCGUCGAGCCAGGUCUCCUACCAGCAGCCUCAGCAACAAUAUCCAUCGGGCCAGGGCUCCUUCCAGCCAUCUCAGCAGAACCCAUAGGCCCAGGGCUCUGUCCAGUCUCAACAACUUCCCCAGUUCGAGGAAAUAAGGAACCUAGUGCUGCAGACGCUACCGGCAAUGUGCAAUGUCUACAUCCCUCCAUAUUGCUCGACCACCAUUGCGCCAUCUGGCAUCUUCGGUACUAACUGAGAAGAGAAGAACUUGUACUAGAUAUAUGAAACACCGUUUCCUUAGUCCAUGGUUUGGUCGUUGUAGCGGUGACAAAAUAAAGUGACAUGCACUAUCAUGUAAGAACCCGAACUAUACUAGUUCAAACUUGGGAAUAAAAGACAAACACAUGUCUUGUCUGCAUAUGAUUGUUUGUUUGAGUUCCAUUCAUGUGCCCGUUCACAAGUUCACCCCUAAUUAUAUAUAUUACACAAUAAGUAGAUAUUUAUGUUUCAUUAAUCUAAAUAUAACAAAAUGAGUCUGAAACUUGAAUUAAAUUGAAGUAUUUUCUUGGACUUUCAAAUUAAGUAUUAUUAAAGUAGUAAGGACUAUCCACAUCCUUGGCUUGCCCUUGAUCAAUUAUUUCCAGAGAAGCAUUCAAUUCAUCAAUCAAUUACAUUGGUUUUUGUGACUGGUACUUCUCCUCAUCAUGAGUAUCAUUGCGACUACUCCAAAUCGCCCACAUAACCGAAGCAUUAAUAGCGCUCUUCUUGCAUCAAGGAAAUAUGGAUCGAAGAUAUCACUUGACCAUGUUUCCGGGUGCAACCUUGGGAGUUUUAUGUCAGAAUAUUCUCAAGGAGAAUCCAAGAAUAAACUUGCAUGCUCAUGUGUGAUAAGGGCAUAUGAAGUAACAUUUCCUCCCCAUGGCCACACAUAGGGCACACACAUAACCCCAUCACAUGCCUUUUUAGUUAUGCAUAUGAAGGUAGGAUGUUUUUAAUUACUCUCCACCAAAAUACUCUUAACUUGGCUUGUACCCUAAGCUUUCGUUGCCUUUUCAAUUUCUCUUCCCCACUAGACAAACUAGACAGUCCAUCUACCACACCAUACCUUGUGUCCAUCAUGGCUCUGUACAACAAUUGAACAGGACAAAUGUCAUUUCUUUACGAUACCCACGACCAAGUGUCCUCUGCUGGGUUGUUUGGUCGUGGCAUAUUAAGGAUGGACACCUCAUCUGAUGGGACAAACACCUAACGAAUGAAAGGAGUGUUCCAGCCGCCCAUGUUUUUCUUCUCGAUAAGAUGAGCUACAAGUUGGACUGGAGUUUCUCAUGCACCAUAGUGGUUUCAUCAGCGGCAUGCCCUGCACACAUUUAUCAUGCCAUAUCUUUGUAGUGUGCAUUCCCAAUUUAUCACAACAUACCCUCCUUCAAACCUUUUUGCCUUUCAGAAUAGCACGCCAAGCUAGCGAUGCACUAUGCAGUAACCCACAUUUGAAAAAAAAAGAAUCUCAUUUCAUGGUAUCUUCCACGAAGGACCCUCGCACAUGAGUUAUCUAGAUAGAAAUAGCCAUGUAUGUUUAGCAAACUUUGCAUAAGUGAAUAGAUCAAGGUCGUGGAAACCCAAGCCUCCAAUUACACCCAGCCUCUCUACCAACAAGAUGUCCAAAGACAUCAAGGAUACACAAAGCCAAAAAAGAAAAUAAAAAGAGCAGAAGAAAAAAAAUACCCUGCCAUGGUGAUCAAUCACUAGAAUCAACAGCACUCUAACCACCACCGAAGACAAUGCCCGAAUUACAAAAAAGGUUCUCCAAAAGCAACGCCCCCAAGAAGGAAACAAUGCACAAGCAUUGUCGUUGCCCGAUCGAAGAUCAUGGGUUUUCACCCUGGAAAAAUUUCGAGUUCACUAAAAAAUAAUGCCUUCAACAAGGCCAUUGCCAAGUACAACCAAUAAGGGCCAGACCUUGGGUUUCCACCAUAGGAAUUGAGACUCGAUACUCGAGGAGUACCACCAAAAAUGCAGUCCGCAAGUGUUGCCGCCCCCGCUUGCUGAGGCCGCUGUUGCAAGUCACCAACCACCUGUCAUACAUUUGUCGUCGCAUCCAAUACACCCUUCCGCUGAAGCUUCAAGACCUCCAACCGCAGCCGCCAUGACUUUCUCCUAGUCUAUCAAUGCCUUGAGAAUCUUGAGUUAGACAUGUCCAAUGACAUAAAUAAGAAAUCGAAGCUUCGUGCCACGUCCUCUUGAGGCCGUGUUGGCUGAUAAUAUUAGCGUGCAUGACCGGAGCCUUUCCGAUCUAGAUAUCCAGGGGCGACAUACACCAAUCCAUAUAGAUCUCCGCUCGGUAAGACCGAAACUCAUCAACGGCCAGAUCCAAGAGGUCGACAUCCGGUAGAAAGAUGACUUGGCGGAAGAAGAGCAUCAGGGCCAAACCGCCAUUAUUAGUCCGAAGCUAAUAGCCUCCACGCCACCCUCCUCUCGAUCCAGACCUGCAGAAAAUGAUCAACAACGCCGCGCCGUGCCACUCGCAUCCAUGGAGGCUUGAACUUGGCAAGACGCGAACCAUGGCUGGAGACGGGGACCAGCCACUCCUGGCCGGAUCCGGUGACUCCUAGUCCCACCACUGCCACUACGGCGGCACCGCGUGUAGCCUACAAGCCCAUCCAUGAUGAUGUCUGAUUAGAUGGAUACAUGGAUAUACAGAUGAAAUGGCCCUCGUUAUCCCUCCAACAAUAUAUAUAAAGCUUAUUGGGACAUGAGAAAGCUCGCACAAUUUUAUAGUGGCUAUGGAAAUGUGUUGCCAGACAGAGAUAUAAGAUUUUCGUUUGGCAUCCAGACCGCUUGUGUCAUCCUUAAUCGAUGACCACUCUAAUUUUUCCGGCGGGCCUUCCCUGUGGUACUGCAGCCUUACAUGUGUAUGGAUUUCAUAUAGCUAUUCUGUCCAGUCGGAAAAGGAGACAACCAAAAUUACUUGGAGUUGAUAACUAAUAUGUUUCCUUUAACUACCACGUGCACGACGAGGAUUUACGGCACGCAAGUGCAGGGGCAGGUACUGGUGCCGCCUUUUUAUUCUAGCCUCCAAUUUUCAAAUUUCUAUAUCUUUCAAACAAACAAAAUCAACUUAAGUUAUGUUUUCAUAUUCGUAUUUCUUGCCGCCAGCGCUUUGAAAUAAUAUUCAUUUUGAAUAUAUUUUGGCAAUUUUUAAACACAAUGUUAAUUUCCAUUGUUUAAAACUUAGUACGAGCGACCGAUAAUAUUCAAUUAUUUUGUGUCUCUGACCAACAGAAAAAAAUGCUUGAAAUUGCAUCUUUGAAACUUGUUGAAACUGGGCAUUUUCUAAUGCAAAAGCGGUAAGUUUUCAUCGUUGAAACUUAAAGGUUUUUGAUGGAUUUUCUUCUUUACUGUGCCCUACUUCAUGAAUCGUGAGACAAAUCGAGCAGGUGGCAGGGCUUGGCCAGUGAGUGCCCUUGCACUUAGGUGCCCCAGCGAAUUUCCACUUGCAUCGUAGCAUUCUUUUUCCGAGUCCUGCGAACGAACGAUGGUGCAUACAAAAAGUCUAUCCUAUAUGCGUACAUGUGCAUGAUCAAAACAUGUUUGUACGUGCAUCUGCUAUAAAUCUCGACCAUUUUGAACACAAAUCAUGACCAUUAAAAUACAUGAUUAGUGGAUCAUACUAUCGUAACCUAUGUGAGAUCAUGUGGAGUAAUAUAUUAUAGUAUAUAGAUAGAUCUAUGUUGUAUUUUUUUUGUUAGAAAAAUAUCUGUCAUUACAUAUUUAGAUUUAUGCAUCUGUUCUUGCCAAAAAAAUCACUAACAUUUCACAGUGGAAAGUUUGUAAUUAUAUCAUAUUGAACACCAAUGUUUUCCCGCAAAAGAAAAUAAUGCCUAUGCAUAUGCUUUUAUAUUAUUAUUAUUGUUUCAAAUAUAUCCAUAUAUUAUUUUUGGUUGUACAACCAUAAUUUUCUUAUCCCUCUCGUUCCACUAAAUGCUCCUAGUCACUGAAUUAUAUACACCAAAUAAACCCCUUUGCACGUCGUUAAUGACCAAAAAAAGUUGAUGCUGGCUAUGUUCUCUGAUGUCAGCAUGAUAUCAUAUAUAGUGAUUAGCAUGAACGAAUCCCUUUGACUCAUGCGUACUCCCUUUGGAAAGAAAUAUAAGAGUGUUUACAUAACUAAAGUUGUGAUCUAAACACUUAUAUUUCUUUAAAGAGGGAGUAUAAAUUAAGAAGUGCAAGAUAAAGAAAUGCUGGUCCUUGAUUUGUUGUUGACUCUUAUAUUCUUUAGGGAGGAAGUAUAAAUUAAGAGCUAUAGCUAUCUAACCUAAACCGACUCAAACAACUACUCCUGGCCACACACACGUUGGAACAUAACUAGGACACGGGCAGCAUGCAUGCUAAUUCCUAAUACUACACGGCUUGCAAAACGGUCACCCCACGUACAUCUCAACUUACCUAGUUAAUUAUCCGGCCAGCUUGAUCACAAUUACACCAAACUAACUCAGGCAUUGUUUGGAUUAUCCCAACAAUCACCCCUAAUCCAAACAUCCGUCUCUUUAUCCGACGACACACGAGACACGCAGACGACCACCUGUUCAUCUUGUCAGGCUGGCUGCCUCCGGUGACGCAACUUACCGGACUGCAACUUCGCUCUCCUUGCAAUGAUGAUCACAACUUCAUCUCACCGCAACUUCGUUUGCAUACCAACUCAUAGAUUUUAACCAAUGAAUACCCGGACUACCAGCCACGCUGUCACAUCUUAGCGUGCUACAUGCAGACUAAACACAUAGCCUCAUGCAUGAACUCAACUUAACUGGUGCGUGUCCAUCUUCACGUUGAUCUUCAUCUUCUCAUCGGUUGAAUGCACGCGGGGAGGCACAACUCUUCACCCACCACAUCUCCACUUUCCCAUCAUCGUUGGUGACACAACUUACCAAACAACGCUCCCUGUCGAGCGGCAAUACAACUCGCCAUAUACGUGCAAUCACUAGUAAAAAACCACCCAUUAGUCCCGGUUCGUAAGGGCCUUUAGUCCCGGUUCAGGAACUGGGACUAAUGGGCCGUUACUAAUACCUCAACCCAUUAGUCCCGGAUCAAACACGAACCGGGACCAAUGUGCCUCCACGUGGCCCUGUUCAUCUUCGCUCUCCUUGCAAUGAUGAUCACUACUUCAUCUCACCGCAACUUCGUUUGCAUACCAACUCAUAGAUUUUAACCAAUGAAUACCCGGACUACCAGCCACGCUGUCACAUCUUAGCGUGCUACAUGCAGACUAAACACAUAGCCUCAUGCAUGAACUCAACUUAACUGGUGCGUGUCCAUCUUCACGUUGAUCUUCAUCUUCUCAUCGGUUGAAUGCACGCGGGGAGGCACAACUCUUCACCCACCACAUCUCCACUUUCCCAUCAUCGUUGGUGACACAACUUACCAAACAACGCUCCCUGUCGAGCGGCAAUACAACUCGCCAUAUACGUGCAACCACUAGUAAAAAACCACCCAUUAGUCCCAGUUCGUAAGGGCCUUUAGUCCCGGUUCAGGAACUGGGACUAAUGGGUCGUUACUAAUACCUCAACCCAUUAGUCCCGGAUCAAACACGAACCGGGACCAAUGUGCCUCCACGUGGCCCUGUGCGCCGAGCCCAGUCAGGGGGCCUUUGGUCCCGGUUGGUGGCUCCAACCGGGACCAAAAGGCAUCCACGCGUCUGCAUUCCAGUGGCUGGGGUUUUUUUUUUGAAAGGAGGGGGGUUGGGGGUUUUGGGGGGUUAAUUUAGGUGUUUCGUAUAUUGUGUUAGCUAGCUAAUCAAUAAAGAGAAGUGUCCUCUCUUAUGUCCGUGCUUGGUCGACGCUACGUAGUAUAUAUACAUAAGUGAUCGAGAGAACCAUUUAGUACAGAAGUUCGUCAUGCAUACCGAGAGAAGUGAUCGAUCGACCUCUCCUUCUCCGAGAGAUUGGUCGAACAACAAGUUUUUUACUGGCUACAUACAUGUACAAUCUAUAUAAGAUCUCUUAAUUACAAACCCCUAGCAUUUGAAAUCAACUUCCACAUGGUAUUCUCCGGCUUUACUGAUGACGUGUUCAAGAAAAAAUCCCGCCAAUUCCUCUUGAAUUGCUUUCAUGCGAUCUGGUGGUAGGAGUUCAUCCCGCAUCUGCCACGUCUAAUUAAUUUGAAGAAGGGGGUUAAUUAAUACAUAUAUAUGAAUGAAACUCAACAGAAAUGAUGGUGUAAUAAAAUGAAAUUGUGAAUAUUAUUGCUUACGCACUUCAUAUUGUCUUCUAGAGUAGCCCCGCUUGUUUUUCAAAGUCGCGUUGUGGAUGAACUCGCACACAUAGUAUCCACAGAAAUCAUUCCCUUCCUCCUGCCACAAGCACUUUACGAGAAAUAGAGGUCAAUCAAACUGAUAAUGAAGCAUUAUAAAUGGCAUUGAUGAAAGUAUAGCUAUAAAAUCAACGGGAGAUGCGCGCAACUAGCUAGCCAGUAGUACUUACUUUCGGGUAUAAAUAUCGCAGCUCCUUCGGCAGUCCCGGAGCUUGUGCGGUGAACUGUUUCCAAACCCUGCAAGACAAAGACAAUAAUUAUUAUUACUUGAGAUAUCAGGAAAUGAACAAAAAGUUGCCGAUAUGGUGCGAUAAUGAUCGAUUGAACUUACUUGCUGAGCAUUUCAGUCAUGUCCGCAUAGGUGCUGGGAUCUUUCCGUCUGGAGUCUAAGACGGUUACUAGUCCACGCUCAAGCUUAAUCUCCAGAAGAAUAUAGUGGUACCUGCACACACAUGCAUAACUCAUCAAUUACAUUAACCUCGCUUGAGUAAUAAGGGAAACCAAAUAUGCACAUGACAGUAACACUCACGGGCCGUUGUAAGGAAAGAGUAUGGUAUCUUUGUUUUGAUUUUUGAUUAACGAUUGUAGCAAGUUGUCCUCGGCCUCUUCGACGUUCUUUUCAACCAGAAAUACAUCUAUGAUAUUUGUGUUAAUGAACCCAAUAUCAUAGAUUUCAUUUUUUUGCACUCGACGAUCUUCAAUCUGCAUAAUAUAUUGAGGAUAAUUAAUUAUAAAUACAUGCAAUGAAAGAGCCGAGCUAUAUAUAGAGACUAAUGACAGAAAUAGUACUUACAGGCAGUAGCAAAAGACCAUUAAUUUAUCGAGGGCCUUUUGAUUGAAGAACUCAAAGAACUCCUCAAAUGGAACAGACAACACAUCAUUUGAAACGAGGUCGUGCUCCUCUUUAAUUUUCAGAUACAAACUGUUCGUCCCCUCAGACUCUCUGCAAGUUUUCAUGUACCAGUUAUGGAAUCUUCGCAUCAUUGUUGUCAGAGAUUUUUCAUCUUUGACGAGAGGCUUCCCGUACUCGUAUCUGAAUACGUCCACCUUCAUGAAAUCAGGAAGUGCAUCGUCAGGCAGGUAAUCUUCAAGAUUGCCAUAACCGGCCACCGUCCCCGGAGGAUUAGACACAUUGAGCGGGGGGCACGAUUGAUGUGCUUGUUCGCCGAGCCGGGCAAUUUUUUCCCCUUUGCUCGUUGUUCUUUUGACCUUUUAUCACUAACAGUAGUUCCCGACCGCUUGGCUUGGAGAUAUGUCUGUUCAGUAAUGCGCUCAUAGUUGGUUCUCGGCGGAGACUUUGGUGGUUUCCUCAGGGCAUCGAGAGUGCGCUUUGCUUUCACCGGAUCUACCUUCUCCUUCGGAGGUGGAUGUAUCUUUGCUUUCACCCCUUCAAAGAACUCCUUCACGUGGGCCUGCACGAUCGUAUUGUUUUCCUCGGUCCUCUCGUACGGUAACUUCUCUAGAGGCUUUAGAGGUGGACCGUAUCUGUAUUGCCUCUCUCUUCUUGUGCUGCUAGACGCCGGAGCAGACGGAGCGGCUGCGGCGUCUGUCUUCUUUCAUGCUUGCUUACGAGGCGGAGGAGAAGGACUACGACGCGCCGGGGCAGCGGCAGGUCUCUUCCGCCCUUGCUGGCGAGGCGGAGAAGGAGGAGGCGGAGUGCCGCCACGCGCCGGAGAAGGAGGCGGAGUGCCGCCACGUGUGCCCUGAUCGUCACUCGCCGGAGGAGGAGGCGGUGGAGGAGGCGGAGUGUGUCAGGACCCCGACUCAAUGCCACAUCGAUCUAGCAUGUAACACAUCAUAUGACUUUGCGGCCUCACGCACGGUAUUCCCACGGGUGUCGCCUUACCUUUGCCCGGGACCGUUUGCGCCUUUUGGCACACGUAUAUGACAGUGUCGCUAGCAUCCAUAUGAUAAGGAGCCCGGGCUGACAUGGCUAGUCGUAAACCCAAAGCGGCACAGACUUACAGGGACAGGCAUCCAUGACCCAGCAUCGAACGUGUCGGUCAUCAGCGAGUGAAUCCAGGCUGUAGCACUGGGCUAGCAGGACUCCGGUGAACCGGGCUGUAGCGGGCUAACAGGACUCCGGUAUUCAUCGCGUGACAUUUCCCCGAAGGGACAGACACAGGAACGAAGAAGGACACAUGCCGGCCAGCCUAAGCGUUCCGGAGCAGUAGCAAGCUACCAUGGCUCGGUGGAAACACUAGGAGACAUUUCCCCGUAAGAGAGGCUACUAAAGAUAAACAACUAGAUGGUCAGAUCCCACACAUACCAAGCAUUUCGAUAACAUACACACAAUAUGCUCGAUAUGUGCAAAUACAACAUGGCAUCACAACAUGACUCUAUGACUCAAGUAGUUUAUUCAGUAGGCUCCGAGGAGCGAGAUAUUACAAACAUGGGUCUCAUGACCCAACACUCAGAGCAUACAAGUCAAAACACAAGCGGAAGCUAUCAUGUCUGAGUACAGACAACUAUAAAUGAAAAAGGCUGAGAAGCCUGACUAUCUAUCAGAUCCUGCCGAGGGCACAAGAUCGUAGCUGAGGUAUCAAGCUAAACGUCGAAGACCACGCGGAAUUACUAGUGAGACUGAAGUCUCUCUGCAAAAACAUAAAAUAGGCAAACGUGAGUACAAAUGUACCCAGCAAGACUUACAUCAGAACUAUCUACAUAUGCAUCAUUAUCAACAAAGGGGGUGGUGGGGUUUAACUGCAGCAAGCCAGCUUUGACUCGGUGGCUAUCCUAAACUACGACUGCGAGUAACUCUUUUGAGGUGGCGCACACGAGUCCACAUAUUCACCAUAUCAAUACACCACUAUGGAUCCGCUCCCGUCUCCCUACGAGAACGCCAUCCAUAGCACUCACGCUUAUCUUGCGUAUUUUAGAGUAUCCACUUUCACUUGUCUAUGAACUGAUAUAAGCAACCCAGAAGUCCUUUUCCGUGGACACGGCUAUUCGAAUAGAUUAGGUUAACCCUGCAGGGGUGUACUUCUUCAUACAUGUUUCCACCACUUAGCGUCUGCACACGACAUGUGCUCGGCAGACUUCAAGCGAAAGCCGACGUGGGUGUAGACCACGACCUACCUAAACACUCAAGUCUCUAGUCCAGGUUUAUCGCCUAUUCGGGUUCCAUCCAUGAGGAGAUCCGGCCGGAGUUUUGCUCACAGCCCCAAACGAUGUGAACAGGGUUCCCGAGAUACCAAACGGGCAUCCGGUACACCGUGCCACGUACCUACCGCAUCACAGCCCACCCCUACGGUCAGCGCUGUCCACGGCCUCCAGUAAGCUACAAACACCAGAAACUACUUGCAACUCCUGGACAGAGGACAAGGGUGAAUAAGAAGUCGAGCGGGGUCAUAUUUCAGGGCCCAAUGUAUGGUAGUAGCUGAAUCAUGGAUCACAAACACAGAACUCAGUUCCUAAGGACGGCUUCAAUGAGACAACCCACCAUGUACUCCUACAUGGCCUCUCACCGCUACCUUUACCAAAUCGUGUUCACACACUUAGCUCACACACAGUAGGACAUGUUCACACACCUCUGAUUCAUCCCCGAUGAAUCAGACCUGACUCAACUCUAAGCAGUAGCAGGCAUGACAAACAAACAUGAAUGAGUAGGCACAUCAGGGCUCAAACAACUCCUACUCAUGCUAGUGGGUUUCAUCUAUUUACUGUGGCAAUGACAGGUCAUGCAGAGGAUAAAGGGGUUCAGCUACCGCAGCAAGUAACAGAUGAAUCGGUGUUGUCCUAAUGCAGUAAAAGAGAGCAGGAGCGAGAGAGUAGGAUUGUAUCGGAAUGAACAAGGGGGUUUUGCUUGCCUGGCACUUCUGAAGAUAACAUUGAGUCUUCAUCAGUGUCAACGAUCACAUCAUCGGUACACGUCUAUCGAGAGGGGACAAAUACCGGCAAAUACAGAAAAGACACGAUCAAUGCAAUGCACAAUAUGAUGCAUGCUAUGACAUGGCAAUAUGAAUGUGUUUUGGGCUAAUGCACCUAAAACCAGAUUAAAUGAAGUUGGUUUGAAUACAAGAUUCAAAUUCAAACUCCGUAUGUGAUUAUUCAAAUGUCAUUCACUUCAUUUGCCCUAAACAGUAGUGAUAAGUUGUUCUAACAUGCAUGAAAAUGGUACAGAUGGAUUCCUUGAAUUUUUCUGAUAAUUUUUCAUAUAUAAUUUAUUUCAUUUGGAGUUACGGUUAAUUUUCUAUGAUUUUUGGAAGUUUUAGGCAUUUUCUGGAAUUUAUAAAUCAUUUAAGAAUUAUCUAAAUUCCAGAAAAUACUUAUCGCGUCAGCCUGACAUCAUCAUGACGUCAGCAGGUCAACGGGGCGCCUCCAGGUCAAACCUGACCAGUGGGGUCCACUGGUCAGUGACUAACUAACUAACCUAAUUUAAUUAGAGCCGGGGCCCGCAUGUCAGUGUCAGCAGAGGGGGUAAUUAGUUAAAAUAGGCUAAACUAAUUAGCAGGGGGGCUGGCCCCACCUGUCAUCGACCCAGGGGGGGUCAAACCCCUGGUCAGCGGGGCCUAACCCGCCGGCGUCUAGCCGCCGGCAACGACCAGACGCGGCGGAGGCUCGGGAAUCGCCCACAGAGCACGAUUCGAGUUGCGGCUAGGCGCGCUAGAAAGCCCGCGAUGCGGCGCAUCCAGUGGUGACCGCGGUGUGUGCUGGGGCAGCGUGUAGGGGCGGUGGUGACGGGCCGGGCGGCUGCCGGAGCUACGGCUGCACGGGCGCGAGGGCUGCAGCGCAUUAGCCAGUAAGCAGAGAGGCGCAUCGGGAUCCUAGGGACUGGGCGAGCACGCGGGAGCUACUGGAGCGAGCGGAAGAGCGCCGGGACGUGAGGUCCACCGGCAAUGGCGAUGGCUGGAGCUCGGUGCUUGCGGGGAAGGCGGCUACGGCACGGGAACGAGCAGAAAAGGAGGGGGAAAACGAAGAAGAUCUUACGGCGGUCCUGGAGAUCAGCACGGGAGGCUCGGGGACGGCCUGGCUGCAGCCAAUCGACGACGGAGGGGUCCGGCGACCGGCGGUGAAGAAGAUGGCAAUUGCGUUGCUUCGGUGCCUCCGGGCUCGCGAGAUUCACCGGAGAGGAGCCGCUCGAGGUAGCAGAGGCGAUGGACGACUCGAGGAGGCGAGGCGUGCGCGGUGGCUACAGAUACGGUUGACAGCGGCGAGAGGCGUGCUCGGGGCUGCGAGAGAGAGGGCAGCAGGGGAGAGAGGAGCCGACAGGGAGGGAGUGAGAGGGGGUCGGGGGUGUCGUGGCGUCGCGGAAAGCGACCAGGGCGACGAGGGGGUAGCCAGGCAGGCAAGGAGGAGCUGGCGCGGCUCGCCUGCGCGCCGGGCACGCAGCUGCUUCGGGGCGAGGGGAGGAAGACGACGGAGGGUAGCGGUGGCGGGCUGGGCCGGCCAGGUGGGGGAGCUGGGCCGGUCCCGAUGGACCACCAGGUAAGCGCCAGGUAAGAUGCUUUGCUCUUUUUAUUUUAUUUCUAUUUUAGUUACUGUUUUCUAUUUUCUGUAAUUGUGUUUGGAUUUAUUAAAAAUGCCAGAGCAUUUCCAAAAAUCAUGCAACUGACUGUGGCCACUGUUUGGAAUAUUUCCAGCAGUAAACAUUUCAGUUUGUGAUUAUUUGAGCAUUUAAAAUAUUAUUAGCAAUUAAAUGCCCAAAUGCAAAUACUAUAUAAUUUAAUUCAGAAAUCCAGGAAUAGCCUAUAAUUAUGUUCAUCAUUUUUUUGGAAGAGGUUUUCACCUCUAAUAGAAAUUAUGAACAUUUCCAAAGGGCAUUCUGGGUUAUUGAAAAUAUUUUUAUUGAACCUAGUUAAAUUUCAUUUGGUACUAGGGUUUCAACAAUCCCCAUUUCAAAUUUCUUUGGAAUUUAAACAUGAUGGCAUGAUGAACAAGCAAAGUCAAGCAAGGGCUGAACUGGGGCUGUGACAACUCACCCCCACUAAACAAGAAUCUCGUCUCGAGAUUCAAGCGUAGGGUAAGGUGAAGGGUAACGCGGACUAGUAUAAUCUUCACGAUCCAGGGUGCACUUCAUAGGAACGUUGAUUAGAACACCAUCUUUGUCUUGUCGUCUUGCUCUGAGAACUCCAGCUAAUCAUGAAAAGAAGAGGAAAGGAAAACUCUAGAAGGAUCGGUCUUCUCGAAGGUCGAACAACUCAGGAUUAACUCACGGAAUGAGACAUAGAACCAUCUCUCGGUUGAGACACGAGAUACACAUCAAGAGGGGGGGGGGGAAAGAAACGGAUGACGAAGGUUCACUAGGUAGACAACAAUUCCACACCUAAGAAAGUGGUAAACGAUUGUCAACGUAGCGAGGAGUUGAGUUGCCAUGAUACCACGACGAAACAUCCUGGAGGAGGGUGAUUCGUAGAUUAUUAUCUUAAGUGGCAAAAGAAUUACUUUUGAUUCAGAGAUCAUUGGAACUCUUUAUACCAGCCUAAGGUAAUCACAAGCGAUCAUUUGAAGGGGGUCGGUAGAAUGGCAUACUCGGACUUGGAUGAUGUGGAUUACCUUGUUGAAGACAACGUAAUGGAUGAAUUUGCUUAUCACCGGAGAUGGAAGAGACCCGUGGUAGAAUGGCACAUUGGCGGUGCAAGCUGGGAACAAAAUGCAAAUGCUGGGAAUGAUUCUGGUAACUGGGGAAGAACCCAACAAUAAAGAGUGAAUUCACUGUUGGAGUGGUUAUAGCAUAACCGAAGAAUCUGGGGCAAUCCCAGCUAGUGCCGAUGAUAAGACGUAGCGCUUGUGCGUGCUCUCAAGAACUUAAGCAUUUCCACAUUCAUCAAGGUUUUACCAACAUCCGUGUCAAGGGUCCGGUAGCACAACUUACUACCAUGAUGAAUGGUGAUGGAGGAUGCAGAUGCAAAGGAAGAUAACACUUUCUCAGUUUUCACCUUAGCGAGGCCAAGGAAACAAAAUCUGGAUGAUGGACCGAGAGACAUUUAGCACUCCGCUUCUAAUGUUCUCCUUGACGUGCUAGUGUAUCCCAUUCAUAGAUAUGGUUUGAUAACUAGAACAUCAAGUAAAAGGUCGAACUUCGGGAACACAAUAAUCAUAAGGCACAACUAGGAAGUAAAUCCUACGAAGUCCUUAUGGGAAGGUGGCCAACUGCUUCAAUCAAGAUACCACAAUAAUAGGUCCUUCGGCUGGGUGGUGCUGGCCACGACAUCCACUUUACCGGUUAUCGAGGGACCAAUAUUAUAGUUCUUGGGAAAUGUUCCAAACCAUCAUAUCUGCCUGAGAUUCAGAUCUGGUUGGUGUCAGGAUAUUCCAGACUCAUCGAGUCUAGGAAGAAAAUGAAAGUUUGCAACACAAAUCGACGAGAUGACGUUGCGGGAUUCUCGGGAGAUGAACUACGAUAGCAAGCUCCAAAACAUGAGCUGGUUCUGCUACAAACAUGUGAACAUGUUGUCCAAGACAAGCAUGAUCACAAGGUAGUCUUAUAAUAAAACACUACCGAGUUCAGGAGGGGGAACCAUCAUUAAUGACAUCGAAGUCUCCACGCGUGGAAGUCCAAAGAGUUCACCUUGGACAGACUCCUUUAUCUUUGAACAACUCAAUCAGUGGCUUGGUGUGCUAGGAUAUACAUAUAGAAUGGAGGUUGCAAAUCUCCAGACCACAGAAUACUUCGCACGUAUGCAUGACUGACUUGGGAUGAUUCCAGAGGAAGCAAAACCAACUUUCCCAAAUUCACGGCGGCAUCUUUCACCAAAUGCACGUGUAUAAAAGGAAGUCACUCCUUUCAUCAACAAAUACUUCAUGAGCUAGCAUGAAGAAAAUGCUUUCAAAAGUUUCCAACACUAGCUUAAUGUCCAACAAAAUUAUGGAGGAGAUAAGGAUGUUGUCAAUGGGCUCAACAACAAUUCAUCUGGGUUUCCUUUUAAAAGGAAUUCCAUAGUUAAGUGAACAAGUGAUAGCAUUGGUCAGGCCAAAGAUGUAAUGGUGUAUGCUCGAGGGAUCAACCACGAACAAGACAACAUUACGAGCAUCAUUGGUAUUGAUUUGAUUUGACGAUAGCCCACACUCAAAUCAAAGGAUUGAUAAGGCAAUAGGUCCAGCAACUGAUCACAGGGACCAACCGAUGAAGAUAUCAUAUUUCUUCAACACACACUACACAAGAAUAUCCCUUUGGAACGAACUAAGUCAGGCAAGCUUUUACCUUCCAACUCUCCAAGUUGUUGUCUAGCUUAACCAACUAGCUCAGGGAUAUCCAUCACAGAUUCUUGGAGAAAGGGUGGUUUACAAUAAACCAACUUGAUCACGAGCUCAACAUAGCGGUCAGGUGACAACCUGGUAGUACUUCCGAGAAGAUCUUCAGAAAAUCACGAACCACUGAUAUGUUACUAAGCUCGAGAACAAUCUUGCUUUUCGGGGCAAGAUGAUAUGAUCAAGUGAGCGAGGGCUUGACAAGAUCCUAAUUCAUCAAUCGAAGGGUGCACCGAAAUAAGGACUAGGUAGCACGAUCAGUCUUAGAAGGAUGAUUCAAAAACCAACAUACUAAGAAUGAAAUUAUUAUCCUUUAACUACCAAGCAACGAGGUUGCUGGGAGUAUUGAUCUCACACAUCACAACUCAUUUGUCGGUAUUCCGGUUGCAUCAACACGAGGGCCGAGGAAUGACUAAUGAUGGUGAGAAGUAUCACUGUACCAAGAGUUCAUAGGAUGGUGUGCAAUUCCUAUAACAAUCUCGAUAUAGAAUAAGGUAAUACUCCAAGGUAGAACAGAACCAAAAGCUGGAUUAGCAAUUAGAUCUGCGGAGCACAACUUCUUUGACCCAAUCCUGGAUAUGGAAGAGGUACUGGAGUUUGUUUCUCCAAGUCAUUCAAGACAGAAUGGCUUGACGGACCACAAGAGUAAUAGGCAUCGAUAAACGAACGCACGCAUACUCUUGACUAUCAAUUGAUAGACGAGGGUCAGAAUGCAACUACGGAGAACAACUCAAAGGAACAUAUAAUUUUCUGAGUUGUGGAUGCAUAGAUUAGUAUGUCGAACCAAGUUCAACAUAUUUUUUCCGGAUAACCCAUGCAGAAAGGUAGAACUGGCAGAGUCACGAUUUAUGAAUGGAGAACUCCUCAAGAGUACUCUAAUUGUGAUCUUUUGAUCCAAUAAACAUCUGCCAUAAGCGGUUCAUAGUAUUUGGAAGAAGGAAAUACCACGGACCUCGAGGACUAUCGCAAAGUUACUAAUAUCCUGAAGGAACUAGCAAACACUAUCAACAUGAAGUAAGUAGAGUGAAUCUCGGGUUCAAAGCCCAAGGAAUAGAAUACCUACUACUAAGUGGCAUCACGGGAUGCUUUCGAGAAUAAAAGCCAGAAUCAUCACACUGGGGAUCACAAAACAUUGCUAGAUUACUAGGUGACUCCCUAAACACCUAGGGCCAUAAUAGUAUCUCCAACAUAUAUGUCAAGGUAACGGAGUACCUCAACUCACUGAUUAGUGUGGUUAAUCUGGCCCAUGGGAACAUUGAAACAGGAAGAAAGGAUUUGCAAUUGCAUCAGACUACUUAAAAACCUGGGAUGACUCGGACAGCAUAACGGCUGUAAAUGCUCAGAAAAGAUUUGAGACAUUCACAAAAAUGGUGGCAUAACCACUCAGAAGCACAAUAUCAAGGUCUCGAGAUCAAUAAUUAACAUACAGAAGUAGUAGGAACUGAAACGAGGCUUAAGUCCAACAAUCUUAUAAGUCUACUGAUUAGUAACACGUGAUCCUGAUGGAAAGAAGAGAUAGCCUAGUUCUUAAUCCCCGCAGGAAAGAUAAGAUGACUCAGAUCAGAAGGCAUAAGGUAUAAGGAGUAAAAAGAGCCUUACGUUCCAUCCCACAAUCAAUUCCCUUAUAUAACUAAAGAAUUUCUAGACUCAACUUCGACCAGUUUGGCUUGGUAAUCCUACAGGCAGUCAAGCUCUGAUACCAACGCUGUCAGGACCCCGACUCAAUGCCACAUCGAUCUAGCAUGUAACACAUCAUAUGACUUUGCGGCCUCACGCACGGUAUUCCCACGGGUGUCGCCUUACCUUUGCCCGGGACCGUUUGCGCCUUUUGGCACACGUAUAUGACAGUGUCGCUAGCAUCCAUAUGAUAAGGAGCCCGGGCUGACAUGGCUAGUCGUAAACCCAAAGCGGCACAGACUUACAGGGACAGGCAUCCAUGACCCAGCAUCGAACGUGUCGGUCAUCAGCGAGUGAAUCCAGGCUGUAGCACUGGGCUAGCAGGACUCCGGUGAACCGGGCUGUAGCGGGCUAACAGGACUCCGGUAAUCACCGCGUGACAUUUCCCCGAAGGGACAGACACAGGAACGAAGAAGGACACAUGCCGGCCAGCCUAAGUGUUCCGGAGCAGUAGCAAGCUACCAUGGCUCGGUGGAAACACUAGGAGACAUUUCCCGGUAAGAGGGGCUACCAAGGAUAAACAACUAGGUUGUCAGAUCCCACACAUACCAAGCAUUUCAAUAACAUACACACAAUAUGCUCGAUAUGUGCAAAUACAACAUGGCAUCACAACAUGACUCUACAAUUCAAGUAUUUUAAUCAAUAGGCUCCGAGGAGCGAGAUAUUACAAACAUGGGUCUCAUGACCCAACAAUCAGAGCAUACAAGUCAAGGCACAAGCGGAAGCUUUCAUGUCUGAGUACAGACAUCUAUAAAUGAAAAAGGCUGAGAAGCCUGACUAUCUACCAGAUCCUGCCGAGGGCACAAGAUCGUAGCUGAGGUAUCAAGCUAAACGUCGAAGUCCAAACAGAACUACUAAUGAGACUGAAGUCUCUCUGCAAAAACAUAAAAUAGGCAAACGUGAGUACAAAUGUACCCAGCAAGACUUACAUCAGAUCUAUCUACACAUGCAUCAUUAUCAACAAGGGGGGGUGGUGGAGUUUAACUGCAGCAAGCCAGCUUUGACCCGGUGGCUAUCCUAAACUACGACUGCAAGCAACUCUUUUGAGGUGGCGCACACGAGUCCACAUAAUCACCAUAUCAAUACACCACUAUGGAUCCGCUCCCGUCUCCCUACGAGAACGCCAUCCAUAGCACUCACGCUUAUCUUGCGUAUUUUAGAGUAUCCACUUUCACUUGUCUAUGAACUGAUAUAAGCAACCCAGAAGUCCUUUUCCGCGGACACGGCUAUUCGAAUAGAUGAUGAUAACCCUGCAGGGGUGUACUUCUUCAUACAUGUUUCCACCACUUAGCGUCUGCACACGACAUGUGCUCGGCAGACUUCAAGCGAAAGCCGACGUGGGUGUAGACCACGACCUACCUAAACACUCAAGUCUCUAGUCCAGGUUUAUCGCCUAUUCGGGUUCCAUCCAUGAGGAGAUCCGGCCGGAGUUUCGCUCACAGCCCCAAACGAUGUGAACAGGAUUCCGUGACACCAAACGGGCGCCCGGUUUACCCGGCCACGUGCCUACCGCAUCACAGCCCACCCCUACGGUCAGCGCUGUCCACGGCCUCCAGCAUACUACAAACACCAGAAACUACUUGCAACUCCUGGACAGAGGACAAGGGUGAAUAAGAAGUCGAGCGGGGUCAUAUUUCAGGGCCCAAUGUAUGGUAGUAGCUGAAUCAUGGAUCACAAACACAGAACUCAGUUCCUGAGGACGGCUACAAUGAGACAACCCACCAUGUACUCCUACAUGGCCUCUCACCGCUACCUUUACCAAAUCGUGUUCACACACUUAGCUCACACACAGUAGGACAUGUUCACACACCUCUGAUUCAUCCCCGAUGAAUCAGACCUGACUCAACUCUAAGCAGUAGCAGGCAUGACAAACAAACAUGAAUGAGUAGGCACAUCAGGGCUCAAACAACUCCUACUCAUGCUAGUGGGUUUCAUCUAUUUACUGUGGCAAUGACAGGUCAUGCAGAGGAUAAAGGGGUUCAGCUACCGCAGCAAGUAACAGAUGAAUCGGUGUUGUCCUAAUGCAGUAAAAGAGAGCAGGAGCGAGAGAGUAGGAUUGUAUCGGAAUGAACAAGGGGGUUUUGCUUGCCUGGCACUUCUGAAGAUAACAUUGAGUCUUCAUCAGUGUCAACGAUCACAUCAUCGGUACACGUCUAUCGAGAGGGGACAAAUACCGGCAAAUACAGAAAAGACACGAUCAAUGCAAUGCACAAUAUGAUGCAUGCUAUGACAUGGCAAUAUGAAUGUGUUUUGGGCUAAUGCACCUAAAACCAGAUUAAAUGAAGUUGGUUUGAAUACAAGAUUCAAAUUCAAACUCCGUAUGUGAUUAUUCAAAUGUCAUUCACUUCAUUUGCCCUAAACAGUAGUGAUAAGUUGUUCUAACAUGCAUGAAAAUGGUACAGAUGGAUUCCUUGAAUUUUUCUGAUAAUUUUUCAUAUAUAAUUUAUUUCAUUUGGAGUUACGGUUAAUUUUCUAUGAUUUUUGGAAGUUUUAGGCAUUUUCUGGAAUUUAUAAAUCAUUUAAGAAUUAUCUAAAUUCCAGAAAAUACUUAUCGCGUCAGCCUGACAUCAUCAUGACGUCAGCAGGUCAACGGGGCGCCUCCAGGUCAAACCUGACCAGUGGGGUCCACUGGUCAGUGACUAACUAACUAACCUAAUUUAAUUAGAGCCGGGGCCCGCAUGUCAGUGUCAGCAGAGGGGGUAAUUAGUUAAAAUAGGCUAAACUAAUUAGCAGGGGGGCUGGCCCCACCUGUCAUCGACCCAGGGGGGUCAAACCCCUGGUCAGCGGGGCCUAACCCGCCGGCGUCUAGCCGCCGGCAACGACCAGACGCGGCGGAGGCUCGGGAAUCGCCCACAGAGCACGAUUCGAGUUGCGGCUAGGCGCGCUAGAAAGCCCGCGAUGCGGCGCAUCCAGUGGUGACCGCGGUGUGUGCUGGGGCAGCGUGUAGGGGCGGUGGUGACGGGCCGGGCGGCUGCCGGAGCUACGGCUGCACGGGCGCGAGGGCUGCAGCGCAUUAGCCAGUAAGAAGAGAGGCGCAUCGGGAUCCUAGGGACUGGGCGAGCACGCGGGAGCUACUGGAGCGAGCGGAAGAGCGCCGGGACGCGAGGUCCACCGGCAAUGGCGAUGGCCGGAGCUCGGUGCUUGCGGGGAAGGCGGCUACGGCACGGGAACGAGCAGAAAAGGAGGGGGAAAACGAAGAAGAUCUUACGGCGGUCCUGGAGAUCAGCACGGGAGGCUCAGGGACGGCCUGGCUGCAGCCAAUCGACGACGGAGGGGUCCGGCGACCGGCGGUGAAGAAGAUGGCAAUUGCGUUGCUUCGGUGCCUCCGGGCUCGCGAGAUUCACCGGAGAGGAGCCGCUCGAGGUAGCAGAGGCGAUGGACGACUCGAGGAGGCGAGGCGUGCGCGGUGGCUACAGAUACGGUUGACGGCGGCGAGAGGCGUGCUCGGGGCUGCGAGAGAGAGGGCAGCAGGGGAGAGAGGAGCCGACAGGGAGGGAGUGAGAGGGGGUCGGGGGUGUCGUGGCGUCGCGGAAAGCGACCAGGGCGACGAGGGGGUAGCCAGGCAGGCAAGGAGGAGCUGGCGCGGCUCGCCUGCGCGCCGGGCACGCAGCUGCUUCGGGGCGAGGGGAGGAAGACGACGGAGGGUAGCGGUGGCAGGCUGGGCCGGCCAGGUGGGGGAGCUGGGCCGGUCCUGAUGGACCACCAGGUAAGCGCCAGGUAAGAUGCUUUGCUCUUUUUAUUUUAUUUCUAUUUUAGUUACUGUUUUCUAUUUUCUGUAAUUGUGUUUGGAUUUAUUAAAAAUGCCAGAGCAUUUCCAAAAAUCAUGCAACUGACUGUGGCCACUGUUUGGAAUAUUUCCAGCAGUAAACAUUUCAGUUUGUGAUUAUUUGAGCAUUUAAAAUAUUAUUAGCAAUUAAAUGCCCAAAUGCAAAUACUAUAUAAUUUAAUUCAGAAAUCCAGGAAUAGCCUAUAAUUAUGUUCAUCAUUUUUUUGGAAGAGGUUUUCACCUCUAAUAGAAAUUAUGAACAUUUCCAAAGGGCAUUCUGGGUUAUUGAAAAUAUUUUUAUUGAACCUAGUUAAAUUUCAUUUGGUACUAGGGUUUCAACAAUCCCCAUUUCAAAUUUCUUUGGAAUUUAAACAUGAUGGCAUGAUGAACAAGCAAAGUCAAGCAAGGGCUGAACUGGGGCUGUGACAGAGUGCCGCCACGCAUGCCCUGAUCGUCACUCGCCGGAGGAGGAGGCGGUGGAGGAGGCGGAGUGCCCUGACUCGCCGGAGGAGGAGGAGGAGGCCGAGGCGUCCAUUUCAGAAGGUUGAUGAGCUCCUUCCGCCAUAGGCAUGGAGUCUUCAGAGCAGAACCCAGCCUAGUCUCCCCUUCACCGGUAGGGUGCUCAAGCGCGAGGUCCUCAAAUCCCUCCGUUAUUUCAUCCACCAUCACCUUAGCAAAUCCUUCUGGAAUCGGUUGGCAGUGAUAAGUUGUGCCGGGUCCACUAGGAUAAACUUGGCCAAUAGCCGCCUUGACCUUCAAAUUCAUCCAUCGCGCCAUAAUGUGGCAAUUUUGAGACUCUGUGAUACCAUCCACGGGAUAGCUGGCAGGAGCCGUCAAGACAUGCUCCGGCUGAAGCAUCUCGGUGGAAGCAACACUGCUUCUCCGCUGAGAUGGCGGGGUAGCUUCAGGGGAAGCUUCGGCAUGUUGUUUGUUGCGAUCUGCUGCUUCUCGUUCCUCUUCUUGAUCCUCUAGCCCCAUUACCCUUCCAAGCAGCGCCUGCAUUUGGUCCUGCUCCAAUUUCUUCCUCGUCUCGUGGGUUUUGUAACCCCCUGCGUCUGGAAAACCAACCUUCCACGGAAUGGAGCCUGGCGUGCCUCGUGUCCGUCUAGGGUGCUCGGGAUUCCCAAGGGCCAUUGUGAGCUCGUCCUUCUCCCUGUUUGGAAGGAACAUCCCUCGCUGCGCUGCAUCGAUAUAGUGAAGAAGGUUCUUGACUGGUGUUUGCAGUUGCUCGUCCGUCCACUGACACUUCCCUGUUACAGGGUCCAAGGUUCCGCCAGCCCCGAAGAACCAAGUCCGACAACGGUCUGGCCAGCGCAUUGUCUCUGGUUCGAUCCCUUUUUCAAGCAGAUCAUGCUCAGCCUUGGACCACUUAGGCCGGGCUUUGAGGUAGCCACCUGACCCCGUGCGAUGGUGAAGCUUCUUCUUCGCAGCAUUUUUCUUGUUUGUCUCCGACAUCUUCUUACUCUUUUCCGAUGUCUUGUGGGCCACAAAUGCGGGCCAGUGAUCUUUGAUCUUCUCAUAUUUAACGAUGAAUUCUGGUGUCUUUUUUUUUCUCGACAAACUGGUUCAGCUCUUUCCUCCACCUCCUCAUUAGGCUUGCCAUCUUCUUAAGAGCACAAGACCUGAUUAAUUGCUCUUUAACUGGCUUCUCCGGAUCCUCUGUCACGCCCAAGAUGUGGCCCUAUCCUAAAGGAACUCGAAGGUCCCACCAAGGAUAGAAGCGCAUCUUGAAGACGCUUUUGCAAGGUGGAUAUCAUUACAUCAACAUUACAUAAUAGAUGGGGAUACAUACAAGAGGCAUACAAUGCCACACGAAUACAACAUCAUACAUAAGAGAUCAACAUCCGACUACGGAUGGAACACAAAUAGAAACUCAAACAACAUCCACCCUGCUAGCCCAGGCUGCCGACCUGGAACCUAUCCCCUGAUCAAAGAAGAAGCAGAAGAAGAACUCCAAUACAAGCAAACAUCGCUCUCGCGUCAUGAUCAUCGCAUAACCUGUACCUGCAACUGUUGUUGUAGUAAUCUGUGAGCCACGAGGACUCAGCAAUCCCAUUACCAUGGGUAUCAAGACUAGAAAGGCUUAAUGGGAAAGGAAGGGGUAAAGUGGUGAGGUUGCAGCAGCGGCUAAGCAUAUAUGGUGGCUAACAUACGCAAAUGAGAGCGAGAAGAGAAACAAAGGAAUGGUCGUCAACUAGUAAUGAUCUAGAAGUGAUCCUGAGCUCCUACUUACGUCAAUCAUAACCCAGAAACCGUGUUCACUUCCCGGACUCCGCCGAUAAGAGACCAUCACGGCUGCACACACGGUUGAUGCGUUUUAAUUCGGAUCUGGUGUCAAGUUAUCUACAACCGAAAAUUAACAAAUUCCCAUCUGCCACAUAACCGCGGGCAUGGCUUUCGAAAUAUAAUACCCUGCAGGGGUGUCCCAACUUAGCCCAUGAUAAGCUUUCGCGAUCAACGAAGGAUAUACCUUCUCCCAGGAAGACCCGAUCAGUCUCGGAAUCCCGGUUUACAAGACAUUUCGACAAUGGUAAAACAAAACCAGCAAGACCGCCCGAUGCACCGACAUCCCGAUAGGAGCUGCACAUAUCUCGUUCUCAGGGCAACACCGGAUGAACACUACGUACAACUAAAACCAGACCUCAAGUUUCCCCGAGGUGGCGCUGCAAGUGGCUCUAGUUCGGACCAACACUUAGACAAGCAUUGGCCCGGGGGGGCUGAAUAAAGAUGACCCUCGAGAGAGCGACUCCCAAGGGAAAAGUAGGUGGUGGUGAGGCAAAUGGUAAAACCAAGGUUGGGCCUUGCUGGAGGAGUUUUAUUCAAAGCGAACUGUCAAGGGGGUCCCAUAAAUCACUCGACCGCGUAAGGAACGCAAAAUCCGGGAACAUAACACCGAUAUGACGGAAACUAGGGCGGCAAGAGUGGAACAAAACAUCAGGCAUAAGGCCGAGCCUUCCACCCUUUACCAAAUAUAUAGAUGCAUUAAUUAGAUAAGAGAUAUUGUGAUAUCCCAACAUAAUCCUGUCCAUCAUGGAGCAAUCUUCAACUUCACCUGCAACUAACAACGCUAUAAGAGGGGCUGAGCAAAGCGGUAACAUAGCCAAACAACGGUUUGCUAGGAAGGGUGUCAAAGGUUAGAGGUUCAUGGCAAUUCGGGAGGCUUGAAGAGCAAAUGAUAGGUAACGCAGCAUAGCGAUAGAACGAAGCAACUAGCAUAGCAAUGAUAGUAGUGAGAUCCAGGGUAGCGGUCAUCUUGCCUGAAAUCCCGCUAGGAAGAAGAACGAGUCCAUGAAGAAGACAAGCGGACGUAGUCGAACGAAUCCUCACAAUCGCAACAUUACCGGAACUAAGAAGCAACACCGGAAAGAAACAAACAACAUGGUAAAUGCACAAGCAUAAACAUGGCAUGAUGCACAAACAAGUAUGAUGCAUGUCCGGUUUAAUGAGGCAUGGCAAAAUGCAACAAACAAUACUACAAGUUAAGUGGAGCUCAAUAUGCAACGAGUUGCAUAUUGACAAAACACCACAUCAAUUAUUUAGUUCUCUCUCGGUUAUGCUACUCAUCAAUAUUAAAUUUUGUUAAACAUGGCAAGGGGUGAAGCAUAAUGAAACUACCUAACUAGGCAAGUUUAAAUGAGGCCGGAAAUAAGAAAGAACAAUUCCGGAAAAUCCUCAUGUGCAUAUUUUGAUUUGGUACUGUUCUGCCCUAAACCAUAUUUUAAGGUUGUUAAACAGGAAAAUAAAGUGCACCAUGUUAAACUAGGCAUUUUUCCACCCCAUUUACAUAUAAAGUUUAUUAAAAUUGGAGCUACGGUUAUUUAGUUAUGAAAUAAACCAUUUUAAUAUGGCAUUUGAGCAAAUUUAAACAAACAACAUUUUAAACAUUUUAAACAUGGAUGAAAAUAGCAUAUUAUUAAUCUACACAAAAUUCUAAGCAUUUUACAUGUUUAAAUCAUUUUAAUCCAAUGCACGGUUCAUGAGUUAUUAUAUGCAUGAUGCUUAGGGGUUUUUCUGUAAAACAGUAAACUCCUGGAUAAAUAGCAAAAUCGUUCCGCGGAAAAAAACAUGGAUAGGGCCGAAUCUGGACGGCCCAAAAGUGCAUAGGAGAGGGGGCGGGGGCUGCUCACCCUGGGCCAAGGCCCGGUUGGUGCAGCAGGCCGGUUGAGGAGGCGCUGGGGAAAGAGGCUGCUGGGCUGAUGCGGGUGAAGGGCGACGCGGUGGCCCAGGCACGCUGGCGGCGCGGUCAACGCGAGGCACGAGGGAGCGGGCGCCUCGUCCUCUGCUCGUCAGGAAGCAGAGCAGCGGCGGCGGGGUGCUCUCCAGCGAGGGCGCAACUUGGGAAGGCGGAGAGGAAGGUCGGCGAGAGGCGCAUGCGUCAGUUUCAACGACAACGCAGAUGAGGCACGGGAGGUCGACGCGGUCGUGCGUGGCUGCUGGAGCUUCUCGAGCAGAGAAGAAGUCAGCGAUGGCUGGGUCGUCGAGGACCUCGUCGGCGGCACGAGCAGGAGGGAAACGGCCAGGAUCCAAGGGGGAGGACGCACGGGCUCGUCUGUUUCUUGUCCCGGGCAAAGAGAGACAGAGAGAGGUGAGACAGGGAGAGGGAAAGGAAGAGAGGGCGCGAGGGAGGCCCGACGGCAUGACCUGGAGGAGCUGGUGAUCAUCGACGGUGAGACGAGGCGGGGGUCGCGAGGAAGACAGCGGAGCUCUGGAUCGGGAGGAGCUCGGCUCUCCUCGGGCGUUGCACAACGCGGAAGGGAUGCAGGGAGCAGCGGGAGGAGGAGGCGCGCACGGGAGGGGCGCCAUGGGUCUUGGGUGCGUGCUCGAGCUUGAGCAGCGAGCUCCUCUUGCUCGGACGCGGGCGUCGCAAGGACGAAGGACGGCGAGGUGGCGGCUCGGGCUUCGGUGGCAUGGUGAGGAGCUUAGGCAGGGAGGUGGAUCGAGGAGGGGAUGGAUUUGGGUUGGUUGGUGUUGAACGAGGGGGGAUUUGGAUCAGGGAGGAUCCCGAUGUAGAUGGUGGCGACGCUAGGGUAGGAUCCCUAGAAAUUAGGUGGUUUUUCUAGGUUAGUUAGGUGGGGUCUAUAUAUAUCAAAUGGAUUUUUGACAGGGGCAUUAGGUCCCUCCGAUCGUAAUCGGACGGCCGAAAAAAUAGGCUAGAGAGUCCAAAUAAGAAAACGGAGAUAUUUGAUAGACGUUUGGGGAUGAUCCGGAUCCAUCGGUAACGACAGACCUGUUCGGGUUCGGGUAAGAUUCGGACACGCACACGAGGGGUCUGAGAGAGGUCAACGAGGGCAAGGGCCUGCCAAAAUAACAACGGAGGCAAAGAGAGAAAGGGCAACUGCGAACGGCUACGAGUUUUUAUAAAAACAUGUGGAUGCAAUGCACAUGAUGCCAUGAGAUGAAAUGCAUGACAUGAACAAAAUGCAAAAACAAAAUACAAAAACCCAACCACGAAGGAAAAUAAAAUAUCACAUCUACGGAAAAGGCAAGAGUUGGAGUUAUGAAUGUGGAAAGUUGUAUCCGGUGCGUUACAACACUCCACCACUACGAGAGGAUCUCGUCCCGAGAUCUGGGAUGGCGCCGGAGAGAAAAACGGAAGAGCAAGAGAGAAGGUAAACCAAGUCGCUUCUUUGACGAACGAGUGAAACCACAAACCUUGAGAGGUUGAGCAAUUUAAAAGAAAGGGUACAACAGAGAUGAACGAGAUUGCAAACAACCCGGUAGAAAAGAGGAACAAGGAGUAUUACGAGAACAUGAAGGUUGAAAGACAUGGAAAUAAGAGCUUCAUGAACGAAAAGAAUAUGACAACCUCGGUAUAAUGAGAUAGCCAAGGAACAAGAAUGACCGAAUUUGGACAGCACUCCGGUAGAAAAGAGAAGAAAACUUGAUGAGAUGAAAAGACAUUGAAGAGAUGAUACAACACUCCGGUUAAAUGGAUAAGCAAGAAAAGAACACGAUCCUCACAAAACGAGGUGAUGUGUGAAGGGCGCAACAUCACAAUACCUCCGGAACGAAAGAAUAGAAGCUAGACCGUUGGGAUAAAGGGAUGGAGAAGAAAAUGACAACUUCUACCACAAUUGAAUUUGGAAGGCAUCCUUGAAAGAAGGUUAGAAUAGAGUUGUUGGAAGACCAACAACGAAAAGAAUAAGUUUGUAGUGGGCUUAUGGAAACAUCUCAACAUUAUGAGGUGACAACCGACCACUAAAGGAAACAAUUGCUAGCUUUAGAUCGACGAAGAGAUGAACACUUCUUCCACCAAGAUGAUAAAGAGAUAACUUGGAUCAUUGAUAAGCACCACAAAAGCAACAUUCCUUAGGGAAGGCUUUAGGUGAAAUAUGACACAAGAUAACUCCAACAACGAGGUUGAUGGUUGAAAAGAUCUCUUGAACAAAGAGAAAAUGAUGGAUUUAAAUAUCUCAUUCUUAACAACUUGCGAAUCAUGAAACACGAAGUGAAAUUGUCAAGAAUGACAUAAGACCACCCCAAAAGGUAGAAAGAAUUGCACUUUGGGAUGCACGAUGAAGAAUGCUUGAACUCCUCAAAACAAAACAUGUGUUGAGCACCAUGUUUAAUUUUGAGUAUAGCUUGGCUGAUCUUAACUUCAAGAGAAAUCUUGAAGAACAAUUGAAGAAUGAAAAGAAUCCUUGACGAACCACCAUGUAGAGCCUCCAUGAAGAACUCCGGUAAAAAAAGGAUGAUAAAAAAGAAAGGGAAGUUGAAAACACAAGGUGAAGCCUUGCCAUGAUUUAGAUGGAGCUUCGCGAUGAUAUAACCGAGAGAACUUGGAACUCCGAAAAGAAAAGAUGAUCUUAGAACCGAGAAUUUAUUCCUCAAGAACAAACUCCAAAGGAAACAAUUAAUCACUUGGAUGAAACAAUAAUAAGAAUUACGUUAUGCCUAUCCUUCACCAAUUUAAAUUGAUGACAAGCAACGGAUUUGGCAUACUACUUAUUCCUAUAGAAAGAAUUAAAAGAGAUAUAGCGCAAGCUUGAGAAGGUAUUGAUGGUUUCCACCGGUGGGAUUUGGAAACAACGAAUGAAUUGAUAUGAUAACGAAGGAAGUGAAAUCUUGAACGAACCACCGUAAGAAUUCAAAAUGAAAGUAGCAAAGGCACAAUUCACUGGGAAGAGUUGGAAAACGAAUGAAGAUACUUGAGGGGAUUUAGAUACCUGAGAACAAAGAGAUCAUGAACUGAUUAGAGGAUAUCUGAACGAUUCAUUGAUAAGAUUUGGAGAACGAUAGCUACACACUGAGAAUAAAGAAUUAUGGCAUGAUGGCCUUCGGAGGGAAGAAAUGGAAACAACUCAUGAAAUGCUCCGGAUGGUAAGAAAAGAAUUGUCACAAUCAAAACAAUUAUGAGGAUAGCAUGAAGCUAGAACCAUGAAUCUUCAAGAGAAUGGACCAAGAUUUAAGAGAAACUCUUCUUCGGUCUUCACAUGUUGAGAAUGAUCAUGAGAACCACCAUGACAAUUGUUGAGGCACUCCGGAAUGAAAAUUGGAAAGGUUGAACCAAUGAUGAAAAGAAUUUGAAAGAUCUUGGAGAAAGACAUAUGACUGAUGAUAACCCAUUCUUACGUCAAACUUUGAAAAGAAUUUUAGAAGCUCCGGGAAAAUUAGAAGAGUCAGGUAAGAUCCUGGGAAAAGACCUGUGCGUUAGGGCCCACUGAAAAGAAACACACCGUUGAACAAUUUUAAAGAGAGGUUGCACCGGUUGAAUUAAAUGACUUGAAUGAGAUAAUAAUCUCCAAAUAGCUUGAACGGGUCUUGAAUGAAAAGAUGAGCCUUGUGAGAUAUCUUCAGCACUCCAGAACAAAUGGAUAGGAAGAAGUGAAUGAUUAAGAGGUGCAUCGGCAUGAGAAAGCAUUAGAAACGAGGAAAAGAAUAUGAUGAAUAUCGAAAGCUUGAAUUGGAUCCACCGGAGAAGAAACAACAAUGAAGGAUGAUGAACUUGAAACUGUUGAGCAUCUUCAUGGGAAAUCACCGGAUAAGAACAUUGAAAGAAAAGAAUGAAGAGAAUUCUCACAAAUAAAAGGAUACAUGAUUAAGAAAUCUGAGUCCUUGAAAAAAGGGUGGGAGGGCGGGAAAACAAAGGCAACUUGGGGACGGAUGAAACGAAUACCGUUGAGAAAACUUAGAAUUGAUCUCGCAAAUAUUGAAAUGAUCGGAUUCACUUGAAGAGAAGCACGCUGGUUGAAAAAGAAUUAACAUGACGACCUCGAUGAUCAAGAAGGAUUAGUACUCCCAUAGAAAUAUGAGAACACCGUUUAGAAAAGGUAUGGAAUCAACACUUGACAUUGAAGCAACUCAAAUACCACAACUCAAAACAAAAUAAAGGAUUGGCUUGCAGAAAUAAGCCGGAACAAAUACAUAUGAUAGAGAUUUACCCAAUCCCAUAUCAGGCAUCUGUCGGAAAGAUAUUCUAGGAGCUACUUGAAUUCCCACCUAUAAAACUCCCGAAACUUUCUGGUUAUGCAAUCUGGUGUUGGGGAUACAGGGGAAGCAAUAUAUAUCUCACCCAAAACUAACAAUCCAUACAUCCAGCUGUAUCCAUCCGUCAACACAUAACCAAGAAAACUCCAAAAAUCGUGUACCUCAACCUUCGAAAAGCAUCCGUUAUACGAGCUAUGGCAAUACUCCCGAACUCCCCAGUACUGGGUGGCGUCGAGGUUAUCUCACCAACAACUGCAUAAAAGAGAUUUUCAAUGUCGGCAAAACUCAGGUAUUCCAGAACUGCAACGAUAAAAUUAUGACGACAACACCUCGGAGCUCAACUCCCCGGGACACUGCCACAACCCCUAAAUGUCAGGAGGCACCAAGAACAAUGUUCUCGUCAUAAGAAUAUCGGAACUAUCCCAAGAUACCCGCGUGAUCCUAAAAAAAUUCAUGAAAUUUGAGGAGAGGAAAGUCAAAACAUCUACGUCAGGAGUCCUCACCAGAGCGACGAAGGGGGCUGAGGAGUAAAAAUAAUCCUACUCUCCGAUAUAUAUAAUCCUAAGACUCAAAAUAGUUUUCUUCUAGACUCAACAACGGCCAACAAUCAAGGGGGCUCCUAUGGUCGGUCGAGGCUCUGAUACCAACUUGUCACGCCCAAGAUGCGGCCCUAUCCUAAAGGAACUCGAAGGUCCCACCAAGGAUAGAAGCACAUCUUGAAGACACUUUUGCAAGGUGGAUAUCAUUACAUCAACAUUACAUAAUAGAUGGGGAUACAUACAAGAGGCAUACAAUGCCACACGAAUACAACAUCAUACAUAAGAGAUCAACAUCCGACUACGGAUGGAACAAAAACAGAAACUCAAACAACAUCCACCCUGCUAGCCCAGGCCGCCGACCUGGAACCUAUCCCCUGAUCGAAGAAGAAGCAGAAGAAGAACUCCAAUACAAGCAAACAUCGCUCUCGCGGCAUGAUCAUCGCAUAACCUGUACCUGCAACUGUUGUUAUAGUAAUCUGUGAGCCACGAGGACUCAGCAAUCCCAUUACCAUGGGUAUCAAGACUAGCAAGGCUUAAUGGGAAAGGAAGGGGUAAAGUGGUGAGGUUGCAGCAGCGGCUAAGCAUAUAUGGUGGCUAACAUACGCAAAUGAGAGCGAGAAGAGAAACAAAGGAACGGUCGUCAACUAGUAAUGAUCUAGAAGUGAUCCUGAGCUCCUACUUACGUCAAUCAUAACCUAGAAACCGUGUUCACUUCCCGGACUCCGCCGAGAAGAGACCAUCACGGCUACACACACGGUUGAUGCAUUUUAAUUCGGAUCUGGUGUCAAGUUAUCUACAACCGAACAUUAACAAAUUCCCAUCUGCCACAUAACCGCGGGCAUGGCUUUCGAAAGAUAAUACCCUGCAGGGGUGUCCCAACUUAGCCCAUGAUAAGCUUUCGCGAUCAACGAAGGAUAUACCUUCUCCCAGGAAGACCCGAUCAGUCUCGGAAUCCCGGUUUACAAGACAUUUCGACAAUGGUAAAACAAAACCAGCAAGACCGCCCGAUGCACCGACAUCCCGAUAGGAGCUGCACAUAUCUCGUUCUCAGGGCAACACCGGAUGAACACUACGUACAACUAAAACCAGACCUCAAGUUUCCCCGAGGUGGCGCUGCAAGUGGCUCUAGUUCGGACCAACACUUAGACAAGCAUUGGCCCGGGGGGGCUGAAUAAAGAUGACCCUCGAGAGAGCGACUCCCAAGGGAAAAGUAGGUGGUGGUGAGGCAAAUGGUAAAACCAAGGUUGGGCCUUGCUGGAGGAGUUUUAUUCAAAGCGAACUGUCAAGGGGGUCCCAUAAAUCACCCGACCGCGUAAGGAACGCAAAACCCGGAAACAUAACACCGGUAUGACGGAAACUAGGGCGGCAAGAGUGGAACAAAACAUCAGGCAUAAGGCCGAGCCUUCCACCCUUUACCAAAUAUAUAGAUGCAUUAAUUAGAUAAGAGAUAUUGUGAUAUCCCAACAUAAUCCUGUCCAUCAUGGAGCAAUCUUCAACAUCACCUGCAACUAACAACGCUAUAAGAGGGGCUGAGCAAAGCGGUAACAUAGCCAAACAAUGGUUUGCUAGGAAGGGUGUCAAAGGUUAGAGGUUCAUGGCAAUUCGGGAGGCUUGAAGAGCAAAUGAUAGGUAACGCAGCAUAGCGAUAGAACGAAGCAACUAGCAUAGCAAUGAUAGUAGUGAGAUCCAGGGUAGAGGUCAUCUUGCCUGAAAUCCCGCUAGGAAGAAGAACGAGUCCAUGAAGAAGACAAGCAGACGUAGUCGAACGAAUCCUCACAAUCGCAACAUUACCGGAACUAAGAAGCAACACCGGAAAGAAACAAACAACAUGGUAAAUGCACAAGCAUAAACAUGGCAUGAUGCACAAACAAGUGUGAUGCAUGUCCGGUUUAAUGAGGCAUGGCAAAGUGCAACAAACAAUACUACAAGUUAAGUGGAGCUCAAUAUGCAACGAGUUGCAUAUUGACAAAACACCACAUCAAUUAUUUAGUUCUCUCUCGGUUAUGCUACUCAUCAGUAUUAAAUGUUGUUAAACAUGGCAAGGGGUGAAGCAUAAAGAAACUACCUAACAAGGCAAGUUUAAAUGAGGCCGGAAAUAAGAAACAACAAUUCCGAAAAAUCCCCAUGUGCAUAUUUUGAUUUGGUACUGUUCUGCCCUAAACCAUAUUUUAAGGUUGUUAACCAGGAAAAUAAAGUGCACCAUGUUAAACUAGGCAUUUUUCCACCCCAUUUACAUAUAAAGUUUAUUAAAAUUGGAGCUACGGUUAUUUAGUUAUGAAAUAAACCAUUUUAACAUGGCAUUUGAGCAAAUUUAAACAAACAACAGUUUAAACAUUUUAAACAUGGAUGAAAGUGGCAUAUUAUUAAUCUACACAAAAUUCUAAGCAUUUUACAUGUUUUAAUCAUUUUAAUCCAAUGCACGGUUCAUGAGUUAUUAUAUGCAUGAUGCUUAGGGGUUUUUCUGUAAAACAGUAAACUCCUGGAUAAAUAGCAAAAUCGUUCCGCGGAAAAAAACAUGGAUAGGGCCGAAUCUGGACGGCCCAAAAGUGCACAGGAGAGGGGGCGGGGGCUGCUCACCCUGGGCCAAGGCCCGGUUGGUGCAGCAGGCCGGCUGAGGAGGCGCUAGGGAAAGAGGCUGCUGGGCUGAUGCGGGUGAAGGGCGACGCAGUGGCCCAGGCACGCUGGCGGCGCGGUCAACGCGAGACACGAGGGAGUGGGCGCCUCGUCCUCUGCUCGUCAGGAAGUAGAGCAGCGGCGGCGGGGUGCUCUCCGGCGAGGGCGCAGCUUGGGAAGGCGGAGAGGAAGGUCGGCGAGAGGCGCAUGCGUCAGUUCCAACGACGACGCAGAUGAGGCACAGGAGGUCGACGCGGUCGUGCGUGGCUGCUGGAGCUGCUCAAGCAGAGAAGAAGUCGACGAUGGCUGGGUCGUCGGGGACCUCGUCGGCGGCACGAGCAGGAGGGAAACGGCCAGGAUCCAAGGGGAGGACGCACGGGCUCGUCUGGUUCUUGUCCCUGGCAAAGAGAGACAGAGAGAGGUGAGACAGGAAGAGGGAAACGAAGAGAGGGCACGAGGGAGGCCCGACGGCGUGACCUGGAGGAGCUGGUGAUCGUCGGUGGUGAGACGAGGUGGGGGUCGCGAGGAAGACAGCGGAGCUCUGGAUCGGGAGGAGCUCGGCUCUCCUCGGGCGUUGCACAGCGCGGAAGGGAUGCAGGGAGUAGCGGGAGGAGGAGGCGCGCACGGGAGGGGCGCCAUGGGUCUUGGGUGCGUGCUCGAGCUUGAGCAGCGAGCUCCUCUUGCUCGGACGCGGGCGUCGCAAGGACGAAGGACGGCGAGGUGGCGGCUCGGGCUUCGGUGGCGUGGUGAGGAGCUCAGGCAGGGAGGUGGAUCGAGGAGGGGAUGGAUUUGGGUUGGCUGGUGUUGAACGAGGGGGGGAUUUGGAUCAGGGAGAUCCCGAUGUAGAUGGUGGCGGCGCUAGGGUAGGUUCCCUAGAAAUUAGGUGGUUUGUCUAGGUUAGUUAGGUGGGGUCUAUAUAUAGCUAAUGGAUUUUUUAUAGGGGCAUUAGGUCCCUCCGAUCGUAAUCGGACGGUCGAAAAAAUAGGCUAGAGAGUCCAAAUAAGAAAACGGAGAUAUUUUAUAGACGUUUGGGGAUGAUCCGGAUCCAUCGGUAACGAUAGACCGGUUCGGGUUCGGGUAAGAUUCGGACACGCACACGAGGGGUCUGAGAGAGGUCAACGAGGGCAAGGGCCUGCCAAAAUAACAACGGAGGCAAAGAGAGAAAGGGAAACUGCGAACGGCUACGAGUUUUUAUGAAAACAUGUGGAUGCAAUGCACAUGAUGCCAUGAGAUGAAAUGCAUGACAUGAACAAAAUGCAAAAACAAAAGACAAAAACCCAACCACGAAGGAAAAUAAAAUAUCACAUCUCCGGAAAAGGCAAGAGUUGGAGUUAUGAAUGUGGAAAGUUGUAUCCGGUGCGUUACAUCCUCCUCUGGCGGUAGGGUGACAUUUGCCUUCAGCUCAGUCCAAAGAUCUUCUUUUUGCAUAUCAUUGACAUAAGACACCUCAUGGUCUUCAUCCUUAGCAGGCUUAUACCAUUGCUGGAUGCUGAUCGGGAUCUUGUCCCUAACAAGAACCCCGCACUGAGCAGAAAAUGCCUUCCUUGUCCGGAUGGGUUCAAUCGGUUCGCCAUCGGGCGCGAUUUCUAUGAUCUCAAACUUUUCAUCCGAGCUCAACUUUUUCUUCGGGCCUUGUCUCCUUACCGAAGUUGUGCUUGAUCCGGAGGGCUAGAAAUUAUAAGGAAGAAAGACGACAGUAAUUAAUAUGUGUACAUAUACCAAAACAAUGGAUGCAUCAAUUACUAGUUAGCAUGGGCUUAACUAAUAUAUAUAUACCUGGCCGGACUCGGUUCGGUGACCGGAGCAGUCAGCCCGGUCUCCUUCUUGUACCUCCAUUGUGUCACCGGAGACAUCAUGAACAUACUCCUCCUCUUGUACCGGCAUUAAUGGGUCGAAGCCAUCAUAAACAUAGCCCUCUUCUUCAUCCAGUCCUUCCAGCUGACCAUCGGUGUCGAUGAGAAAUGACGCAACAUCAUCACUUCCAUUUGCGAUUAUGUCCCCCAACAUCGCUUCUGUUUCUUCGUCUCAGGAGUGCUCCAUAGUUUCUGCAAAUAUUUACAACAUGUCAAUUAUUAUUCAAACAUGGUACAGAUGGAUAUAUAUAUAUAUAUAUAUAUAUAUAUAUAUAUAUAUAUAUAUAUAUAUAUAUAUAUNNNNNNNNNNNNNNNNNNNNNNNNNNNNNNNNNNNNNNNNNNNNNNNNNNNNNNNNNNNNNNNNNNNNNNNNNNNNNNNNNNNNNNNNNNNNNNNNNNNNNNNNNNNNNNNNNNNNNNNNNNNNNNNNNNNNNNNNNNNNNNNNNNNNNNNNNNNNNNNNNNNNNNNNNNNNNNNNNNNNNNNNNNNNNNNNNNNNNNNNNNNNNNNNNNNNNNNNNNNNNNNNNNNNNNNNNNNNNNNNNNNNNNNNNNNNNNNNNNNNNNNNNNNNNNNNNNNNNNNNNNNNNNNNNNNNNNNNNNNNNNNNNNNNNNNNNNNNNNNNNNNNNNNNNNNNNNNNNNNNNNNNNNNNNNNNNNNNNNNNNNNNNNNNNNNNNNNNNNNNNNNNNNNNNNNNNNNNNNNNNNNNNNNNNNNNNNNNNNNNNNNNNNNNNNNNNNNNNNNNNNNNNNNNNNNNNNNNNNNNNNNNNNNNNNNNNNNNNNNNNNNNNNNNNNNNNNNNNNNNNNNNNNNNNNNNNNNNNNNNNNNNNNNNNNNNNNNNNNNNNNNNNNNNNNNNNNNNNNNNNNNNNNNNNNNNNNNNNNNNNNNNNNNNNNNNNNNNNNNNNNNNNNNNNNNNNNNNNNNNNNNNNNNNNNNNNNNNNNNNNNNNNNNNNNNNNNNNNNNNNNNNNNNNNNNNNNNNNNNNNNNNNNNNNNNNNNNNNNNNNNNNNNNNNNNNNNNNNNNNNNNNNNNNNNNNNNNNNNNNNNNNNNNNNNNNNNNNNNNNNNNNNNNNNNNNNNNNNNNNNNNNNNNNNNNNNNNNNNNNNNNNNNNNNNNNNNNNNNNNNNNNNNNNNNNNNNNNNNNNNNNNNNNNNNNNNNNNNNNNNNNNNNNNNNNNNNNNNNNNNNNNNNNNNNNNNNNNNNNNNNNNNNNNNNNNNNNNNNNNNNNNNNNNNNNNNNNNNNNNNNNNNNNNNNNNNNNNNNNNNNNNNNNNNNNNNNNNNNNNNNNNNNNNNNNNNNNNNNNNNNNNNNNNNNNNNNNNNNNNNNNNNNNNNNNNNNNNNNNNNNNNNNNNNNNNNNNNNNNNNNNNNNNNNNNNNNNNNNNNNNNNNNNNNNNNNNNNNNNNNNNNNNNNNNNNNNNNNNNNNNNNNNNNNNNNNNNNNNNNNNNNNNNNNNNNNNNNNNNNNNNNNNNNNNNNNNNNNNNNNNNNUCUGUUAGUGCCAUUACUUUUUAAAUUUGAAAACACUUUUUUUGUUUUCUUUCUUGCUUUAUUUAUUUUAUUUUGUUUCUACUUACAAAAAAAAUACUUAUUGUUGUUUUUUUUGUUUUGUUUUCUGCAUUAUUUAUUUUCUUUUGUUUUUUGCUUUAUCUUUAAUUCUUUUUGCUUUUAGUUUUAGGAAAAUUAUAAACUUUCCACUUUUUUUGUUUUUUUGUUUUCUUUCUUGCUUUAUUUAUUUUAUUUUGUUUCUACUUACAACAAAAUACUUAUUGUUGCUAUUUUUAAUUAUUACGAGGGCCGAAGCAUAAGACAUUAAAGCAUUUCAAAUGAACUCUGAAAAAGUUGAAAGUUGGCAUGGUAUCAUAAAUUGACCCACACAUAGCAUGUGCAUGUACAAAACGGACAAUGGUAUCAUACUCGUGAGUUACAAAGUUGGCAUGGUAUCAUCAUAAUAGUUGCGGGAGAAAGUCUUCACUUUUUCUUCGCUUGUGUCAUUUGCUUAUUGCGCCGUAACCAUGGAUAAUCUUCAUCGUUUAUCAGGAUGCUGGGGUCAGCCUUGACUUUAAAGGAAGGAAUUUCAUGAAACUUUUCAUAAUCUUCAGACAUGUCUGUCUUGUCCUCCACUCCCACGAUGUCUCUUUUUCCUGAAAGAACUAUGUGGCGCUUUGGCUCAUCGUAUGAUGUAUUCGCUUCCUUAUCUUUUCUCUUUCUCGGUCUGGUAGACAUGUCCUUCACAUAGAUAACCUGUGCCACAUCAUUGGCUAGGACGAACGGUUCGUUAGUGUACCCAAGAUUUUUCAGAUCCACUGUUGUCAUUCCGUACUGUGGGUCUACCUGUACCCCGCCUCCUGACAGAUUGACCCAUUUGCACUUAAACAAAGGGACCUUAAAAUCAUGUCCGUAGUCAAGUUCCCAUAUGUCCACUAUGUAACCAUAAUAUGUGUCCUUUCCCCUCUCGGUUGUUGCAUCAAAGCGGACACCGCUGUUUUGGUUGGUGCUCUUUUGAUCUUGGUCAAUCGUGUAAAAUGUAUUCCCAUUUAUCUCGUAUCCUUUCCAAAUCAAUACAGUCAAAGAUGGUCCCCUGGAUAACAAGUACAGCUCAUCACAAAUGGUGUUGUCACCUCUGAUACGUGCUUCCAACCAACUGCUGAAAGUCCUGAUGUGUUCACAUGUAAUCCAGUCGUCGCACUGCUCCAGGUGUUUGGAGCGCAGACUGUUCUUGUGUUCAUCGACAUACGGGGUCACCAAGGUAGAGUUCUGUAGAACUGUGUAGUGUGCUUGAGACCAAGAAUAUCCGUCCCUGCAUAUUAUUGAGUCCCUUCCAAGCGUGCCUUUUCCAGUCAGUCUCCCCUCAUACCGCGAUUUAGGGAGACCUAUCUUCUUAAGGCCAGGAAUGAAGUCAACACAAAACCCGAUGACAUCCUCUGUUUGAUGGCCCAUGGAGAUGCUUCCUUCUGUCCUAGCGCGGUUACGGACAUAUUUCUUUAGGACUCCCAUGAACCUCUCAAAGGGGUACAUAUUGUGUAGAAAUACGGGGCCCAGAAUGACAAUCUCGUCAACUAGAUGAACUAGGACGUGCGUCAUGAUAUUGAAGAAGGAUGGUGGGAACACCAGCUCNNNNNNNNNNUUUUAGUUUUAGGAAAAUUAUAAACUUUCUGUUAGUGCCAUUACUUUUUAAAUUUGAAAACACUUUUUUUGUUUUCUUUCUUGCUUUAUUUAUUUUAUUUUGUUUCUACUUACAAAAAAAUACUUAUUGUUGUUUUUUUGUUUUGUUUUCUGCAUUAUUUAUUUUCUUUUUUUUGCUUUAUUUUUAAUUCUUUUUGCUUUUAGUUUUAGGAAAAUUAUAAACUUUCCACUUUUUUUGUUUUUUUGUUUUCUUUCUUGCUUUAUUUAUUUUAUUUUGUUUCUACUUACAACAAAAUACUUAUUGUUGCUAUUUUUAAUUAUUACGAGGGCCGAAGCAUAAGACAUUAAAGCAUUUCAAAUGAACUCUGAAAAAGUUGAAAGUUGGCGUGGUAUCAUAAAUUGACCCACACAUAGCAUGUGCAUGUACAAAACGGACAAUGGUAUCAUACUCGUCAGUUACAAAGUUGGCAUGGUAUCAUCAUAAUAGUUGCGGGAGAAAGUCUUCACUUUUUCUUCGCUUGUGUCAUUUGCUUAUUGCGCUGUAACCAUGGAUAAUCUUCAUCGUUUAUCAGGAUGCUGGGGUCAGCCUUGACUUUAAAGGGAGGAAUUUCAUGAAACUUUUCAUAAUCUUCAGACAUGUCUGUCUUGUCCUCCACUCCCACGAUGUCUCUUUUUCCUGAAAGAACUAUGUGGCGCUUUGGCUCAUCGUAUGAUGUAUUCGCUUCCUUAUCUUUUCUCUUUCUCGAUCUGGUAGACAUGUCCUUCACAUAGAUAACCUGUGCCACAUCAUUGGCUAGGACGAACGGUUCGUUAGUGUACCCAAGAUUUUUCAGAUCCACUGUUGUCAUUCCGUACUGUGGGUCUACCUGUACCCCGCCUCCUGACAGAUUGACCCAUUUGCACUUAAACAAAGGGACCUUAAAAUCAUGUCCGUAGUCAAGUUCCCAUAUGUCCACUAUGUAACCAUAAUAUGUGUCCUUUCCCCUCUCGGUUGUUGCAUCAAAGCGGACACCGCUGUUUUGGUUGGUGCUCUUUUGAUCUUGGUUAAUCGUGUAAAAUGUAUUCCCAUUUAUCUCGUAUCCUUUCCAAAUCAAUACAGUCAAAGAUGGUCCCCUGGAUAACAAGUACAGCUCAUCACAAACGGUGUUGUCACCUCUGAUACGUGCUUCCAACCAACUGCUGAAAGUCCUGAUGUGUUCACAUGUAAUCCAGUCGUCGCACUGCUCCGGGUGUUUGGAGCGCAGACUGUUCUUGUGUUCAUCGACAUACGGGGUCACCAAGGUAGAGUUUUGUAGAACUGUGUAGUGUGCUUGAGACCAAGAAUAUCCGUCCCUGCAUAUUAUUGAGUCCCUUCCAAGCGUGCCUUUUCCAGUCAGUCUCCCCUCAUACCGCGAUUUAGGGCGACCUAUCUUCUUAAGGCCAGGAAUGAAGUCAACACAAAACCCGAUGACAUCCUCUGUUUGAUGGCCCAUGGAGAUGCUUCCUUCUGUCCUAGCGCGGUUACGGACAUAUUUCUUUAGGACUCCCAUGAACCUCUCAAAGGGGUACAUAUUGUGUAGAAAUACGGGGCCCAGAAUGACAAUCUCGUCAACUAGAUGAACUAGGACGUGCGUCAUGAUAUUGAAGAAGGAUGGUGGGAACACCAGCUCGAAAUUGACAAUCUGGAUCGAUCACCUUCUGAGAGAUUGCAUUGAGGAAUGCACAUAGCUUCACAAUGGCUAAUCGGACGUUUUUCGGUAGAAGCCCCCUCAAUGCAACCGGAAGCAGUUGUGUCAUAAUCACGUGGCAGUCAUGAGACUUUAGGUUCUGAAACUUUUUCUCUGCCAUAUUUAUUAUUCCUUUUAUAUUCAACGAGAAGCCAGUCGGGACCUUCAUACUAAGCAGGCAUUCAAAGAAGAUUUCCUUCUCUUCUUUGGUAAGAGCAUAGCUGGCAGGACCUUCAUACUGCUUUGGAGGCAUGCCGUCUUUUUCGUGCAAACGUUGCAGGUCCUCCCGUGCCUCAGCUGUAUCUUUUGUCUUCCCAUACACGCCCAAGAAGCCUAGCAGGUUCACGCAAAGGUUCUUCGUCACGUGCAUCACGUCGAUCGAAGAGCGGACCUCUAGGUCUUUUCAGUAGGGUAGGUCCCAAAAUAUAGAUUUCUUCUUCCACAUGGGUGCGUGUCCCCCAACGUCACUCGGAACAGCUAGUUCGCCGGGACCCUUUCCAAAGAUUACGUGUAAAUCAUUGACCAUAGCAAGUACGUGAUCACCGGUACGCAUGGCGGGCUUCUUCCGGUGAUCUGCCUCGCCUUUGAAAUGCUUUCCUUUCUUUCGACAUUGAUGGUUGGUCGGAAGAAAUCGAUGAUGGCCCAGGUACACAUUCUUCCUGCAGCUUGCCAGGUAUAUACUAUCGGUGUCAAGUAAACAGUGCGUGCAUGCGUGGUAUCCCUUGUUUGUCUGUCCUGAAAGGUUACUGAGAGCGGGCCAAUCGUUGAUGGUCACGAAUAGCAACGCCUUUAGGUUAAAUUCCUCCUGUUUGUGCUCAUCCCACGUACGUACACCGUUUCCAUUCCACAGCUGUAAAAGUUCUUCAACUAAUGGCCUUAGGUACACAUCAAUGUCAUUGCCGGGUUGCUUAGGGCCUUGGAUGAGAAGUGGCAUCAUAAUGAACUUCCACUUCAUGCACAUCCAAGGAGGAAGGUUAUACAUACAUAGAGUCACGGGCCAGGUGCUGUGAUUGCUGCUCUGCUCCCCGAAAGGAUUAAUGCCAUCCGCGCUUGAAGCAAACCAUACGUUCCUUGGCUCACUUGCAAACUCAUCCCAGUACUUUCUCUCGAUUUUUUUCCACUGUGACCCGUCAACGGGUGCUCUCAACUUCCCGUCUUUCUUACGGUCCUCAAUGUGCCAUCGCAUCAACUUGGCAUGCUCUCCGUUUCUGAACAGACGUUUCAACCGUGGUAUUAUAGGAGCAUACCACAUCACCUUCGCAGGAACCCUCUUCCUGGGGGGCUCGCCAUCAACAUCACCAGGGUCAUCUCGUCUGAUCUUAUACCAUAAUGCACCGCAUACCGGGCAUGCGUUCAGAUCCUUGUACGCACCGCGGUAGAGGAUGCAGUCAUUAGGGCAUGCAUGUAUCUUCUGCACCUCCAAUCCUAAAGGGCAUACGACCUUCUUUGAUGCGUAUGUACUGUCGGGCAAUUCGUUAUCCUUUGGAAGCUUCUUCUUCAAUAUUUUAAGUAGCUUCUCAAAUCCUUUGUCAGGCAUAGCAUUCUCUGCCUUCCACUGCAGCAAUUCCAGUACGGUACCGAGCUUUGUGUUGCCAUCUUCGCAAUUGGAGUACAACCCUUUUUUGUGGUCCUCUAGCAUGCGAUCGAACUUCAGCUUCUCCUUUUGACUUUCGCAUUGCGUCCUUGCAUCGACAAUGACCCGGCAGAGAUCAUCAUCAUCGGGCACAUCGUCUGGUUCCUCUUGAUCUUCACCAGCUUCGCCCAUUGCAGCAUCAUCGUGCACAUCGUCUGGUUCCUCUUGAUCUUCAGGAGCAUCACUGUAUUCAGGGGGCACAUAGUUGUCAUCGUACUCUUCUUCUUCGCCGUCUUCCAUCAUAACCCCUAUUUCUCCGUGCCUCGUCCAAACAUUAUAGUGUGGCAUGAAACCCUUGUAAAGCAGGUGGGUGUGGAGGAUUUUCCGGUCAGAGUAAGACUUCGUAUUCCCACAUAUAGGGCAUGGACAACACAUAAAACCAUUCUACUUGUUUGCCUCAGCCACUUCGAGAAAAUCAUGCACGCCCUUAAUGUACUCGGAGGUGUGUCUUGAACCGUACAUCCAUUGCCGGUUCAUCUGCGUGCAUUAUAUAAUGAAGUGACAAAAUUAAUAGAAGUUCAUCAUCACAUUAAAACCAAAGUACAUACAUAGUUCUCAUCUAACAACAUAAAGCUCUGUAGAGCAUCUAAAUUAAUUAAACCAUACACCUAAACUAUGUAAAACAUUUCAAUGCGAAAACAAAUGCGAUCAUAAUCGCAACCAAUGUAACAACUGAUCCAACGGCAUAAUGAUACCAAGCCUCGGUAUGAAUGGCAUAUUUUCUAAUCUUUCUAAUCUUCAAGCGCAUUGCAUCCAUCUUGAUCUUGUGAUCGACGACAUCCGCAACAUGCAACUCCAAUAUCAUCUUCUCCUUCUCAUUUUUCCUAAUUUUUUCCUUCAAGAAAUUGUUUUCUUCUUCAAUUAAAUUUAACCUCUCGACAAUAGGGUCGGUUGGAAUUUCCGGUUCAACAACCUCCUAGAUAAAUAAAAUCUAUGUCACGUUGGUCGGCAUAAUUGUCAUAAACAAUAAAUGAACCAAUAGUUAUGAAAAGAUAAUAUAUACCACAUCCGAAUCAUAGACAGGACGAGGGCCGACGGGGGCGGAUACCAAAACCAUCGCACUAUAUAAGAUGCAAUAAUAAAAGUAAGAAAAUAAUACAAGUAUCUAUCUAAACAUACAAGUAAGAAUAUUUUUCCUUUCAGAAAGAAGAUAAGAACAAAAGGCUCACCACGAUGGUGCCGGCGAUGAGAUCAACGCGGGUGAUCGACGACGGUGAAGACGGGGACGGGGCGUGACGGACCGCUAAAUCUAGACAAAUAUUGAGGAAAAUGGAGCUUGGCGGUCGAGCUUGGAGGGGAGAAAGCUUAAGUAGUGUGGCUCGGGCAUUCCAUCGAACACCUCGUGUGCAUAGGAGGUGAGCUAGAGCACCACAAAGCUCUCCCCUCGCCGGCCACGAAAAACAGAGCACUGGGAGUGCUCUGCUCGCGAGCAGGGGUAUAUAUAGGCACCUCAUUGGUCCCAGCCUUUGGUCCCGGUUCAUGCCACCAACCGGGACCAAUGGUGGUGGGCCAGGAGCGAGGCCCAUUGGUCCCGGUUCGUCCCACCAACCGGGACCAAAAGGUCCAGACGAACCGGGACCAAUGGCCCACGUGGCCCGGCCGGCCCCCGGGGCUCAAGAACCGGGUCCAAUGCCCCCAUUGGUCCCGGUUCUGGAUUGAACGGGGACUAAUGGGCUGGACUGGCCUGGACCAUUGCCCCCUUUUCUACUAGUGAACUCAACUUCACCGUAUAUGAACUCGCCGGAACUCCUUGAUCACGAACGGAAACGCAAGGCACAAUUUACUUUUUCCAUCCACUCUUACUCUUAAUUCUCAUCCGCCAGUGACGCGUCUCAACUACAGCAGAUGACUCACACCCCCGAAUUCUUGGACGCACCAUACAAGAACUCAUGCACACCUCGACGACAGCCCGCAUGUUUGCCGUCACCACCUUGCUCUCAUUUGCGAUGAUAUCGAUGGUUUCCCUGGUGUCGCAACUUCGGCACCUCCAUAACCAUCACCGAUCACCAAUGCCUUGUCGACGACAGCAUGUCGCCCUCCUCCAGGUCGUUCCGCCGAACGACAAUCACGAGCCGCCUCGCUUACGACAGUGUCCUCGCCACCUUCUCACCGUCACUACGCCGAGCAAAGAUCACUCGAUCCUCCUCGUACGUCGCUCCCCGAACGACUAUUGCCUGCUCCACCUCGUCGCUGCACCACCCAGCGACUAUAUCGCCCGCUCUUCCUCGUCGCUGUACCACCGAACGACUAUAUGGCCGCCCCGAGGCGCUAGUAGGUCGCCACCCCGGGGCAAGCACGGCUGUACUAGAACCUUGCUCUAGAGACCAACUGUUGGAAUUUCGCCCUCAGGAUCGAUUACAUCAGAUACGAGGAACACACGCACACAAAAAAAAUGAUAGCCAAGGGCCCUUGUCGUGCCCUCUUUUCUCUUUAUUUUUUUGUUUCUCAACUCACGGUGUUACAAAUCGGAUGGACCGGUGUGCAUAUAUAUAAAUGACCUCAAGAGCUAUAGCUAGCUAACCUAAACCGACUCAAACAACUAAUCCUGGCCGGACACACGUUGAAACAUAACUACGACAUGGGCAGUAUGCAUGCUAAUUCCUAAUACUACACGGCUUGCAAACCGGCCACCCCGCGUACAUCUCAAUUUACCUAGUUUCUUUUUAGGGUUAAUGCCGCCGCUUUAUUUAGGUCUCCGCAAAGCUCGGAAUGCCAUCCGAGAUUACAGCCAAAAUACAGUCAGGGGGAACCCCCAUCCACACCUUACAUAAAUUAUCACCUACACCUACUCUAGCCAUCUUAUGCGCGGCGACAUUCGCUGAACGACGAACCCAUGACAACUUAGCACCUUGCAUCUCCUGCAACACCUGCUUGAUUUCCUGAAUCCAGGGUCCAACCGUCGAGUAGUUUAUACCCUCUUGCUGGAUCAUCUGAACCACCUUCAAGCUGUCCAACUCAAGAUGAACAUUCUGCACUCCCAACUCUCCCGCCACCUGCAAAGCUCUCCUACAUGCCAAUACUUCCGCAGCUUCAGGGUCCUGUAUAUGUGGAAAUACAUGACACAUGGCAGCUAUGAAAGCUCCGUUGUGAUCUCGCAAAACUGCCCCCCCCCCUCCUGCGUUGUCUCCCACCCUCGAAAUAGCACCAUCAGUGUUAAUCUUCACCCAGCCAUCAUCCGGUACAGCCUAUCGCUGGGUGAUCUUCGGGACCGGUACAGUUACCUUUGUUGGAUGUGAGUUGGUCCACUCCAGCAAAUGUGUAUACACUGAUUCCAUUAUCGCAUGUGGCACUUCCAACCGUUUCCCUUCCCUCGUAUCAUUUCUUGCUAGCCAAAGUCCGUAUGUGGCUUGGAUCAUAACUUCUUUCUCUUCCUCGGACGCUCCAGAGAACCAGCCAAGUAGCCAAGGCGCUAAUGCACCCUGGGUAUCAAUCUGACACGGCGGGGCUGCCACCGCGAUACCUUUUUCCAAGCGCAAAAGUUGCCAGAACUGUGCUGAAUGCUGACAUGCCCAAAAACGAUGGAUGAUUGUUUCUUCCCUCCCGCAUGCAACACAAAAAACCCCCGGUUUGAUCCGUCUCCGAUGAAGUUCUGAUCCUACUGCUAGUCCAUUUCUGAUCAUGCGCCACAUGUGGAUUUUUGCCUUGGGUGGAGCACUCGUACCCCACAUCUCCAUAUACCCUUUGUGCUGCUGUACCGAGUCUGAAGACUCCUGCUGGCCCGUCCUCACCUUCCUCAUUGCCAUCCAAAGAUGAUAUGCUGACUUGACAUUAAAGACACCAUUCUUGGUAUAAUUCCAAGCCUGGUAGUCUUCGGUUUCGGGCCCUCCCACUGCUAUUUGCAUUAUAUCAUGAAUAUCUGAUUCCGAAAACAUAGCUGCUAGCUUUUCUGCAUCCCAAGCCGCACCACUCAAAUCGAGAAGAUCAGACACCUUCGUCACACCAUGAACAUAAACCUGACCCAGUGGUCUCAAACAGCCAUCCCUUGGAAUCCAAUUGUCAUGGUGGAUAUUAAUCCUCGCGCCGUCACCCACCCUCCACACGAGUCCCUCCCGAAGAAGGUCCCUCCCAUGCAAUAUGCUUCUGAACGUGUAAGAUGAGUUGGAUGGGCAGGUAGCACUCAAUAUCGAAUCAUCCUUGAAGUAUCUGGCCUUCAACACCCUAGCACACAGAGAAGACGGCGUAGUAAGAAUCCUCCAUGCUUGCUUUGCCAAAAGUGCUAGGUUGAAGCCCUCAGGAUUUCUGAACCCAAGGCCCCCUUCCCUCUUCGAAUUGCACAUCUUCUCCCAUGAGAUCCAAUGCACCUUUCUUUCACCGUUCAUUGCCCCCACCAGAAUUUUGAAGAGAUGGAUGUCAGGUUCCGGUAUAUCUUCUUUGUGAGGUGAAAGCAACUCAUCGUGAACGUUGGUGUUGAUUGUAAUCCCGAUUUAACAAGAACUUCUCUGGCAGCCUUGGGCAGACCCUGCCCUUUCCACCCUGUCACCUUACCCUUAGAGCUCCCAGUGACAUAAGGAAACGUACCCUCCUUUGAUCUUCCAACCAGUGUUGGCAGACCAAGGUAUCUUUCACUUAGCGCCUCACUAGCAAUGCCCACCGCCUCCUUAAGCUCAUUUUUGGUCUCAUUGUUGCAUCCCUUCCCGAAGAAAAUGGAGGACUUUUGCAUGUUCACCCGCUGGCCCAAGGCCUCCUCAUAUGUCAGUAAAAUUUCCUUCAGCGCAGUCAUGCUCUCUGAAGAGCCCUCAAGAAAAACAAUGCUGUCAUCGGCGAACAGCAAAUGAGUGACGUGGGGGCCAGUGCCCCCGAACGAAACUCCCUUGAUCCUCUGUUCCUCCUGUGCUCUUUUCAACAAGGCCGAGAACCCCUCAACACAAAAAAGGAAUAAAUAUGGUGAGAGCGGGUCACCUUGUCUUAGUCCACGCGAUGGUGUGAACCUCCUAGAGCCACCCCCAUUAAGCCUAACAGAAAACCGAGCUGAUGUAACACAUCUCAUAAUCAUACCAAUCCCCCCAUGAUCAAAGCCAAACUUAGCCAUUAUCCUUUCCAGAAAACUCCACUCUACUCUGUCAUAGGCUUUCAUCAUAUCGAGCUUUACCGCACAUAAGCACUUCCUUCUCUUUCUAGUCCGGAUGGCAUGGACACAUUCGUAUGCUACUAACACAUUGUCCGUAAUAAGACGGCCUGGAACAAACGCACUUUGCUCUUCUGAUAUUAACACUGGUAGGAUGACUUUCAAUCUGUUCGUGAGCACCUUUGUUGCUAUCUUGUACAAAACGUUACACAAACUAAUAGGGCGAAACUGAGAAAGUAGCUCCGGUGCACUCACCUUAGGUAUCAUCACAAUAACAGUAUCAUUAAAUGAUUCCGGGGUUGUCUCACCGUUGAGAAACGUCCGAACAGCCGUACACACAUCUUGCCCCACCAACGACCAGUGUCGCUGAUAGAGAAGCGCUGGCAGUCCGUCCGGACCCGGCGACUUGGUCGGCCCCAUUUGGAACAAUGCUACUCUGAUUUCCUCAUCCGUGAUCGGCGUCGUUAGCUUUUCAUUCAUGUCAGCCGUCACCUGAGACUCAAUAUGCUGCAGCAACGCCUCCGCACCAACCGAGCCUUCGGACGUAAACAAUUGCUCAUAGAAUGCCGCUGCCAUCUCUCUCAUUUCAUCAUCCACCAUACACUUGGUGCCAUCCUCCCUUAACAGUGCCUAUACCGUGUUCUUACGCUUCCUAUGUGAAGCACGGUUUUGGAAGUACUUGGUGUUUUGGUCUCCUACAACUAACCAAUCCACCCUCGAUCGCUGUCGGUAUAAAAUCUCUUCCCUCUCAAACAUCUCCUUCAACUGAUCCUCAAUGUCCCGUACCUCCUGCUGAUAUCCCGUCGACAAUGCCCUAGUCUUGGCGUCCACCAACUGUGUCUUGAGCGCAGCAAUCUGUCUUCUUAUCGAUCCGAACACCUCCCUGCUCCACCUUUGCAUGCUACCCGCUACCUGACCUAGCUUGCUCCACACAUCCUCAAGAUUCCUCCCGCCAGCGCCCGCCGCUUCCCACGCCUCUCGCACCAUUUGCUCAUAGUUCUCAUGCCUUGUCCAUGCUUCCUCAAACCGAAAGGGUCGGUCCCUACCUCGGGGAGCAGCUGGAGCGGUCUCCAUUGCCCUCACCAGUAGAGCCUGAUGGUCCGACUCCUCCGUCAUGAUGUGUUGCACGGACGUUUCUGGGUACAUCUGCAGGAAUCCAUCAUUGCAUGUUGCCCUAUCUAGCCUGACCUGAAUGUUUUCACUCCCAUCUCUUUUGUUAUCCCAUGUGUACGGGUAUCCAUUGAACCCCAGGUCCGCCAAGCCGCAGUCAGCUAGGCAGUCCCUAAAAUCCUCCAUACGUGAAAAAGGCCUUUGGUUACCCCCAAUCUGAUCGGCAUGGAAUAAUGCUUCAUUAUAAUCCCCUACACAAAUCCAAGGGAGAUCAUCUUGCCUUCUCAGAUACCUUAAAGCAUCCCACGAUUUCUUCCGUCUUUCCGUGUUCGGUUCCCCGUAGAAUCCAGUGAUCCUCGAGGUCUUGCCAUCACAAACAAACUCAGCAUCAAUGAAAUAUUGACUCCACGGUCUCACUGUAGCUUGUACGUGAUCUCUCCACCACAUGGCCAGUCCACCACUCCUUCCGUUGCAAUCCACUGCCACCCCAUGUCUAAACCCCAAACUCCAUUUUAACCUAUCCAUCCCUCUCGCCUUUUUCUUCGUUUCACAUAAGAACACCACCGCUGGGUUGUAGGACCUAAUCAGGUCUCAUAAUUCGCCAACCGUCGAGUCCAACCCCAAUCCUUGACAGUUCCAGGCUAGAAUGUUCAUUGCUCCUGGCGGCCCUGGUUAGCAGGGUCCGCCAUUGCUCCAUUUUGUUCCUCAAUGCGGUCAAACACAGACGACGUCUUCCGUCGUGUAUCACAAAUGAAACCGUCAUCGCCCCCACCUCUGAUAUUGUCAUCCUUCACCCUCCAAAUUUGUUUCGGGCCUCUUUUCCUGUUUUCCAACUCCCUUCUAGAAGAGGAAGUGUCACACUGCUGCACUUCAACAACCUGUCUUGGUUUCCUGACAUAAUAUCCCCUCAUUCUUCCACGUUCAUCAUGCAUGUUCGACCUUUCAUAAAGCCCCGGCUCACUGUAAUAAUCAUCCCUCCGAGAUUUGUAUUUUUGAUGUUCGGCUGCAUGCACUGAUCCCUUAUUGUACCCAUUUGCUUUGCCCUUGUAGUCAGCCCUAUUGGUACUCUCGUCUCCAUACCUUCUCUGCUGGUUUUUUAUAAUCAACUUCUCACGGAGAUCUUCCUCCCUCCGCUUCUCAAGGCUGUCCCGCAGGUCCUUUUCCUUUCGCACACCAUGCCCCAUCCCUGAUUUAGCCGGGCUAGUGAUCUCCACCCCACCCUACUCCGAACGACCGCCAGUGCGGCUUCCAGAGCCAGCAGCAAAAUCAGCUGCUAAGUUCCGUUUAGUGGGUAGAUUCCGGCCUCUGUUUUGAUCCUGUUGUCCUUUUCCAUCCUCCCCACUCCUUGAAUUUGCAAAACUGUUGCUACUGCUAGCCCCCUUAGCUCCAAACGAUCCUUCCUUGAAAGAACCAUUCCUUCCUGGGGAAGAACGUAGCCAGCUCCCCCAUUGAUCAGAGGAUUCCAGAGGGGGCACACAUACCCCAUGUUCAUGAACCAGUCUGCCACAAUCGAAGCAAAAAUGUGGCACUUUUUCAUAAAAAAAGUCAUACCACGUCCCAACCUUAUCCUCCUUCGAUUUCUUCAAGUUAAACCCACGGAUCAGAGGCUCAAAAACUGAGAUAGUAGUUCUAAUUCGUAGCUGCUGACCCCUCGCCAUGCCCUCUCCAUCUGUAUCCACCUUCACCACUUUACCAAUCCAAUUGCCUAGGGCAGUCCCAAAGGCUUCACACCUCUUGUCAGGUGGCAAAUCCACCACUCUUACCCAUAUGUCGAUCUCCUCAAACACCAUCUCAGAGGGUCUAAUCUUUCCUUCAUAUUCUUUCACAAUGAGUACACUAAAAUCAAAUUGCCAGGGUCCAUUAUUCAACACAUGUCUCCAAUCUCCUUCACUGCCCAAGUGGACCACGAAGAUAUUUGACCCCAUGUCUCUGAACUUGGCCUCUUUGUGUAGACCCCAUGCCCUCGGCAUCGUCUUCUCCAGCGUCGUCAUCUUCAUUGGCCGUUUCGAGCACACUUUUCCGACCACCGACCACCUCGAGACCUUGGGGAUUGGUAGUUCAUGAUCCUCAAACACAAGCCCAUCAGCCUCCUUAUCCAUCAAAACCAUCCCACCCAGUCUUGCGGAGAGACUCGCCGCUGGAUCAGGUGUUCUACUCUCCACCGGGGACACAAAAUCUCCCCUGCUUCCAGGAUCACCCAUCUUCCGCGGUCCAGGAGUCGACGCCGUCGCCGUUCGGAUCGGAGUUUUCCUGGCGUUCAUCUCCGCGGUCACCUUCGUUCCAGCAUCCUCCGCCAUCGCCUCCGGCCUCACCGCGGAGAAGCUGUGUCAGCCCACGCCUAGAUCGCGCCGUCGCAAUCCAGCCGCCGCCGUAUCCUUACCACCCCCAGCGACAAAACCCUAAACCUAGCGUAGUCGCACGAUCGCCAGGCAAUCGCCGCCUACAUCUCAACUUACCUAGUUAAUUAUCCGGCCAGCUUGAUCACGAUUACACCAAACUAACUCAGGCAUUGUUUGGAUUAUCCCAACACAAUCGUCCAUGGACAGAGGACCAGUCUGUGGACAUCUAUACAUGAAACCGCCAUCCAACCCUGUUCACAUACCUUUCAAAUUUUUUUUAACAAACCAGAUGAAAUUCAUGCAAAGACAGUGAAAUUCACACAAAUCGCACGAAAACGUUUACAUUUUGGACAUAUCUUUUAACUAAAAAUGAUACUAGAGUAACAUGAAACUACUCAGCGCCGGUGAAUAGUCACUCCGGCAACAUGGAUAGCCUUGACUAGUCUACUGCCGGCCGCAAUGGAUCUGCAUUGCCGUCCCCAUGUCCCGUCAUGUCCCGUAGCUGUGAGCCCUGGAGGUAUAUGCUUUAGCACAAAGAGCGGCUCGCUUCCCUACCGCUCAUCGGAGUGGAACAACCGGUUGAUGCUUUUGCCGGUGGGGAAGGGUCCCUACACUGCAUGGAUAGGAGUUGGUUUUGGGUAGGGGACGACGGUGGCCUGCCAGAGGGCAAGACAUCGGGUGUGUACUCUGGCGUCACCUUGGCGUGGCAUUCAUGGGACCCAAGCGGCAGCGGCUCCUCGAUGAUGGCGGCGAGCGUGGACGUGCUGGCCACCACCUAGUCGAUGUCCGCUCAGCCCGUUUCUUUCUCUGCAGGCAGGGAGUCGCUACGUGCACGUUGACAUCAUAUGACGCGGCCGCAGGCAUGGGAGGGGCGGUACGACAUGGCACCGUCGACGGCAGCCACGAUGCCCAUGCAGCCGUGCUCCCUGCCGGUGCCGACCUGUAACAACUCGCCACUCCUCAGUUCGUGACCGGCGGGCUCGAUGGGCCACCCAGCCGUUUUUAUGCGGGAAUACUCUUCUUCCUACUCAUCGGAUCCCAUGAAGAAAACUUCUCAAGGAGGAUAAUGGUGAGUGGAUGUAUGGUACGGUUCUUGCCCGACAUCUGACAGUGUUUAAAUAGCGGGCGAACACGAGAAGCCAACCAAUGUUCUGUUUAUUGCCGGCCGGCUCGCAAACGGACAUGUGGUUGGAGUAGGUAUCCUGGCACACACACGGGUUUAAUGAAGGAAGGCGGGCAGUUUGCAGCCGUUUGAAUGGGGGCGAGCAUGCAUGUUCAGCAUGGCGUGUAGCGCCCUCAGCCAGUGCGCCGCUUCCAUUGCGGAGGCAGUAAGGGAUGUGUACGCUCUGCAGUGGAGUGAAUGCGGGCAACUGGUGCAGGGCGGGAACAAGAGCGGGCAUGGGAGGAGGCGGUUUGGAUGGGCACGUGUGAUAAGAAGCAGUCAUGGGUGCUGUCCGGACACCCGCAAAGCCCGCCUCCCCCACGUUUGUCUCCGGUUUGUCAGAGAAAGUAUGUCCGGACCGUCCUAUGGACCAAUACAGGCCCGCAUUGGAUGGCACAACACGUAUGGACCAUGUAGUCCGGAUGGUUGCAGAUGGUUUGAUGGUUGGCGUUGGAUAUGCCCUUAGCGCUUAUGAAUCCAUUGUGUUUUUCUAAUCAUAAAAAGCACUUAUGACAAGUUAUAAUGAAAGACACGUAUAUAUGUUAGGUUCAGACUCCAACUUUCCCGUUGCAUAUGAAUUUUUCUGAUCCGACCCAUACCAAUAGAGUGAGGCUAGCGUCGCUUUUCUAGAAACUCGCGGGAUAAGAAGACAUGCAUACAUAUUAUUUCAAGGAAAUCACAUCCACUCUUUUUAACUUAUUUUUUCUUAUUUUCAUAAUAUAAUAGAUCAUUUGUAUUUUUAAUUCAAACAAUUAACGUGUAACUUUUAUUGUAAUCUAAGGAUAUUGUUUGGAUUUUACUUUCAAAUAUUUGAAAUGGCCAUGAUGGAAUCACAUCCAUUUAUUUUAUUAUUAUUUGAAUUUGAUCCGAAAGAUAAAUAAUGAGUAGAGGUCAUGUCAACUUUUCCUAGAAUUUGCUAAUCAAAAUAUAAUUUCUAUCUUAAUACAAUCCAUUAUUUAACUACUCUAUUGAUUUGUAUUUAAAAACAUAUAUUUUUAGCACGCAUAAAAAACAUAACAUGUAUCUUUCCACACAAACUAUAGGUUGUCAUGAAAACUCAUGCCAUGCCAUAGCCUCCCUCCGACCCUGCCAACAUUGUUGCAGCUGCACUCGCAAGCCUUAGCGUGGAUGAUCAUUUAUAUGAUUUGUGUAAAACAAACUAAGAUCUACAAACGAAUAGAAGCUAGAACAUACCUUGGUAUGCACACACAUUGCAAGCCAUACUAAGCUGAUAAGUGUCAAUAACUUGUACAACAUAUACAACACCGAAGACAAGUAAAAGCAAUUUGAUGAGUCAUGGUCUAUCAAAGCAAGCUACAUUACUACUCUAAUCUAUCUUAAGAGGUCACACAUGAUUACAAUCUUUUUUGUGUGCAAGUCAAGCUUAUCUAUUUUACACGUAACAACUUGUAGAACAUUACAAAAUUGAUGUUUGCUAAUAACUUCUAGAACACUACAACACUUGACAUGUAAAAGGAAUUUGAUGAGUCAUGACCUACUAAAGCAAGUUACAUUACUAGUCUCAUCUAUCUUAACAGGCCACACAAGAUUACAAACUAAGUUCUGUGCAAGCAAUGCUUAUCUAGUUUACACAUAAACUUGCAUAACAUUACAAACUUAGUUUCAGAAAAUUAGGCAACCUAGAUUAGUGUUUAUUUGUAAAGUGAAUAAGAUGAGUCAUGUGUGUUAUCACACCUUUUUUGUGGUGGAAUGAUAGUGCCACAAAACACAACAUACCAAAAAUUGAUUUCGGGAAGCAUCCAAGCACUUUCCAGGAAAGCAAAUGCCAAUUGUGAAAGAGAUCAUGCCAUGGCAGCUAUAAAUAGGCCUGUAGCAUGAUGACCAUCCUUCCUCAUUCAUCAUUCUCAUAAGUAGAGUGUAUCAUUCAAGCCAAGCAAGCAGUGGUCAAUACAAAUCCACCAUGAAGACCUUUCUCAUCUUUUCCCUCCUUGCUAUCGUGGCGACCACUCCAACAACUGCAGUUAGAUUUCCAGUGCCACAAUUGCAGCCGCAAAAUCCAUCUCAGCAACAACCACAAGAGCAAGUUCCGUUGGUGCAACAACUACAAUAUCCAAGGCAACAACAACCAUUUCCACCACAACAGCCAUAUCCGCAGCCGCAACCAUUUCCAUCACAACAACCAUUGCCGCAACGGCAACCAUUUCUGCCACAACUACCAUAUCCGCAGCCACAACCAUUUCCACCACAACAACCAUAUCCACAACCGCAACCACAGUAUCCACAACCACAACAACCAAUUUCACAGCAACAAGCACAAUAAGCACAACAACAACAACAACAACAACAACAACAACAACAACAACAAAUCCUUCAACAAAUUCUGCAACAACAACAACUAAUUCCAUGCAGGGAUGUCGUCUUGCAACAACACAACAUAGCGCAUGCAAGCUCACAAGUAUUGCAACAAAGUAGUUACCAACUGUUGCAACAAUUAUGUUGUCAACGGUUGUGGCAGAUCCCCGAGCAGUCGCGGUGCCAAGCCAUCCACAAUGUUGUUCAUGCUAUUAUUCUGCAACAACAACAACAACAACAACAACAACAACAACCGUCGAGCCAGGUCUCCUACCAGCAGCCUCAGCAACAAUAUCCAUCGGGCCAGGGCUCCUUCCAGCCAUCUCAGCAGAACCCAUAGGCCUAGGGCUCUGUCCAGUCUCAACAACUUCCCCAGUUCGAGGAAAUAAGGAACCUAGCGCUGCAGACGCUACCGGCAAUGUGCAAUGUCUACAUCCCUCCAUAUUGCUCGACCACCAUUGCGCCAUCUGGCAUCUUCGGUACUAACUGAGAAGAGAAGAACUUGUACUAGAUAUAUGAAACACCAUUUCCUUAGUCCAUGGUUUGGUCGUUGUAGCGGUGACAAAAUAAAGUGACAUGCACUAUCAUGUAAGAACCCGAACUAUACUAGUUCAAACUUGGGAAUAAAAGACAAACACAUGUCUUGUCUGCAUAUGAUUGUUUGUUUGAGUUCCAUUCAUGUGCCCGUUCACAAGUUCACCCCUAAUUAUAUAUAUUACACAAUAAGUAGAUAUUUAUGUUUCAUUAAUCUAAAUAUAACAAAAUGAGUCUGAAACUUGAAUUAAAUUGAAGUAUUUUCUUGGACUUUCAAAUUAAGUAUUAUUAAAGUAGUAAGGACUAUCCACAUCCUUGGCUUGCCCUUGAUCAAUUAUUUCCAGAGAAGCAUUCAAUUCAUCAAUCAAUUACAUUGGUUUUUGUGACUGGUACUUCUCCUCAUCAUGAGUAUCAUUGCGACUACUCCAAAUCGCCCACAUAACCGAAGCAUUAAUAGCGCUCUUCUUGCAUCAAGGAAAUAUGGAUCGAAGAUAUCACUUGACCAUGUUUCCGGGUGCAACCUUGGGAGUUUUAUGUCAAAAUAUUCUCAAGGAGAAUCCAAGAAUAAACUUGCAUGCUCAUGUGUGAUAAGGGCAUAUGAAGUAACAUUUCCUCCCCAUGGCCACACAUAGGGCACACACAUAACCCCAUCACAUGCCUUUUUAGUUAUGCAUAUGAAGGUAGGAUGUUUUUAAUUACUCUCCACCAAAAUACUCUUAACUUGGCUUGUACCCUAAGCUUUCGUUGCCUUUUCAAUUUCUCUUCCCCGCUAGACAAACUAGACAGUCCAUCUACCACACCAUACCUUGUGUCCAUCAUGGCUCUGUACAACAAUUGAACAGGACAAAUGUCAUUUCUUUACGAUACCCACGACCAAGUGUCCUCUGCUGGAUUGUUUGGUCGUGGCAUAUUAAGGAUGGACACCUCAUCUGAUGGGACAAACACCUAACGAAUGAAAGGAGUGUUCCAGCCGCCCAUGUUUUUCUUCUCGAUAAGAUGAGCUACAAGUUGGACUGGAGUUUCUCAUGCACCAUAGUGGUUUCAUCAGCGGCAUGCCCUGCACACAUUUAUCAUGCCAUAUCUUUGUAGUGUGCAUUCCCAAUUUGUCACAACAUACCCUCCUUCAAACCUUUUUGCCUUUCAGAAUAGCACGCCAAGCUAGCGAUGCACUAUGCAGUAACCCACAUUUGAAAAAAAAAAGAAUCUCAUUUCAUGGUAUCUUCCACGAAGGACCCUCGCACAUGAGUUAUCUAGAUAGAAAUAGCCAUGUAUGUUUAGCAAACUUUGCAUAAGUGAAUAGAUCAAGGUCGUGGAAACCCAAGCCUCCAAUUACACCCAGCCUCUCUACCAACAAGAUGUCCAAAGACAUCAAGGAUACACAAAGCCAAAAAAGAAAAUAAAAAGAGCAGAAGAAAAAAAAUACCCUGCCAUGGUGAUCAAUCACUAGAAUCAGCAGCACUCUAACCACCACCGAAGACAAUGCCCGAAUUACAAAAAAGGUUCUCCAAAAGCAACGCCCCCAAGAAGGAAACAAUGCACAAGCAUUGUCGUUGCCCGAUCGAAGAUCAUGGGUUUUCACCCUGGAAAAAUUUCGAGUUCACUAAAAAAUAAUGCCUUCAACAAGGCCAUUGCCAAGUACAACCAAUAAGGGCCAGACCUUGGGUUUUCACCAUAGGAAUUGAGACUCGAUACUCGAGGAGUACCACCAAAAAUGCAGUCCGCAAGUGUUGCCGCCCCCGCUUGCCGAGGGCGCUGUUGCAAGUCGCCAACCACCUGUCAUACAUUUGUCGUCGCAUCCAAUACACCCUUCCGCUGAAGCUUCAAGACCUCCAACCGCAGCCGCCAUGACUUUCUCCUAGUCUAUCAAUGCCUUGAGAAUCUUGAGUUAGACAUGUCCAAUGACAUAAAUAAGAAAUCGAAGCUUCGUGCCACGUCCUCUUGAGGCCGUGCUGGCUGAUAAUAUUAGCGUGCAUGACCGGAGCGUUUCCGAUCUAGAUAUCCAGGGGCGACAUACACCAAUCCAUAUAGAUCUCCGCUCGGUAAGACCGGAACUCAUCAACGGCCAGAUCCAAGAGGUCGACAUCCGGUAGAAAGAUGACUUGGCGGAAGAAGAGCAUCAGGGCCAAACCGCCAUUAUUAGUCCGAAGCUAAUAGCCCCCACGCCACCCUCCUCUCGAUCCAGACCUGCAGAAAAUGAUCAACAACGCCGCGCCGUGCCACUCGCAUCCAUGGAGGCUUGAACUUGGCAAGACGCGAACCAUGGCUGGAGACGGGGACCAGCCACUCCUGGUCGGAUCCGGUGACUCCUAGUCCCACCACUGCCACUACGGCGGCACCGCGUGUAGCCUACAAGCCCAUCCAUGAUGAUGUCUGAUUAGAAGGAUACAUGGAUAUACAAAUGAAAUGGCCCUCGUUAUCCCUCCAACAAUAUAUAUAAAGCUUAUUGGGACAUGAGAAAGCUCGCACAAUUUUAUAGUGGCUAUGGAAAUGUGUUGCCAGACAGAGAUAUAAGAUUUUCGUUUGGCAUCCAGACCGCUUGUGUCAUCCUUAAUCGAUGACCACUCUAAUUUUUCCGGCGGGCCUUCCCUGUGGUACUGCAGCCUUACAUGUGUAUGGAUUUCAUACAGCUAUUCUGUCCAGUCGGAAAAGGAGACAACCAAAAUUACUUGGAGUUGAUAACUAAUAUGUUUCCUUUAACUACCACGUGCACGACGAGGAUUUACGGCACGCAAGUGCAGGGGCAGGUACUGGUGCCGCCUUUUUAUUCUAGCCUCCAAUUUUCAAAUUUCUAUAUCUUUCAAACAAAAAAAAUCAACUUAAGUUAUGUUUUCAUAUUCGUGUUUCUUGCCGCCAGCGCUUUGAAAUAAUAUUCAUUUUGAAUAUAUUUUGGCAAUUUUUAAACACAAUGUUAAUUUCCAUUGUUUAAAACUUAGUACGAGCGACCGAUAAUAUUCAAUUAUUUUGUGUCUCUGACCAACAGAAAAAAAUGCUUGAAAUUGCAUCUUUGAAACUUGUUGAAACUGGGCAUUUUCUAAUGCAAAAGCGGUAAGUUUUCAUCGUUGAAACUUAAAGGUUUUUGAUGGAUUUUCUUCUUUACUGUGCCCUACUUCAUGAAUCGUGAGACAAAUCGAGCAGGUGGCAGGGCUUGGCCAGUGAGUGCCCUUGCACUUAGGUGCCCCAGCGAAUUUCCACUUGCAUCGUAGCAUUCUUUUUCCGAGUCCUGCGAACGAACGAUGGUGCAUACAAAAAGUCUAUCCUAUAUGCGUACAUGUGCAUGAUCAAAACAUGUUUGUACGUGCAUCUGCUAUAAAUCUCGACCAUUUUGAACACAAAUCAUGACCAUUAAAAUACAUGAUUAGUGGAUCAUACUAUCGUAACCUAUGUGAGAUCAUGUGGAGUAAUAUAUUAUAGUAUAUAGAUAGAUCUAUGUUGUAUUUUUUUUUGUUAGAAAAAUAUCUGUCAUUACAUAUUUAGAUUUAUGCAUCUGUUCUUGCCAAAAAAAUCACUAACAUUUCACAGUGGAAAGUUUGUAAUUAUAUCAUAUUGAACACCAAUGUUUUCCCGCAAAAGAAAAUAAUGCCUAUGCAUAUGCUUUUAUAUUAUUAUUAUUGUUUCAAAUAUAUCCAUAUAUUAUUUUUGGUUGUACAACCAUAAUUUUCUUAUCCCUCUCGUUCCACUAAAUGCUCCUAGUCACUGAAUUAUAUACACCAAAUAAACCCCUUUGCACGUCGUUAAUGACCAAAAAAAGUUGAUGCUGGCUAUGUUCUCUGAUGUCAGCAUGAUAUCAUAUAUAGUGAUUAGCAUGAACGAAUCCCUUUGACUCAUGCGUACUCCCUUUGGAAAGAAAUAUAAGAGUGUUUACAUAACUAAAGUUGUGAUCUAAACACUCUUAUAUUUCUUUAAAGAGGGAGUAUAAAUUAAGAAGUGCAAGAUAAAGAAAUGCUGGUCCUUGAUUUGUUGUUGACUCUUAUAUUCUUUAGGGAGGAAGUAUAAAUUAAGAAGUGCAAGAUAAAGAAUGCUGAUCCUUGAUUUGUUUUUGACGUCAGCAUGCCAUCAUUACCUUGUAGUUAUGAUACAAAUUGGAUCUUUCAUACAGAAUUGGAGGCUUGCUCCUUUGAUCCGCACACGCUUAAACACAAAGAGCAUGUAUAUGUUUUGUCUCCGGAUUUCAACUCGUGCUUGGCCAACAAAUAUGGUCUGAUCGGGACAUCGGGUAGAGGAAAAGGCAAGUUUGCUAAUACGCCUGGAGGAAAUGCCUUUGAUUAGGGCAUCUACAACAGCGACCAGUAAAUUUCCACCCGCAAUUUGUUGGAAUUCCGCCUUCAGAAUCGAUUACAUCAGAUACGAGGAACACACGCACACAAAAAAGUGACAGCCAAAGGCCCUUGUCGUGCCCUCUUUUCUCUUUAUUUUCUUGUUUCUCAACUCACGGUAUUACAAAUCCGAUGCACCGGUGUGCAUAUAUAUAAACGACCUCACGAGCUAUAGCUAUCUAACCUAAACCGACUCAAACAACUACUCCUGGCCACACACACGUUGGAACAUAACUAGGACACGGGCAGCAUGCAUGCUAAUUCCUAAUACUACACGGCUUGCAAAACGGUCACCCCACGUACAUCUCAACUUACCUAGUUAAUUAUCCGGCCAGCUUGAUCACGAUUACACCAAACUAACUCAGGCAUUGUUUGGAUUAUCCCAACAAUCACCCCUAAUCCAAACAUCCGUCUCUUUAUCCAACGACACACGAGACACGCAGACGACCACCUGUUCAUCUUGUCAGGCUGGCUGCCUCCGGUGACGCAACUUACCGGACUGCAACUUCGCUCUCCUUGCAAUGAUGAUCACCACUUCAUCUCACCGCAACUUCGUUUGCAUACCAACUCAUAGAUUUUAACCAAUGAAUACCCGGACUACCAGCCACGCUGUCACAUCUUAGCGUGCUACAUGCAGACUAAACACAUAGCCUCAUGCAUGAACUCAACUUAACUGGUGUCUGUCCAUCUUCACGUUGAUCUUCAUCUUCUCAUCGGUUGAAUGCACGCGGGGAGGCACAACUCUUCACCCACCACAUCUCCACUUUCCCAUCAUCGUUGGUGACACAACUUACCAAACAACGCUCCCUGUCGAGCGGCAAUACAACUCGCCAUAUACGUGCAACCACUGGUAGAAAACCACCCAUUAGUCCCGGUUCGUAAGGGCCUUUAGUCCCGGUUCAGGAACUGGGACUAAUGGGUCGUUACUAAUACCUCAACCCAUUAGUCCCGGAUCAAACACGAACCGGGACCAAUGUGCCUCCACGUGGCCCUGUGCGCCGAGCCCAGUCAGGGGGCCUUUGGUCCCGGUUGGUGGCUCCAACCGGGACCAAAAGGCAUCCACGCGUCUGCAUUCCAGUGGCUGGGGUUUUUUUAUGAAAGGAGGGGGGUUGGGGGUUUUGGGGGGUUAAUUUAGGUGUUUCGUAUAUUGUGUUAGCUAGCUAAUUAAUAGAGAGAAGUGUCCUCUCUUAUGUCCGUGCUUGGUCGACGCUACGUAGUAUAUAUACAUAAGUGAUCGAGAGAACCAUUUAGUACAGAAGUUCGUCAUGCAUACCGAGAGAAGUGAUCGAUCGACCUCUCCUUCUCCGAGAGAUUGGUCGAACAACAAGUUUUUUACUGGCUACAUACAUGUACAAUCUAUAUAAGAUCUCUUAAUUACAAACCCCUAGCAUUUGAAAUCAACUUCCACAUGGUAUUCUCCGGCUUUACUGAUGACGUGUUCAAGAAAGAAUCCCGCCAAUUCCUCUUGAAUUGCUUUCAUGCGAUCUGGUGGUAGGAGUUCAUCCCGCAUCUGCCACGUCUAAUUAAUUUGAAGAAGGGGGUUAAUUAAUACAUAUAUAUGAAUCAAACUCAACAGAAAUGAUGGUGUAAUAAAAUGAAAUUGUGAAAGCUUACGCACUUCAUAUUGUCUUCUAGAGUAGCCCCGCUUGUUUUUCAAAGUCGCGUUGUGGAUGAACUCGCACACGUAGUAUCCACAGAAAUCAUUCCCUUCCUCCUGCCACAAGCACUUUACGAGAAAUAUAGGUCAAUCAAACUGAUAAUGAAGCAUUAUAAAUGGCAUUGAUGAAAGUAUAGCUAUAGAAUCAACGGGAGAUGCGCGCAACUAGCUAGCCAGUAGUACUUACUUUCGGGUAUAAAUAUCGCAGCUCCUUCGGCAGUCCCGGAGCUUGUGCGGUGAACUGUUUCCAAACCCUGCAAGACAAAGACAAUAAUUAUUAUUACUUGAGAUAUCAGGAAAUGAACAAAAAGUUGCCGAUAUGGUGCGAUAAUGAUCGAUUGAACUUACUUGCUGAGCAUUUCAGUCAUGUCCGCAUAGGUGCUGGGAUCUUUCCGUCUGGAGUCUAAGACGGUUACUAGUCCACGCUCAAGCUUAAUCUCCAGAAGAAUAUAGUGGUACCUGCACACACAUGCAUAACUCAUCAAUUACAUUAACCUCGCUUGAGUAAUAAGGGAAACCAAAUAUGCACACGACAGUAACACUCACGGGCCGUUGUAAGGAAAGAGUAUGGUAUCUUUGUUUUGAUUUUUGAUUAACGAUUGUAGCAAGUUGUCCUCGGCCUCUUCGACGUUCUUUUCAACCAGAAAUACAUCUAUGAUAUUUGCGUUAAUGAACCCAAUAUCAUAGAUUUCAUUUUUUUGCACUCGACGAUCUUCAAUCUGCAUAAUAUAUUGAGGAUAAUUAAUUAUAAAUACAUGCAAUGAAAGAGCCGAGCUAUAUAUAGAGACUAAUGACAGAAAUAGUACUUACAGGCAGUAGCAAAAGACCAUUAAUUUAUCGAGGGCCUUUUGAUUGAAGAACUCAAAGAACUCCUCAAAUGGAACACACAACACAUCAUUUGAAACAAGGUCGUGCUCCUCUUUAAUUUUCAGAUACAAACUGUUCGUCCCCUCAGACUCUCUGCAGGUUUUCAUGUACCAACUAUGGAAUCUUCGCAUCAUUGUUGUCAGAGAUUUUUCAUCUUUGACGAGAGGCUUCCCGUACUCGUAUCUGAAUACGUCCACCUCCAUGAAAUCAGGAAGUGCAUCGUCAGGCAGGUAAUCUUCAAGAUUGCCAUAACCGGCCACCGUCCCCGGAGGAUUAGACACAUUGAGCGGGGGGGCACGAUUGAUGUGCUUGUUCGCCGAGCCGGGCAAUUUUUUUCCCCUUUGCUCGUUGUUCUUUUGACCUUUUAUCACUAACAGUAGUUCCCGACCGCUUGGCUUCGAGAUAUGUCUGUUCAGUAAUGCGCUCAUAGUUGGUUCUCGGCGGAGACUUUGGUGGUUUCCUCAGGGCAUCGAGAGUGCGCUUUGCUUUCACCGGAUCUACCUUCUCCUCCGAAGGUGGAUGUAUCUUUGCUUUCACCCCUUCAAAGAACUCCUUCACGUGGGCCUGCACGAUCGUAUUGUUUUCCUCGGUCCUCUCAUACGGUAACUUCUCUAGAGGCUUUAGAGGUGUACCGUAUCUGUAUUGCCUCUCUCUUCUUGUGUUGCUAGACGCCGGAGCAGACGGAGCGGCUGCGGCGUCUGUCUUCUUUCAUGCUUGCUUACGAGGCGGAGGAGAAGGACUACGACGCGCCGGAGCAGCCGGGGCAGCGGCGGGUCUCUUCCGCCCUUGCUGGCGAGGCGGAGAAGGAGGAGGCGGAGUGCCGCCACGCGCCGGAGAAGGAGGCGGAGUGCCACCAGGCGUGCCCUGAUCGUCACUCGCCGGAGGAGGAGGCGGUGGAGGAGGCGGAGUGCCGCCACGCAUGCCCUGAUCGUCACUCGCCGGAGGAGGAGGCGGUGGAGGAGGCGGAGUGCCCUGACUCGCCAGAGGAGGAGGAGGAGGCGGAGGCAUCCAUUUCAGAAGGUUGAUGAGCUCCUUCCGCCAUAGGCAUGGAGUCUUCAGAGAAGAACCCAGCCUAGUCUCCCCUUCACCGGUAGGGUGCUCAAGCGCGAGGUCCUCAAAUCCCUCCGUUAUUUCAUCCACCAUCACCUUAGCAAAUCCUUCUGGAAUCGGCUGGCAGUGAUAAGUUGUGCCGGGUCCACUAGGAUAAACUUGGCCAACAGCCGCCUUGACCUUCAAAUUCAUCCAUCGCGCCAUAAUGUGGCAAUUUUGAGACUCCGUGAUACCAUCCACGGGAUAGCUGGCAGGAGCCGUCAAGACAUGCUCCGGCUGAAGCAUCUCGGUGGAAGCAACGCUGCUUCUCCGCUGAGAUGGCGGGGUAGCUUAGGGGGAAGCUUCGGCAUGUUGUUUGUUGCGAUCUGCUGCUUCUCGUUCCUCUUCUUGAUCCUCUAGCCCCAUUACCCUUCCAAGCAGCGCCUGCAUUUGGUCCUGCUCCAGUUUCUUCCUCCUCUCGUGGGUUUUGUAACCCCCUGCGUCUGGAAAACCAACCUUCCACGGAAUGGAGCCUGGCGUGCCUCGUGUCCGUCCAGAGUGCUCGGGAUUCCCAAGGGCCAUUGUGAGCUCGUCCUUCUCCCUGUUUGGAAGGAACAUCCCUCGCUGCGCUGCAUCGAUAUAGUGUCGAAGGUUCUUGACUGGUGUUUGCAGUUGCUCGUCCGUCCACUGACACUUCCCUGUUACAGGGUCCAAGGUUCCGCCAGCCCCGAAGAACCAAGUCCGACAAUGGUCUGGCCAGCGCAUUGUCUCUGGUUCGAUCCCUUUUUCAAGCAGAUCAUGCUCAGCCUUGGACCACUUAGGCCGGGCUUUGAGGUAGCCACCUGACCCCGUGCGAUGGUGAAGCUUCUUCUUCGCAGCAUUUUUCUUGUUUGUCUCCGACAUCUUCUUACUCUUUUCCGAUGUCUUGUGGGCCACAAAUGCGUGCCAGUGAUCUUUGAUCUUCUCAUAUUUAACGAUGAAUUCUGGUGUCUUUUUUUUCUCGACAAACUGGUUCAGCUCUUUCCUCCACCUCCUCAUUAGGCUUGCCAUCUUCUUAAGAGCACAAGACCUGAUUAAUUGCUCUUUAACUGGCUUCUCCGGAUCCUCUGUCACGCCCAAGAUGCGGCCCUAUCCUAAAGGAACUCGAAGGUCCCACCAAGUAUAGAAGCGCAUCUUGAAGACGCUUUUGCAAGGUGGAUAUCAUUACAUCAACAUUACAUAAUAGAUGGGGAUACAUACAAGAGGCAUACAAUGCCACACGAAUACAACAUCAUACAUAAGAGAUCAACAUCCGACUACGGAUGGAACACAAAUAGAAACUCAAACAACAUCCACCCUGCUAGCCCAGGCUGCCGACCUGGAACCUAUCCCCUGAUCAAAGAAGAAGCAGAAGAAGAACUCCAAUACAAGCAAACAUCGCUCUCGCGUCAUGAUCAUCGCAUAACCUGUACCUGCAACUGUUGUUGUAGUAAUCUGUGAGCCACGAGGACUCAGCAAUCCCAUUACCAUGGGUAUCAAGACUAGCAAGGCUUAAUGGGAAAGGAAGGGGUAAAGUGGUGAGGUUGCAGCAGCGGCUAAGCAUAUAUGGUGGCUAACAUACGCAAAUGAGAGCGAGAAGAGAAACAAAGGAAUGGUCAUCAACUAGUAAUGAUCUAGAAGUGAUCCUGAGCUCCUACUUACGUCAAUCAUAACCCAGAAACCGUGUUCACUUCCCGGACUCCGCCGAGAAGAGACCAUCACGGCUGCACACACGGUUGAUGCGUUUUAAUUCGGAUCUGGUGUCAAGUUAUCUACAACCGAACAUUAACAAAUUCCCAUCUGCCACAUAACCGCGGGCAUGGCUUUCGAAAGAUAAUACCCUGCAGGGGUGUCCCAACAUAGCCCAUGAUAAGCUUUCGCGAUCAACGAAGGAUAUACCUUCUCCCAGGAAGACCCGAUCAGUCUCGGAAUCCCGGUUUACAAGACAUUUCGACAAUGGUAAAACAAAACCAGCAAGACCGCCCGAUGCACCGACAUCCCGAUAGGAGCUGCACAUAUCUCGUUCUCAGGGCAACACCGGAUGAACACUACGUACAACUAAAACCAGACCUCAAGUUUCCCCGAGGUGGCGCUGCAAGUGGCUCUAGUUCGGACCAACACUUAGACAAGCAUUGGCCCGGGGGGGCUGAAUAAAGAUGACCCUCGAGAGAGCGACUCCCAAGGGAAAAGUAGGUGGUGGUGAGGCAAAUGGUAAAACCAAGGUUGGGCCUUGCUGGAGGAGUUUUAUUCAAAGCGAACUGUCAAGGGGGUCCCAUAAAUCACUCGACCGCGUAAGGAACGCAAAAUCCGGGAACAUAACACCGGUAUGACGGAAACUAGGGCGGCAAGAGUGGAACAAAACAUCAGGCAUAAGGCCGAGCCUUCCACCCUUUACCAAAUAUAUAGAUGCAUUAAUUAGAUAAGAGAUAUUGUGAUAUCCCAACAUAAUCCUGUCCAUCAUGGAGCAAUCUUCAACUUCACCUGCAACUGACAAUGCUAUAAGAGGGGCUGAGCAAAGCGGUAACAUAGCCAAACAACGGUUUGCUAGGAAGGGUGUCAAAGGUUAGAGGUUCAUGGCAAUUCGGGAGGCUUGAAGAGCAAAUGAUAGGUAACGCAUCAUAGCGAUAGAACGAAGCAACUAGCAUAGCAAUGAUAGUAGUGAGAUCCAGGGUAGCGGUCAUCUUACCUGAAAUCCCGCUAGGAAGAAGAACGAGUCCAUGAAGAAGACAAGCGGACGUAGUCGAACGAAUCCUCACAAUCGCAACAUUACCGGAACUAAGAAGCAACACCGGAAAGAAACAAACAACAUGGUAAAUUCACAAGCAUAAACAUGGCAUGAUGCACAAACAAGUGUGAUGCAUGUCCGGUUUAAUGAGGCAUGGCAAAGUGCAACAAACAAUACUACAAGUUAAGUGGAGCUAAAUAUGCAACGAGUUGCAUAUUGACAAAACACCACAUCAAUUAUUUAGUUCUCUCUCGGUUAUGCUACUCAUCAAUAUUAAAUGUUGUUAAACAUGGCAAGGGGUGAAGCAUAAAGAAACUCCCUAACAAGGCAAGUUUAAAUGAGGCCGGAAAUAAGAAACAACAAUUCCGGAAAAUCCCCAUGUGCAUAUUUUGAUUUGAUACUGUUCUGCCCUAAACCAUAUUUUAAGGUUGUUAACCAGGAAAAUAAAGUGCACCAUGUUAAACUAGGCAUUUUUCCACCCCAUUUACAUAUAAAGUUUAUUAAAAUUGGAGCUACGGUUAUUUAGUUAUGAAAUAAACCAUUUUAACAUGGCAUUUGAGCAAAUUUAAACAAACAACAGUUUAAACAUUUUAAACAUGGAUGAAAGUGGCAUAUUAUUAAUCUACACAAAAUUCUAAGCAUUUUACAUGUUUUAAUCAUUUUAAUCCAAUGCACGGUUCAUGAGUUAUUAUAUGCAUGAUGCUUAUGGGUUUUUCUGUAAAACAGUAAACUCCUGGAUAAAUAGCAAAAUCGUUCCGCGGAAAAAAACAUGGAUAGGGCCGAAUCUGGACGGCCCAAAAGUGCACAGGAGAGGGGGCGGGGGCUGCUCACCCUGGGCCAAGGCCCGGUUGGUGCAGCAGGCCGGCUGAGGAGGCGCUGGGGAAAGAGGCUGCUGGGCUGAUGCGGGUGAAGGGCGACGCGGUGGCCCAGGCACGCUGGCGGCGCGGUCAACGCGAGGCACGAGGGAGCGGGCGCCUCGUCCUCUGCUCGUCAGGAAGCAGAGCAGCGGCGGCGGGGUGCUCUCCGGCGAGGGCGCAGCUUGGGAAGGCGGAGAGGAAGGUCGGCGAGAGGCGCAUGCGUCAGUUUCAACGACGAUGCAGAUGAGGCACGAGAGGUCGACGCGGUUGUGCAUGGCUGCUGGAGCUGCUCGAGCAGAGAAGAAGUCAGCGAUGGCUGGGUCGUUGAGGACCUCGUCGGCGGCACAAGCAGGAGGGAAACGGUCAGGAUCCAAGGGGGAGGACGCACGGGCUCGUCUGUUUCUUGUCCCGGGCAAAGAGAGACAGAGAGAGGUGAGACAGGGAGAGGGAAAGGAAGAGAGGGCGCGAGGGAGGCCCGACGGCGUGACCUGGAGGAGCUGGUGAUCAUCGACGGUGAGACGAGGCGGGGGUCGUGAGGAAGACAGCGGAGCUCUGGAUCGGGAGGAGCUCGGCUCUCCUCGGGCGUUGCACAGCGCGGAAGGGAUGCAGGGAGCAGUGGGAGGAGGAGGCGCGCACGGGAGGGGAGCCAUGGGUCUUGGGUGCGUGCUCGAGCUUGAGCAGCGAGCUCCUCUUGCUCGGACGCGGGCGUCGCAAGGACGAAGGACGGCGAGGUGGCGGCUCGGGCUUCGGUGGCGUGGUGAGGAGCUUAGGCAGGGAGGUGGAUCGAGGAGGGGUUGGAUUUGGGUUGGCUGGUGUUGAACGAGGGGGGAUUUGGAUCGGGGAGGAUCCCGAUGUAGAUGGUGGCGAUGCUAGGGUAGGAUCCCUAGAAAUUAGGUGGUUUGUCUAGGUUAGUUAGGUGGGGUCUAUAUAUAGCAAAUGCAUUAGGUCCCUCCGAUCGUAAUCGGACGGCCGAAAAAAUAGGCUAGAGAGUCCAAAUAAGAAAACGGAGGUAUUUGAUAGACGUUUGGGGAUGAUCCGGAUCCAUCGGUAACGACAGACCGGUUCGGGUUCGGGUAAGAUUCGGACACGCACACGAGGGGUCUGAGAGAGGUCAACGAGGGCAAGGGCCUGCCAAAAUAACAACGGAGGCAAAGAGAGAAAGGGCAACUGCGAACGGCUACGAGUUUUUAUAAAAACAUGUGGAUGCAAUGCACAUGAUGCCAUGAGAUGAAAUGCAUGACAUGAACAAAAUGCAAAAACAAAAUACAAAAACCCAACCACGAAGGAAAAUAAAAUAUCACAUCUACGGAAAAGGCAAGAGUUGGAGUUAUGAAUGUGGAAAGUUGUAUCCGGUGCGUUACAACACUCCACCACUACGAGAGGAUCUCGUCCCGAGAUCUGGGAUGGCGCCGGAGAGAAAAACGGAAGAGGAAGAGAGAAGGUAAACCAAGUCGCUUCUUUGACGAACGAGUGAAACCACAAACCUUGAGAGGUUGAGCAAUUUAAAAGAAAGGGUACAACAGAGAUGAACGAGAUUGCAAACAACCCAGUAGAAAAGAGGAACAAGGAGUAUUACGAGAACAUGAAGGUUGAAAGACAUGGAAAUAAGAGCUUCAUGAACGAAAAGAAUAUGACAACCUCGGUAUAAUGAGAUAGCCAAGGAACAAGAAUGACCGAAUUUGGACAGCACUCCGGUAGAAAAGAGAAGAAAACUUGAUGAGAUGAAAAGACAUUGAAGAGAUGAUACAACACUCCGGUUAAAUGGAUAAGCAAGAAAAGAACACGAUCCUCACAAAACGAGGUGAUGGGUGAAGGGCGCAACAUCACAAUACCUCCGGAACGAAAGAAUAGAAGCUAGACCGUUGGGAUAAAGGGAUGGAGAAGAAAAUGACAACUUCUACCACAAUUGAAUUUGGAAGGCAUCCUUGCAAGAAGGUUAGAAUAGAGUUGUUGGAAGACCAACAACGAAAAGAAUAAGUUUGUAGUGGGCUUAUGGAAACAUCUCAACAUUAUGAGGUGACAACCGACCACUAAAGGAAACAAUUGCUAGCUUUAGAUCGACGAAGAGAUGAACACUUCUUCCACCAAGAUGAUAAAGAGAUAACUUGGAUCAUUGAUAAGCACCACAAAAGCAACAUUCCUUAGGGAAGGCUUUAGGUGAAAUAUGACACAAGAUAACUCCAACAACGAGGUUGAUGGUUGAAAAGAUCUCUUGAACAAAGAGAAAAUGAUGGAUUUAAAUAUCUCAUUCUUAACAACUUGCGAAUCAUGAAACACGAAGUGAAAUUGUCAAGAAUGACAUAAGACCACCCCAAAAGGUAGAAAGAAUUGCACUUCGGGAUGCACGAUGAAGAAUGCUUGAACUCCUCAAAACAAAACAUGUGUUGAGCACCAUGUUUAAUUUUGAGCAUAGCUUGGCUGAUCUUAACUUCAAGAGAAAUCUUGAAGAACAAUUGAAGAAUGAAAAGAAUCCUUGAUGAACCACCAUGUAGAGCCUCCAUGAAGAACUCCGGUAAAAAAAGGAUGAUAAAAAAGAAAGGGAAGUUGAAAACACAAGGUGAAGCCUUGCCAUGAUUUAGAUGGAGCUUCGCGAUGAUAUAACCGAGAGAACUUGGAACUCCGAAAAGAAAAGAUGAUCUUAGAACCGAGAAUUUAUUCCUCAAGAACAAACUCCAAAUGAAACAAUUUAUCACUUGGAUGAAACAAUAAUAAGAAUUACAUUAUGCCUAUCCUUCACCAAUUUAAAUUGAUGACAAGCAACGGAUUUGGCAUACUACUUAUUCCUGUAGAAAGAAUUAAAAGAGAUAUAGCGCAAGCUUGAGAAGGUAUUGAUGGAAUCACCGGUGGGAUUUGGAAACAACGAAUGAAUUGAUAUGAUAACGAAGGAAGUGAAAUCUUGAACGAACCACCAUAAGAAUUCAAAAUGAAAGUAGCAAAGGCACAAUUCACCGGGAAGAGUUGGAAAACGAAUGAAGAUACUUGAGGGGAUUUAGAUACCUGAGAACGAAGAGAUCAUGAACUGAUUAGAGGAUAUCUGAACGAUUCAUUGAUAAGAUUUGGAGAACAAUAGCUACACACUGAGAAUGAAGAAUUAUGGCAUGAUGGCCUUCGGAGGAAAGAAAUGGAAACAACUCAUGAAAUGCUCCGGAUGGUAAGAAAAGAAUUGUCACAAUCAAAACAAUUAUGAGGAUAGCAUGAAGCUAGAACCAUGAAUCUUCAAGAGAAUGGACCAAGAUUUAAGAGAAACUCUUCUUCGGUCUUCACAUGUUGAGAAUGAUCAUGAGAACCACCAUGACAAUUGUUGAGGCACUCCGGAAUGAAAAUUGGAAAGGUUGAACCUAUGAUGAAAGGAAUUUGAAAGAUCUUGGAGAAAGACAUAUGACUGAUGAUAACCAUUCUUACGUCAAACUUUGAAAAGAAUUUUAGAAGCUCCGAGAAAAUUAGAAGAGUCAGGUAAGAUCCUGGGAAAAGACCUGUGCGUUAGGGCCCACUGAAAAGAAACACACCGUUGAACAAUUUUAAAGAGAGGUUGCACCGGUUGAAUUAAAUGACUUGAAUGAGAUAAUAAUCUCCAAAUAGCUUGAACGGGUCUUAAAUGAAAAGAUGAGCCUUCUGAGAUAUCUUCAGCACUCCAGAACAAAUGGAUAGGAAGAAGUGAAUGAUUAAGAGGUGCAUCGGCAUGAGAAAGCAUUAGAAACGAGGAAAAGAAUAUGAUGAAUAUCGAAAGCUUGAAUUGGAUCCACCGAGAAGAAACAACAAUGAAGGAUGAUGAACUUGAAACUGUUGAGCAUCUUCAUGGGAAAUCACCGGAUAAGAACAUUGAAAGAAAAGAAUGAAGAGAUUUCUCACAAAUAAAAGGAUACAUGAUUAAGAAAUCUGAGUCCUUGAAAAAAAAGGGUGGGAGGGCGGGAAAACAAAGGCAACUUGGGGACGGAUGAAAUGAAUACCGUUGAGAAAACUUAGAAUUGAUCUCGCAAAUAUUGAAAUGAUCAGAUUCACUUGAAGAGAAGCACGCUGGUUGAAAAAGAAUUAACAUGACGACCUCGAUGAUCAAGAAGGAUUAGUACUCCCAUAGAAAUAUGAGAACACCGUUUAGAAAAGGUAUGGAAUCAACACUUGACAUUGAAGCAACUCAAAUACCACAACUCAAAACAAAAUAAAGGAUUGGCUUGCAGAAAUAAGCCGGAACAAAUACAUAUGAUAGAGAUUUACCCAAUCCCAUAUCAGGCAUCUGUCGGAAAGAUAUUCUAGGAGCUACUUGAAUUCCCACCUAUAAAACUCCCGAAACUUUCUGGUUAUGCAAUCUGGUGUUGGGGAUACAAGGGAAGCAAUAUAUAUCUCACCCAAAACUAACAAUCCAUACAUCCAGCUGUAUCCAUCCGUCAACACAUAACCAAGAAAACUCCAAAAAUCGUGUACCUCAACCUUCGAAAAGCAUCCGUUAUACGAGCUAUGGCAAUACUCCCGAACUCCCCAGUACUGGGUGGCGUCGAGGUUAUCUCACCAACAACUGCAUAAAAGAGAUUUUCAAUGUCGGCAAAACUCAGGUAUUCCAGAACUGCAACGAUAAAAUUAUGACGACAACACCUCGGAGCUCAACUCCCCGGGACACUGCCACAACCCCUAAAUGUCAGGAGGAACCAAGAACAAUGUUCUCGUCAUAAGAAUAUCGGAACGAUCCCAACAUACCCGCGUGAUCCUAAAAAAAUUCGUGAAAUUUGAGGAGAGGAAAGUCAAAACAUCUACGUCAGGAGUCCUCACCAGAGCGAUGAAGGGGGCUGAGGAGUAAAAAGAAUCCUACUCUCCGAUAUAUAUAAUCCUAAGACUCAAAAUAGUUUUCUUCUAGACUCAACAACGGCCAACAAUCAAGGGGGCUCCUAUGGUCGGUCGAGGCUCUGAUACCAACUUGUCACGCCCAAGAUGCGGCCCUAUCCUAAAGGAACUCGAAGGUCCCACCAAGGAUAGAAGCACAUCUUGAAGACACUUUUGCAAGGUGGAUAUCAUUACAUCAACAUUACAUAAUAGAUGGGGAUACAUACAAGAGGCAUACAAUGCCACACGAAUACAACAUCAUACAUAAGAGAUCAACAUCCGACUACGGAUGGAACAAAAACAGAAACUCAAACAACAUCCACCCUGCUAGCCCAGGCUGCCGACCUGGAACCUAUCCCCUGAUCGAAGAAGAAGCAUAAGAAGAACUCCAAUACAAGCAAACAUCGCUCUCGCGGCAUGAUCAUCGCAUAACCUAUACCUGUAACUGUUGUUGUAGUAAUCUGUGAGCCACGAGGACUCAGCAAUCCCAUUACCAUGGGUAUCAAGACUAGCAAGGCUUAAUGGGAAAGGAAGGGGUAAAGUGGUGAGGUUGCAGCAGCGGCUAAGCAUAUAUGGUGGCUAACAUAUGCAAAUGAGAGCGAGAAGAGAAACAAAGGAACGGUCGUCAACUAGUAAUGAUCUAGAAGUGAUCCUGAGCUCCUACUUACGUCAAUCAUAACCCAGAAACCGUGUUCAUUUCCCGGACUCCGCCGAGAAGAGACCAUCACGGCUACACACACGGUUGAUGCGUUUUAAUUCGGAUCUGGUGUCAAGGUAUCUACAACCAAACAUUAACAAAUUCCCAUCUGCCACAUAACCGCGGGCAUGGCUUUCGAAAGAUAAUACCCUGCAGGGGUGUCCCAACUUAGCCCAUGAUAAGCUUUCGCGAUCAACAAAGGAUUUACCUUCUCCCAGGAAGACCCGAUCAGUCUCGGAAUCCCGGUUUACAAGACAUUUCGACAAUGGUAAAACAAAACCAGCAAGACCGCCCGAUGCACCGACAUCCCGAUAGGAGCUGCACAUAUCUCGUUCUCAGGGCAACACCGGAUGAACACUACGUACAACUAAAACUAGACCUCAAGUUUCCCCGAGGUGGCGCUGCAAGUGGCUCUAGUUUGGACCAACACUUAGACAAGCAUUGGCCCGGGGGGGCUGAAUAAAGAUGACCCUCGAGAGAGCGACUCCCAAGGGAAAAGUAGGUGGUGGUGAGGCAAAUGGUAAAACCAAGGUUGGGCCUUGCUGGAGGAGUUUUAUUCAAAGCGAACUGUCAAGGGGGUCCCAUAAAUCACCCGACCGCGUAAGGAGCGCAAAAUCCGGGAACAUAACACCGGUAUGACGGAAACUAGGGCGGCAAGAGUGGAACAAAACAUCAGGCAUAAGGCCGAGCCUUCCACCCUUUACCAAAUAUAUAUAUAUGCAUUAAUUAGAUAAGAGAUAUUGUGAUAUCCCAACAUAAUCAUGUCCAUCAUGGAGCAAUCUCAACUUCACCUGCAACUAACAACGCUAUAAGAGGGGCUGAGCAAAGCGGUAACAUAGCCAAACAACGGUUUGCUAGGAAGGGUGUCAAAGGUUAGAGGUUCAUGGCAAUUCGGGAGGCUUGAAGAGCAAAUGAUAGGUAACACAGCAUAGCGAUAGAACGAAGCAACUAGCAUAGCAAUGAUAGUAGUGAGAUCCAGGGUAGCGGUCAUCUUGCCUGAAAUCCCGCUAGGAAGAAGAACGAGUCCAUGAAGAAGACAAGCGGACGUAGUUGAACGAAUCCUCACAAUCGCAACAUUACCGAAACUAAGAAGCAACACCGGAACGAAACAAACAACAUGGUAAAUUCACAAGCAUAAACAUGGCAUGAUGCACAAACAAGUGUGAUGCAUGUCCGGUUUAAUGAGGCAUGGCAAAGUGCAACAAACAAUACUACAAGUUAAGUGGAGCUCAAUAUGCAACGAGUUGCAUAUUGACAAAACACCACAUCAAUUAUUUAGUUCUCUCUCGGUUAUGCUACUCAUCAAUAUUAAAUGUUGUUAAACAUGGCAAGGGGUGAAGCAUAAAGAAACUACCUAACAAGGCAAGUUUAAAUGAGGCCGGAAAUAAGAAACAACAAUUCCGGAAAAUCCCCAUGUGCAUAUUUUGAUUUGGUACUGUUCUGCCCUAAACCAUAUUUUAAGGUUGUUACCAGGAAAAUAAAGUGCACCAUGUUAAACUAGGCAUUUUUCCACCCCAUUUACAUAUAAAGUUUAUUAAAAUUGGAGCUACGGUUAUUUAGUUAUGAAAUAAACCAUUUUAACAUGGUAUUUGAGCAAAUUUAAACAAACAACAGUUUAAACAUUUUAAACAAGGAUGAAAGUGGCAUAUUAUUAAUCUACACAAAAUUCUAAGCAUUUUACAUGUUUUAAUCAUUUUAAUCCAAUGCACGGUUCAUGAGUUAUUAUAUGCAUGAUGCUUAGGGGUUUUUCUGUAAAACAAUAAACUCCUGGAUAAAUAGCAAAAUCGUUCCGCGGAAAAAAACAUGGAUAGGGCCGAAUCUGGACGGCCCAAAAGUGCACAGGAGAGGGGGCGGGGGCUGCUCACCCUGGGCCAAGGCCCGGUUGGUGCAGCAGGCCGGCUAAGGAGGCGCUGGGGAAAGAGGCUGCUGGGCUGAUGCGGGUGAAGGGCGACGCGGUGGCCCAGGCACGCUGGCGGCGCGGUCAACGCGAGGCACGAGGGAGCGGGCGCCUCGUCCUCUGCUCGUCAGGAAGUAGAGCAGCGGCGGCGGGGUGCUCUCCGGCGAGGGCGCAGCUUGGGAAGGCGGAGAGGAAGGUCGGCGACAGGCGCAUGCGUCAGUUCCAACGACGACGCAGAUGAGGCACAGGAGGUCGACGCGGUCGUGCGUGGCUGCUGGAGCUGCUCAAGCAGAGAAGAAGUCGGCGAUGGCUGGGUCGUCGCGGACCUCGUCGGCGGCACGAGCAGGAGGGAAACGGCCAGGAUCCAAGGGGAGGACGCACGGGCUCGUUUGGUUCUUGUCCCUGGCAGAGAGAGACAGAGAGAGGUGAGACAGGAAGAGGGAAAGGAAGAGAGGGCACGAGGGAGGCCCGACGGCGUGACCUGGAGGAGCUGGUGAUCGUCGGCGGUGAGACGAGGUGGGGGUCGCGAGGAAGACAGCGGAGCUCUGGAUUGGGAGGAGCUCGGCUCUCCUCGGGCGUUGCACAGCGCGGAAGGGAUGCAGGGAGCAGCGGGAGGAGGAGGCGCGCACGGGAGGGGCGCCAUGGGUCUUGGGUGCGUGCUCGAGCUUGAGCAGCGAGCUCCUCUUGCUCGGACGCGGGCGUCGCAAGGACGAAGGACGGCGAGGUGGCGGCUCGGGCUUCGGUGGCGUGGUGAGGAGCUCAGGCAGGGAGGUGGAUCGAGGAGGGGAUGGAUUUGGGUUGGCUGGUGUUGAACGAGGGGGGAUUUGGAUCAGGGAGAUCCCGAUGUAGAUGGUGGCGGCGCUAGGGUAGGUUCCCUAGAAAUUAGGUGGUUUGUCUAGGUUAGUUAGGUGGGGUCUAUAUAUAGCUAAUGGAUUUUUGAUAGGGUCAUUAGGUCCCUCCGAUCGUAAUCGGACGGUCGAAAAAAUAGGCUAGAGAGUCCAAAUAAGAAAACGGAGAUAUUUUAUAGACGUUUGGGGAUGAUCCGGAUCCAUUGGUAACGAUAGACCGGUUCGGGUUCGGGUAAGAUUCGGACACGCACACGAGGGGUCUGAGAGAGGUCAACGAGGGCAAGGGCCUGCCAAAAUAACAACGGAGGCAAAGAGAGAAAGGGAAACUGCGAACGGCUACGAGUUUUUAUGAAAACAUGUGGAUGCAAUGCACAUGAUGCCAUGAGAUGAAAUGCAUGACAUGAACAAAAUGCAAAAACAAAAGACAAAAACCCAACCAUGAAGGAAAAUAAAAUAUCACAUCUCCGGAAAAGGCAAGAGUUGGAGUUAUGAAUGUGGAAAGUUGUAUCCGGUGCGUUACAUCCUCCUCUGGCGGUAGGGUGACAUUUGCCUUCAGCUCAGUCCAAAGAUCUUCUUUUUGCAUAUCAUUGACAUAAGACACCUCAUGGUCUUCAUCCUUAGCAGGCUUAUACCAUUGCUGGAUGCUGAUCGGGAUCUUGUCCCUAACAAGAACCCCGCACUGAGCAGAAAAUGCCUUCCUUGUCCGGAUGGGUUCAAUCGGUUCGCCAUCGGGCGCGAUUUCUAUGAUCUCAAACUUUUCAUCCGAGCUCAACUUUUUCUUCGGGCCUCGUCUCCUUACUGAAGUUGUGCUUGAUCCGGAGGGCUAGAAAUUAUAAGGAAGAAAGACGACAGUAAUUAAUAUGUGUACAUAUACCAAAACAAUGGAUGCAUCAAUUACUAGUUAGCAUGGGCUUAACUAAUAUAUAUAUACCUGGCCGGACUCGGUUCGGUGACCGGAGCAGUCAGCCCGGUCUCCUUCUUGUACCUCCAUNNNNNNNNNNNNNNNNNNNNNNNNNNNNNNNNNNNNNNNNNNNNNNNNNNNNNNNNNNNNNNNNNNNNNNNNNNNNNNNNNNNNNNNNNNNNNNNNNNNNNNNNNNNNNNNNNNNNNNNNNNNNNNNNNNNNNNNNNNNNNNNNNNNNNNNNNNNNNNNNNNNNNNNNNNNNNNNNNNNNNNNNNNNNNNNNNNNNNNNNNNNNNNNNNNNNNNNNNNNNNNNNNNNNNNNNNNNNNNNNNNNNNNNNNNNNNNNNNNNNNNNNNNNNNNNNNNNNNNNNNNNNNNNNNNNNNNNNNNNNNNNNNNNNNNNNNNNNNNNNNNNNNNNNNNNNNNNNNNNNNNNNNNNNNNNNNNNNNNNNNNNNNNNNNNNNNNNNNNNNNNNNNNNNNNNNNNNNNNNNNNNNNNNNNNNNNNNNNNNNNNNNNNNNNNNNNNNNNNNNNNNNNNNNNNNNNNNNNNNNNNNNNNNNNNNNNNNNNNNNNNNNNNNNNNNNNNNNNNNNNNNNNNNNNNNNNNNNNNNNNNNNNNNNNNNNNNNNNNNNNNNNNNNNNNNNNNNNNNNNNNNNNNNNNNNNNNNNNNNNNNNNNNNNNNNNNNNNNNNNNNNNNNNNNNNNNNNNNNNNNNNNNNNNNNNNNNNNNNNNNNNNNNNNNNNNNNNNNNNNNNNNNNNNNNNNNNNNNNNNNNNNNNNNNNNNNNNNNNNNNNNNNNNNNNNNNNNNNNNNNNNNNNNNNNNNNNNNNNNNNNNNNNNNNNNNNNNNNNNNNNNNNNNNNNNNNNNNNNNNNNNNNNNNNNNNNNNNNNNNNNNNNNNNNNNNNNNNNNNNNNNNNNNNNNNNNNNNNNNNNNNNNNNNNNNNNNNNNNNNNNNNNNNNNNNNNNNNNNNNNNNNNNNNNNNNNNNNNNNNNNNNNNNNNNNNNNNNNNNNNNNNNNNNNNNNNNNNNNNNNNNNNNNNNNNNNNNNNNNNNNNNNNNNNNNNNNNNNNNNNNNNNNNNNNNNNNNNNNNNNNNNNNNNNNNNNNNNNNNNNNNNNNNNNNNNNNNNNNNNNNNNNNNNNNNNNNNNNNNNNNNNNNNNNNNNNNNNNNNNNNNNNNNNNNNNNNNNNNNNNNNNNNNNNNNNNNNNNNNNNNNNNNNNNNNNNNNNNNNNNNNNNNNNNNNNNNNNNNNNNNNNNNNNNNNNNNNNNNNNNNNNNNNNNNNNNNNNNNNNNNNNNNNNNNNNNNNNNNNNNNNNNNNNNNNNNNNNNNNNNNNNNNNNNNNNNNNNNNNNNNNNNNNNNNNNNNNNNNNNNNNNNNNNNNNNNNNNNNNNNNNNNNNNNNNNNNNNNNNNNNNNNNNNNNNNNNNNNNNNNNNNNNNNNNNNNNNNNNNNNNNNNNNNNNNNNNNNNNNNNNNNNNNNNNNNNNNNNNNNNNNNNNNNNNNNNNNNNNNNNNNNNNNNNNNNNNNNNNNNNNNNNNNNNNNNNNNNNNNNNNNNNNNNNNNNNNNNNNNNNNNNNNNNNNNNNNNNNNNNNNNNNNNNNNNNNNNNNNNNNNNNNNNNNNNNNNNNNNNNNNNNNNNNNNNNNNNNNNNNNNNNNNNNNNNNNNNNNNNNNNNNNNNNNNNNNNNNNNNNNNNNNNNNNNNNNNNNNNNNNNNNNNNNNNNNNNNNNNNNNNNNNNNNNNNNNNNNNNNNNNNNNNNNNNNNNNNNNNNNNNNNNNNNNNNNNNNNNNNNNNNNNNNNNNNNNNNNNNNNNNNNNNNNNNNNNNNNNNNNNNNNNNNNNNNNNNNNNNNNNNNNNNNNNNNNNNNNNNNNNNNNNNNNNNNNNNNNNNNNNNNNNNNNNNNNNNNNNNNNNNNNNNNNNNNNNNNNNNNNNNNNNNNNNNNNNNNNNNNNNNNNNNNNNNNNNNNNNNNNNNNNNNNNNNNNNNNNNNNNNNNNNNNNNNNNNNNNNNNNNNNNNNNNNNNNNNNNNNNNNNNNNNNNNNNNNNNNNNNNNNNNNNNNNNNNNNNNNNNNNNNNNNNNNNNNNNNNNNNNNNNNNNNNNNNNNNNNNNNNNNNNNNNNNNNNNNNNNNNNNNNNNNNNNNNNNNNNNNNNNNNNNNNNNNNNNNNNNNNNNNNNNNNNNNNNNNNNNNNNNNNNNNNNNNNNNNNNNNNNNNNNNNNNNNNNNNNNNNNNNNNNNNNNNNNNNNNNNNNNNNNNNNNNNNNNNNNNNNNNNNNNNNNNNNNNNNNNNNNNNNNNNNNNNNNNNNNNNNNNNNNNNNNNNNNNNNNNNNNNNNNNNNNNNNNNNNNNNNNNNNNNNNNNNNNNNNNNNNNNNNNNNNNNNNNNNNNNNNNNNNNNNNNNNNNNNNNNNNNNNNNNNNNNNNNNNNNNNNNNNNNNNNNNNNNNNNNNUCUGUUAGUGCCAUUACUUUUUAAAUUUGAAAACACUUUUUUUGUUUUCUUUCUUGCUUUAUUUAUUUUAUUUUGUUUCUACUUACAAAAAAAAUACUUAUUGUUGUUUUUUUUGUUUUGUUUUCUGCAUUAUUUAUUUUCUUUUGUUUUUUGCUUUAUCUUUAAUUCUUUUUGCUUUUAGUUUUAGGAAAAUUAUAAACUUUCCACUUUUUUUGUUUUUUUGUUUUCUUUCUUGCUUUAUUUAUUUUAUUUUGUUUCUACUUACAACAAAAUACUUAUUGUUGCUAUUUUUAAUUAUUACGAGGGCCGAAGCAUAAGACAUUAAAGCAUUUCAAAUGAACUCUGAAAAAGUUGAAAGUUGGCAUGGUAUCAUAAAUUGACCCACACAUAGCAUGUGCAUGUACAAAACGGACAAUGGUAUCAUACUCGUGAGUUACAAAGUUGGCAUGGUAUCAUCAUAAUAGUUGCGGGAGAAAGUCUUCACUUUUUCUUCGCUUGUGUCAUUUGCUUAUUGCGCCGUAACCAUGGAUAAUCUUCAUCGUUUAUCAGGAUGCUGGGGUCAGCCUUGACUUUAAAGGAAGGAAUUUCAUGAAACUUUUCAUAAUCUUCAGACAUGUCUGUCUUGUCCUCCACUCCCACGAUGUCUCUUUUUCCUGAAAGAACUAUGUGGCGCUUUGGCUCAUCGUAUGAUGUAUUCGCUUCCUUAUCUUUUCUCUUUCUCGGUCUGGUAGACAUGUCCUUCACAUAGAUAACCUGUGCCACAUCAUUGGCUAGGACGAACGGUUCGUUAGUGUACCCAAGAUUUUUCAGAUCCACUGUUGUCAUUCCGUACUGUGGGUCUACCUGUACCCCGCCUCCUGACAGAUUGACCCAUUUGCACUUAAACAAAGGGACCUUAAAAUCAUGUCCGUAGUCAAGUUCCCAUAUGUCCACUAUGUAACCAUAAUAUGUGUCCUUUCCCCUCUCGGUUGUUGCAUCAAAGCGGACACCGCUGUUUUGGUUGGUGCUCUUUUGAUCUUGGUCAAUCGUGUAAAAUGUAUUCCCAUUUAUCUCGUAUCCUUUCCAAAUCAAUACAGUCAAAGAUGGUCCCCUGGAUAACAAGUACAGCUCAUCACAAAUGGUGUUGUCACCUCUGAUACGUGCUUCCAACCAACUGCUGAAAGUCCUGAUGUGUUCACAUGUAAUCCAGUCGUCGCACUGCUCCAGGUGUUUGGAGCGCAGACUGUUCUUGUGUUCAUCGACAUACGGGGUCACCAAGGUAGAGUUCUGUAGAACUGUGUAGUGUGCUUGAGACCAAGAAUAUCCGUCCCUGCAUAUUAUUGAGUCCCUUCCAAGCGUGCCUUUUCCAGUCAGUCUCCCCUCAUACCGCGAUUUAGGGAGACCUAUCUUCUUAAGGCCAGGAAUGAAGUCAACACAAAACCCGAUGACAUCCUCUGUUUGAUGGCCCAUGGAGAUGCUUCCUUCUGUCCUAGCGCGGUUACGGACAUAUUUCUUUAGGACUCCCAUGAACCUCUCAAAGGGGUACAUAUUGUGUAGAAAUACGGGGCCCAGAAUGACAAUCUCGUCAACUAGAUGAACUAGGACGUGCGUCAUGAUAUUGAAGAAGGAUGGUGGGAACACCAGCUCGAAAUUGACAAUCUGGAUCGAUCACCUUCUGAGAGAUUGCAUUGAGGAAUGCACAUAGCUUCACAAUGGCUAAUCGGAUGUUUUUCGGUAGAAGCCCCCUCAAUGCAACCGGAAGCAGUUGUGUCAUAAUCACGUGGCAGUCAUGAGACUUUAGGUUCUGAAACUUUUUCUCUGCCAUAUUUAUUAUUCCUUUUAUAUUCGACGAGAAGCCAGUCGGGACCUUCAUACUAAGCAGGCAUUCAAAGAAGAUUUCCUUCUCUUCUUUGGUAAGAGCAUAGCUGGCAGGACCUUCAUACUGCUUUGGAGGCAUGCCGUCUUUUUCGUGCAAACGUUGCAGGUCCUCCCGUGCCUCAGCUGUAUCUUUUGUCUUCCCAUACACGCCCAAGAAGCCUAGCAGGUUCACGCAAAGGUUCUUCGUCACGUGCAUCACGUCAAUCGAAGAGCGGACCUCUAGGUCUUUCCAGUAGGGUAGGUCCCAAAAUAUAGAUUUCUUCUUCCACAUGGGUGCGUGUCCCCCAGCGUCACUCGGAACAGCUAGUUCGCUGGGACCCUUUCCAAAGAUUACGUGUAAAUCAUUGACCAUAGCAAGUACGUGAUCACCGGUACGCAUGGCGGGCUUCUUCCGGUGAUCUGCCUCGCCUUUGAAAUGCUUGCCUUUCUUUCGACAUUGAUGGUUGGUCGGAAGAAAUCGACGAUGGCCCAGGUACACAUUCUUCCUGCAGCUUGCCAGGUAUAUACUAUCGGUGUCAAGUAAACAGUGCGCGCAUGCGUGGUAUCCCUUGUUUGUCUGUCCUGAAAGGUUACUGAGAGCGGGCCAAUCGUUGAUGGUCACGAAUAGCAACGCCUUUAGGUUAAAUUCCUCCUGUUUGUGCUCAUCCCACGUACGUACACCGUUUCCAUUCCACAGCUGUAAAAGUUCUUCAACUAAUGGCCUUAGGUACACAUCAAUGUCAUUGCCGGGUUGCUUAGGGCCUUGGAUGAGAACUGGCAUCAUAAUGAACUUCCACUUCAUGCACAUCCAAGGAGGAAGGUUAUACAUACAUAGAGUCACGGGCCAGGUGCUGUGAUUGCUGCUCUGCUCCCCGAAAGGAUUAAUGCCAUCCGCGCUUGAAGCAAACCAUACGUUCCUUGGCUCACUUGCAAACUCAUCCCAGUACUUUCUCUCGAUUUUUUUCCACUGCGACCCGUCAGCGGGUGCUCUCAACUUCCCGUCUUUCUUACGGUCCUCAAUGUGCCAUUGCAUCAACUUGGCAUGCUCUCCGUUUCUGAACAGACGUUUCAACCGUGGUAUUAUAGGAGCAUACCACAUCACCUUCGCAGGAACCCUCUUCCUGGGGGGCUCGCCAUCAACAUCACCAGGGUCAUCUCGUCUGAUCUUAUACCGUAAUGCACCGCAUACCGGGCAUGCGUUCAGAUCCUUGUACGCACCGCGGUAGAGGAUACAGUCAUUAGGGCCUGCAUGUAUCUUCUGCACCUCCAAUCCUAAAGGGCAUACGACCUUCUUUGAUGCGUAUGUACUGUCGGGCAAUUCGUUAUCCUUUGGAAGCUUCUUCUUCAAUAUUUUAAGUAGCUUCUCAAAUCCUUUGUCAGGCACAGCAUUCUUUGCCUUCCACUGCAGCAAUUCCAGUACGGUACCGAGCUUUGUGUUGCCAUCUUCGCAAUUGGGGUACAACCCUUUUUUGUGGUCCUCUAGCAUGCGAUCGAACUUCAGCUUCUCCUUUUGACUUUCGCAUUGCGUCCUUGCAUCGACAAUGACCCGGCAGAGAUCAUCAUCAUCGGGCACAUCGUAUGGUUCCUCUUGAUCUUCACCAGCUUCGCCCGUUGCAGCAUCAUCGUGCACAUCGUCUGGUUCCUCUUGAUCUUCAGGAGCAUCACUGUAUUCAGGGGGCACAUAGUUGUCAUCGUACUCUUCUUCUUCGCCGUCUUCCAUCAUAACCCCUAUUUCUCCGUGCCUCGUCCAAACAUUAUAGUGUGGCAUGAAACCCUUGUAAAGCAGGUGGGUGUGGAGGAUUUUCCGGUCAGAGUAAGACUUCGUAUUCCCACAUAUAGGGCAUGGACAACACAUAAAACCAUUCUGCUUGUUUGCCUCAGCCACUUCGAGAAAAUCAUGCACGCCCUUAAUGUACUCGGAGGUGUGUCUUGAACCGUACAUCCAUUGCCGGUUCAUCUGCGUGCAUUAUAUAAUGAAGUGACAAAAUUAAUAGAAGUUCAUCAUCACAUUAAAACCAAAGUACAUACAUAGUUCUCAUCUAACAACAUAAAGCUCUGUAGAGCAUCUAAAUUAAUUAAACCAUACACCUAAACUAUGUAAAACAUUUCAAUGCGAAAACAAAUGCGAUCAUAAUCGCAACCAAUGUAACAACUGAUCCAACGGCAUAAUGAUACCAAGCCUCGGAAUGAAUGGCAUAUUUUCUAAUCUUUCUAAUCUUCAAGCGCAUUGCAUCCAUCUUGAUCUUGUGAUCGACGACAUCCGCAACAUGCAACUCCAAUAUCAUCUUCUCCUCCUCAUUUUUUCUAAUUUUUUCCUUCAAGAAAUUGUUUUCUUCUUCAAUUAAAUUUAACCUCUCGACAAUAGGGUCGGUUGGAAUUUCCGAUUCAACAACCUCCUAGAUAAAUAAAAUCUAUGUCACGUUGGUCGGCAUAAUUGUCAUAAACAAUAAAUGAACCAAUAGUUAUGAAAAGAUAAUAUAUACCACAUCCGAAUCAUAGACAGGACGAGGGCCGACGGGGGCGGAUACCAAAACCAUCGCACUAUAUAAGAUGCAAUAAUAAAAGUAAGAAAAUAAUACAAGUAUCUAUCUAAACAUACAAGUAAGAAUAUUUUUCCUUUCAGAAAGAAGAUAAGAACAAGAGGCUCACCACGAUGGUGCCGGCGAUGAGAUCAACGCGGGUGAUCGACGACGGUGAAGACGGGGACGGGGCGUGACGGACCGCUAAAUCUAGACAAAUAUUGAGGAAAAUGGAGCUUGGCGGUCGAGCUUGGAGGGGAGAAAGCUUAAGUAGUGUGGCUCGGGCAUUCCAUCGAACACCUCGUGUGCAUAGGAGGUGAGCUAGAGCACCACAAAGCUCUCCCCUCGCCGGCCACGAAAAACAGAGCAUUGGGAGUGCUCUGCUCGCGAGCAGGGGUAUAUAUAGGCACCUCAUUGGUCCCGGUUGGUGGCAUGAACCGGGACUAAAGGGCAGCCUUUGGUCCCGGUUCAUGCCACCAACCGGGACCAAUGGUGGUGGGCCAGGAGCGAGGCCCAUUGGUCCCGGUUCGUUCCACCAACCGGGACCAAAAGGUCCAGACGAACCAGGACCAAUGGCACACGUGGCCCGGCCGGCCCCCGGGGCUCAAGAACCGGGUCCAAUGCCCCCAUUGGUCCCGGUUCUGGAUUGAAUGGGGACUAAUGGGCUGGACUGGCCUGGACCAUUGCCCCCUUUUCUACUAGUGAACUCAACUUCACCGUAUAUGAACUCGCCGGAACUCCUUGAUCACGAACAGAAACGCAAGGCACAAUUUACUUUUUCCAUCCACUCUUACUCUUAAUUCUCAUCCGCCAGUGACGCGUCUCAACUACAGCAGAUGACUCACACCCCCGAAUUCUUGGACGCACCAUACAAGAACUCAUGCACACCUCGACGACAGCCCGCAUGUUUGCCGUCACCACCUUGCUCUCAUUUGCGAUGAUAUCGAUGGUUUCCCUGGUGUCGCAACUUCGGCACCUCCAUAACCAUCACCGAUCACCAAUGCCUUGUCGACGACAGCAUGUCGCCCUCCUCCAGGUCGUUCCGCCGAACGACAAUCACGAGCCGCCUCGCUUACGACAGUGUCCUCGCCACCUUCUCACCGUCGCUACGCCGAGCAAAGAUCACUCGAUCCUCCUCGUACGUCGCUCCCCGAACGACUAUUGCCUGCUCCACCUCGUCGCUGCACCACCCAGCGACUAUAUCGCCCGCUCUUCCUCGUCGCUGUACCACCGAACGACUAUAUGGCCGCCCCAAGGCGCUAGUAGGUCGCCACCCCGGGGCAAGCGCGGCUGUAAUAGAACCUUGCUCUAGAGACCAAUUGUUGGAAUUUCGCCCUCAGGAUCGAUUACAUCAGAUACGAGGAACACACGCACACAAAAAAAUGAUAGCCAAGGGCCCUUGUCGUGCCCUCUUUUCUCUUUAUUUUUUUGUUUCUCAACUCACGGUGUUACAAAUCGGAUGGACCGGUGUGCAUAUAUAUAAAUGACCUCACGAGCUAUAGCUAGCUAACCUAAACCGACUCAAACAACUAAUCCUGGCCGGACACACGUUGAAACAUAACUACGACAUGGGCAGCAUGCAUGCUAAUUCCUAAUACUACACGGCUUGCAAACCGGCCACCCCGCGUACAUCUCAAUUUACCUAGUUUUUUUUAGGGUUAAUGCUGCCGCUUUAUUUAGGUCUCCGCAAAGCUCGGAAUGUCAUCCGAGAUUACAGCCAAAAUACAGUCAGGGGAACCCCCAUCCACACCUUACAUAAAUUAUCACCUACACCUACUCUAGCCAUCUUAUGCGCGGCGACAUUCGCUGAACGACGAACCCAUGACACCUUAGCACCUUGCAUGUCCUGCAACACCUGCUUGAUUUCCUGAAUCCAGGGUCCAACCGUCGAGUAGUUUAUACCCUCUUGCUGGGUCAUCUGAACCACCUUCAAGCUGUCCAACUCAAGAUGAACAUUCUGCACUCCCAACUCUCCCGCCACCUGCAAAGCUCUCCUACAUGCCAAUACUUCCGCAGCUUCAGGGUCCUGUAUAUGUGGAAAUACAUGACACAUGGCAGCUAUGAAAGCUCNNNNNNNNNNNNNNNNNNNNNNNNNNNNNNNNNNNNNNNNNNNNNNNNNNNNNNNNNNNNNNNNNNNNNNNNNNNNNNNNNNNNNNNNNNNNNNNNNNNNNNNNNNNNNNNNNNNNNNNNNNNNNNNNNNNNNNNNNNNNNNNNNNNNNNNNNNNNNNNNNNNNNNNNNNNNNNNNNNNNNNNNNNNNNNNNNNNNNNNNNNNNNNNNNNNNNNNNNNNNNNNNNNNNNNNNNNNNNNNNNNNNNCCCACCCUCGAAAUAGCACCAUCAGUGUUAAUCUUCACCCAGCCAUCAUCCGGUACAGCCUAUCGCUGGGUGAUCUUCGGGACUGGUACAGUUACCUUUGUUGGAUGUGAGUUGGUCCACUCCAGCAAAUGAGUAUACACUGAUUCCAUUAUCGCAUGUGGCACUUCCAACCGUUUCCCUUCCCUCGUAUUAUUUCUUGCUAGCCAAAGUCCGUAUGUGGCUUGGAUCAUAACUUCUUUCUCUUCCUCGGACGCUCCAGAGAACCAGCCAAGUAGCCAAGGCGCUAAUGCACCCUGGGUAUCAAUCUGACACGGCGGGGCUGCCACCGCGAUACCUUUUUCCAAGCGCAAAAGUUGCCAGAACUGUGCUGAAUGCUGACAUGCCCAAAAACGAUGGAUGAUUGUUUCUUCCCUCCCGCAUGCAACAAAAAAAACCCCCGGUUUGAUCCGUCUCCGAUGAAGUUCUGAUCCUACUGCUAGUCCAUUUCUGAUCAUGCGCCACAUGUGGAUUUUUGCCUUGGGUGGAGCACUCGUACCCCACAUCUCCAUAUACCCUUUGUGCUGCUGUACCGAGUCUGAAGACUCCUGCUGGCCCGUCCUCACCUUCCUCAUUGCCAUCCAAAGAUGAUAUGCUGACUUGACAUUAAAGACACCAUUCUUGGUAUAAUUCCAAGCCUGGUAGUCUUCGGUUUCGGGCCCUCCCACUGCUAUUUGCAUUAUAUCAUGAAUAUCUGAUUCCGAAAACAUAGCUGAUAGCUUUUCUGCAUCCCAAGCCGCACCACUCAAAUCGAGAAGAUCAGACACCUUCGUCACACCAUGAACAUAAACCUGACCCAGUGGUCUCAAACAGCCAUCCCUUGGAAUCCAAUUGUCAUGGUGGAUAUUAAUCCCCGCGCCGUCACCCACCCUCCACACGAGUCCCUCCCGAAGAAGGUCCCUCCCAUGCAAUAUGCUUCUGAACGUGUAAGAUGAGUUGGAUGGGCAGGUAGCACUCAAUAUCGAAUCAUCCUUGAAGUAUCUGGCCUUCAACACCCUAGCACACAGAGAAGACGACGUAGUAAGAAUCCUCCAUGCUUGCUUUACCAAAAGUGCUAGGUUGAAGCCCUCAGGAUUUCUGAACCCAAGGCCCCCUUCCCUCUUCGAAUUGCACAUCUUCUCCCAUGAGAUCCAAUGCACCUUUCUUUCACCGUUCAUUGCCCCCACCAGAAUUUUGAAGAGAUGGAUGUCAGGUUCCGGUAUAUCUUCUUUGUGAGGUGAAAGCAACUCAUCGUGAACGUUGGUGUUGAUUGUAAUCCCGAUUUAACAAGAACUUCUCUGGCAGCCUUGGGCAGACCCUGCCCUUUCCACCCUGUCACCUUACCCUUAGAGCUCUCAGUGACAUAAGGAAACGUACCCUCCUUUGAUCUUCCAACCAGUGUUGGCAGACCAAGGUAUCUUUCACUUAGCGCCUCACUAGCAAUGCCCACCGCCUCCUUAAGCUCAUUUUUGGUCUCAUUGUUGCAUCCCUUCCCGAAGAAAAUGGAGGACUUUUGCAUGUUCACCCGCUGGCCCGAGGCCUCCUCAUAUGUCAGUAAAAUUUCCUUCAGCGCAGUCAUGCUCUCUGAAGAGUCCUCAAGAAAAACAAUGCUGUCAUCGGCGAACAGCAAAUGAGUGACGUGGGGGCCAGUGCCCCCGAACGAAACUCCCUUGAUCCUCUGUUCCUCCUGUGCUCUUUUCAACAAGGCCGAGAACCCCUCAACACAAAAAAGGAAUAAAUAUGGUGAGAGCGGGUCACCUUGUCUUAGUCCACGCGAUGGUGUGAACCUCCUAGAGCCACCCCCAUUAAGCCUAACAGAAAACCGAGCUGAUGUAACACAUCUCAUAAUCAUACCAAUCCACCCAUGAUCAAAGCCAAACUUAGCCAUUGUCCUUUCCAGAAAACUCCACUCUACUCUGUCAUAGGCUUUCAUCAUAUCGAGCUUUACCGCACAUAAGCACUUCCUUCUCUUUCUAGUCCGGAUGGCAUGGACACAUUCGUAUGCUACUAACACAUUGUCCGUAAUAAGACGGCCUGGAACAAACGCACUUUGCUCUUCUGAUAUUAACACUGGUAGGAUGACUUUCAAUCUGUUCGUGAGCACCUUUGUUGCUAUCUUGUACAAAACGUAACACAAACUAAUAGGGCGAAACUGAGAAAGUAGCUCCGGUGCACUCACCUUAGGUAUCAUCACAAUAACAGUAUCAUUAAAUGAUUCCGGGGUUGUCUCACCGUUGAGAAACGUCCGAACAGCCGUACACACAUCUUGCCCCACCAACGACCAGUGUCGCUGAUAGAAAAGCGCUGGCAGUCCGUCCGGACCCGGCGACUUGGUCGGCCCCAUUUGGAACAAUGCUACCCUGAUUUCCUCAUCCGUGAUCGGCGUCGUUAGCUUUUCAUUCAUGUCAGCCGUCACCUGAGACUCAAUAUGCUACAGCAACGCCUCCGCACCAACCGAGCCUUCGGACGUAAACAGGUGCUCAUAGAAUGUCGCUGCCAUCUCUCUCAUUUCAUCAUCCACCAUACACUUGGUGCCAUCCUCCCUUAACAGCGCCUUUACCGUGUUCUUACGCUUCCUAUGUGAAGCACGGUUUUGGAAGUACUUGGUGUUUUGGUCUCCUACAACUAACCAAUCCACUCUCGAUCGCUGUCGGUAUAAAAUCUCUUCCCUCUCAAACAUCUCCUUCAACUGAUCCUCAAUGUCCCGUACCUCCUGCUGAUAUCCCGUCGACAAUGCCCUAGUCUUGGCAUCCACCAACUGUGUCUUGAGCGCAGCAAUCUAUCUUCUUAUCGAUCCGAACACCUCCCUGCUCCACCUUUGCAUGCUACCCGCUACCUGACCCAGCUUGCUCCACACAUCCUCAAGAUUCCUCCCGCCAGCGCCCGCCGCUUCCCACGCCUCUCGCACCAUUUGCUUGUAGUUCUCAUGCCUUGUCCAUGCUUCCUCAAACCGAAAGGGUCGGUCCCUACCUCGGGGAGCAGCUGGAGCGGUCUCCAUUGCCCUCACCAGUAGAGCCUGAUGGUCCGACUCCUCCGUCAUGAUGUGUUGCACGGACGUUUCUGGGUACAUCUGCAGGAAUCCAUCAUUGCAUGUUGCCCUAUCUAGCCUGACCUGAAUGUUUUCACUCCCAUCUCUUUUGUUAUCCCAUGUGUACGGGUAUCCAUUGAACCCCAGGUCCGCCAAGCCGCAGUCAGCUAGGCAGUCCCUAAAAUCCUCCAUACGUGAAAAAGGCCUUUGGUUACCCCCAAUCUGAUCAGCAUGGAAUAACACUUCAUUAUAAUCCCCUACACAAAUCCAAGGGAGAUCAUCUUGCCUUCUCAGAUACCUUAAAGCAUCCCACGAUUUCUUCCGUCUUUCCGUGUUCGGUUCCCCGUAGAAUCCAGUGAUCCUCGAGGUCUUGCCAUCACAAACAAACUCAGCAUCAAUGAAAUAUUGACUCCACGGUCUCACUGUAGCUUGUACGUGAUCUCUCCACCACAUGGCCAGUCCACCACUCCUUCCAUUGCAAUCCACCGCCACCCAUGUCUAAACCCCAAACUCCAUUUUAACCUAUCCAUCCCUCUCGCCUUUUUCUUCGUUUCACAUAAAAACACCACCGCUGGGUUGUAGGACCUAAUCAGGUCUCGUAAUUCACCAACCGUCGAGUCCAACCCCAAUCCUCGACAGUUCCAGGCUAGAAUGUUCAUUGCUCCUGGCGGCCCUGGUUAGCAGGGUCCGCCAUUGCUCCAUUUUGUUCCUCAAUGCGGUCAAACACAGACGACGUCUUCCGUCGUGUAUCACAAAUGAAACCGUCAUCGCCCCCACCUCUGAUGUUGUCAUCCUUCACCCUCCAAAUUUGUUUCGGGCCUCUUUUCCUGUUUUCCAACUCCCUUCUAGAAGAGGAAGUGUCACACUGCUGCACUUCAACAACCUGUCUUGGUUUCCUGACAUAAUAUCCCCUCCUUCUUCCACGUUCAUCAUGCAUGUUCGACCUUUCAUAAAGCCCCGGCUCACUGUAAUAAUCAUCCCUCCGAGAUUUGUAUUUUUGAUGUUCGGCUGCAUGCACUGAUCCCUUAUUGUACCCAUUUGCUUUGCCCUUGUAGUCAGCCCUAUUGGUACUCUCGUCUCCAUACCUUCUCUGCUGGUUUUUUAUAAUCAACUUCUCACGGAGAUCUUCCUCCCUCCGCUUCUCAAGGCUGUCCCGCAGGUCCUUUUCCUUUCGCACACCAUGCCCCGUCCCUGAUUUAGCCGGGCUAGUGAUCUCCACCCCACCCUACUCCGAACGACCGCCAGUGCGGCUUCCAGAGCCAGCAGCAAAAUCAGCUGCUAAGUUCCGUUUAGUGGGUAGAUUCCGGCCUCUGUUUUGAUCCUGUUGUCCUUUUCCAUCCUCCCCACUCCUUGAAUUUGCAAAACUGUUGCUACUGCUAGCCCCCUUAGCUCCAAACGAUCCUUCCUUGAAAGAACCAUUCCUUCCUGGGGAAGAACGUAGCCAGCUCCCCCAUUGAUCAGAGGAUUCCAGAGGGGGCACAAAUACCCCAUGUUCAUGAACCAGUCUGCCACAAUCGAAGCAAAAAUGUGGCACUUUUUCAUAAAAAAAAGUCAUACCACGUCCCAACCUUAUCCUCCUUCGAUUUCUUCAAGUUAAACCCACGGAUCAGAGGCUCAAAAACUGAGAUAGUAGUUCUAAUUCGUAGCUGCUGACCCCUCGCCAUGCCCUCUCCAUCUGUAUCCACCUUCACCACUUUACCAAUCCAAUUGCCUAGGGCAGUCCCAAAGGCUUCACACCUCUUGUCAGGUGGCAAAUCCACCACUCUUACCCAUAUGUCGAUCUCCUCAAACACCAUCUCAGAGGGUCUAAUCUUUCCUUCAUAUUCUUUCACAAUGAGUACACUAAAAUCAAAUUGCCAGGGUCCAUUAUUCAACACAUGUCUCCAAUCUCCUUCACUGCCCUAAACCUAGCGUAGUCGCACGAUCGCCAGGCAAUCGCCGCCUACAUCUCAACUUACCUAGUUAAUUAUCCGGCCAGCUUGAUCACGAUUACACCAAACUAACUCAGGCAUUGUUUGGAUUAUCCCAACACAAUCGUCCAUGGACAGAGGACCAGUCUGUGGACAUCUAUACAUGAAACCGCCAUCCAACCCAGUUCACAUACCUUUCAAAAACUUUUUAACAAACCAGAUGAAAUUCAUGCAAAGACAGUGAAAUUCACACAAAUCGCACGAAAACGUUUACAUUUUGGACAUAUCUUUUAACUAAAAAUGAUACUAGAGUAACAUGAAACUACUCAGCGCCGGCGAAUAGUCACUCCGGCAACAUGGAUAGCCUUGACUAGUCUACUGCCGGCCGCAAUGGAUCUGCAUUGCCGUCCCCAUGUCCCGUCAUGUCCCGUAGCUGUGAGCCCUGGAGGUAUAUGCUUUAGCAUAAAGAGCGGCUCGCUUCCCUACCGCUCAUCGGAGUGGAACAACCGGUUGAUGCUUUUGCCGGUGGGGAAGGGUCCCUACACUGCAUGGAUAGGAGUUGGUUUUGGGUAGGGGACGACGGUGGCCUGCCAGAGGGCAAGACAUCGGGUGUGUACUCCGGCGUCACCUUGGCGUGGCAUUCAUGGGACCCAAGCGGCAGCGGCUCCUCAAUGAUGGCGGCGAGCGUGGACGUGCUGGCCACCACCUAGUCGAUGUCCGCUCAGCCCGUUUCUUUCUCUGCAGGCAGGGAGUGGCUACGUGCACGUUGACAUCAUAUGACGCGGCCGCAGGCAUGGGAGGGGCGGUACGACAUGGCACCGUCGACGGCAGCCACGAUGCCCAUGCAGUCGUGCUCCCUGCCGGUGCCGACCUGUAACAACUCGCCACUCCUCAGUUCAUGACCGGCGGGCUCGAUGGGCCACCCAGCCGUUUUUAUGCGGGAAUACUCUUCUUCCUACUCAUCGGAUCCCAUGAAGAAAACUUCUCAAGGAGGAUAAUGGUGAGUGGAGGUAUGGUACGGUUCUUGCCCGACAUCUGACAGUGUUUAAAUAGCGGGCGAACACGAGAAGCCAACCAAUGUUCUGUUUAUUGCCGGCCGGCUCGCAAACGGACAUGUGGUUGGAGUAGGUAUCCUGGCACACACACGGGUUUAAUGAAGGAAGGCGGGCAGUUUGCAGCCGUUUGAAUGGGGGCGAGCAUGCAUGUUCAGCAUGGCGUGUAGCGCCCUCAGCCAGUGCGCCGCUUCCAUUGCGGAGGCAGUAAGGGAUGUGUACGCUCUGCAGUGGAGUGAAUGCGGGCAACUGGUGCAGGGCGGGAACACGAGCGGGCAUGGGAGGAGGCGGUUUGCAUGGGCACGUGUGAUAAGAAGCAGUCAUGGGUGCUGUCCGGACACCCGCAAAGCCCGCCUCCCCCACGUUUGUCUCCGGUUUGUGGGAGAAAGUAUGUCCGGACCGUCCUAUGGACCAAUACAGGCCCGCAUUGGAUGGCACAACACGUAUGGACCAUGUAGUCCGGAUGGUUGCAGAUGGUUUGAUGGUUGGCGUUGGAUAUGCCCUUAGCGCUUAUAAAUCCAUUGUGUUUUUCUAAUCAUAAAAAGCACUUAUGACAAGUUAUAAUGAAAGACACGUAUAUAUGUUAGGUUCAGACUCCAACUUUCCCGUUGCAUAUGAAUUUUUCUGAUCCGACCCAUACCAAUAGAGUGAGGCUAGCGUCGCUUUUCUAGAAACUCGCGGGAUAAGAAGACAUGCAUACAUAUUAUUUCAAGGAAAUCACAUCCACUCUUUUUAACUUAUUUUUUCUUAUUUUCAUAAUAUAAUAGAUCAUUUGUAUUUUUAUUUCAAACAAUUAACGUGUAACUUUUAUUGUAAUCUAAGGAUAUUGUUUGGAUUUUACUUUCAAAUAUUUGAAAUGGCCAUGAUGGAAUCACAUCCAUUUAUUUUAUUAUUAUUUGAAUUUGAUCCAAAAGAUAAAUAAUGAGUAGAGGUCAUGUCAACUUUUCCUAGAAUUUGCUAAUCAAAAUAUAAUUUCUAUCUUAAUACAAUCCAUUAUUUAACUACUCUAUUGAUUUGUAUUUAAAAACAUAUAUUUUUAGCACGCAUAAAAAACAUAACAUGUAUCUUUCCACACAAACUAUAGGUUGUCAUGAAAACUCAUGCCAUGCCAUAGCCUCCCUCCGACCCUGCCAACAUUGUUGCAGCUGCACUCGCAAGCCUUAGCGUGGAUGAUCAUUUAUAUGAUUUGCGUAAAACAAACUAAGAUCUACAAACGAAUAGAAGCUAGAACAUACCUUGGUAUGCACACACAUUGCAAGCCAUACUAAGCUGAUAAGUGUCAAUAACUUGUACAACAUAUACAACACCGAAGACAAGUAAAAGCAAUUUGAUGAGUCAUGGUCUAUCAAAGCAAGCUACAUUACUACUCUAAUCUAUCUUAACAGGUCACACAUGAUUACAAUCUUUUUUGUGUGCAAGUCAAGCUUAUCUAUUUUACACGUAACAACUUGUAGAACAUUACAAAAUUGAUGUUUGCUAAUAACUUCUAGAUCACUACAACACUUGACAUGUAAAAGGAAUUUGAUGAGUCAUGACCUACUAAAGCAAGUUACAUUACUAGUCUCAUCUAUCUUAACAGGCCACACAAGAUUACAAACUAAGUUCUGUGCAAGCAAUGCUUAUCUAGUUUACACGUAACAACUUGCAUAACAUUACAAACUUAGUUUCAGAAAAUUAGGCAAUCUAGAUUAGUGUUUAUUUGUAAAGUGAAUAAGAUGAGUCAUGUGUGUUAUCACACCUUUUUUGUGGUGGAAUGAUAGUGCCACAAAACACAACAUACCAAAAAUUGAUUUCGGGAAGCAUCCAAGCACUUUCCAGGCAAGCAAAUGCCAAUUGUGAAAGAGAUCAUGCCAUGGCAGCUAUAAAUAGGCCUGUAGCAUGAUGACAUCCUUCCUCAUUCAUCAUUCUCAUAAGUAGAGUGUAUCAUUCAAGCCAAGCAAGCAGUGGUCAAUACAAAUCCACCAUGAAGACCUUUCUCAUCCUUUCCCUCCUUGCUAUCGUGGCGACCACUGCCACAACUGCAGUUAGAUUUCCAGUGCCACAAUUGCAGCCGCAAAAUCCAUCUCAGCAACAACCACAAGAGCAAGUUCCGUUGGUGCAACAACUACAAUAUCCAGGGCAACAACAACCAUUUCCACCACAACAGCCAUAUCCGCAGCCGCAACCAUUUCCAUCACAACAACCAUUGCCGCAACCGCAACCAUUUCUGCCACAACUACCAUAUCCGCAGCCACAACCAUUUCCACCACAACAACCAUAUCCACAACCGCAACCACAGUAUCCGCAACCACAACAACCAAUUUCACAGCAACAAGCACAACAAGCACAACAACAACAACAACAACAACAACAACAACAACAACAACAACAACAACAACAAAUCCUUCAACAAAUUCUGCAACAACAACAACUGAUUCCAUGCAGGGAUGUCGUCUUGCAACAACACAACAUAGCGCAUGCAAGCUCACAAGUAUUGCAACAAAGUAGUUACCAACUGUUGCAACAAUUAUGUUGUCAACGUUUGUGGCAGAUCCCCGAGCAGUCGCGGUGCCAAGCCAUCNNNNNNNNNNNNNNNNNNNNNNNNNNNNNNNNNNNNNNNNNNNNNNNNNNNNNNNNNNNNNNNNNNNNNNNNNNNNNNNNNNNNNNNNNNNNNNNNNNNNNNNNNNNNNNNNNNNNNNNNNNNNNNNNNNNNNNNNNNNNNNNNNNNNNNNNNNNNNNNNNNNNNNNNNNNNNNNNNNNNNNNNNNNNNNNNNNNNNNNNNNNNNNNNNNNNNNNNNNNNNNNNNNNNNNNNNNNNNNNNNNNNNNNNNNNNNNNNNNNNNNNNNNNNNNNNNNNNNNNNNNNNNNNNNNNNNNNNNNNNNNNNNNNNNNNNNNNNNNNNNNNNNNNNNNNNNNNNNNNNNNNNNNNNNNNNNNNNNNNNNNNNNNNNNNNNNNNNNNNNNAACAACAACAACAACAACAACAACAACAACCGUCGAGCCAGGUCUCCUACCAGCAGCCUCAGCAACAAUAUCCAUCGGGCCAGGGAUCCUUCCAGCCAUCUCAGCAGAACCCACAGGCCCAGGCCUCUGUCCAGCCUCAACAACUUCCCCAGUUCGAGGAAAUAAGGAAUCUAGCACGGCAGACGCUACCGGCAAUGUGCAAUGUCUACAUCCCUCCAUAUUGCUCGACCACCAUUGCGCCAUCUGGCAUCUUUGGUACUAACUGAGAAGAGAAGAACUUGUACUAGAUAUAUGAAACACCGUUUCCUUAGUCCAUGGUUUGGUCGUUGUAGCGGUGGAAAAAUAAAGUGACAUGCACUAUCAUGUAAGAACCCGAACUAUACUAGUUCAAACUUGGGAAUAAAAGACAAACACAUGUCUUGUCUGCAUAUGAUUGUUUGUUUGAGUUCCAUUCAUGUGCCCGUUCACAAGUUCACCCAUAAUUAUAUAUAUUACAUAAUAAGUAUAUAUUUAUGUUUCAUUAAUCUAAAGAUAACAAAAUGAGUUUGAAACUUGAAUUAAAUUGAAGUAUUUUCUUGGACUUUCAAAUUAAGUAUUAUUAAAGUAGUAAGGACUAUCCACAUCCUUGGCUUGCCCUUGAUCAAUUAUUUCCAGAGAAGCAUUCAAUUCAUCAAUCAAUUACAUUGGUUUUUGUGACUCGUACUUCUCCUCAUCAUGAGUAUCAUUGCGGCUACUCCAAAUCGCCCACAUAACCGAAGCAUUAAUAGCACUCUUCUUGCAUCAAGUAAAUAUGGAUCGAAGAUAUCACUUGACCAUGUUUCCGGGUGCAACCUUGGGAGUUUUAUGUCAAAAUAUUCUCAAGCAGAAUCCAAGAAUAAACUUGCAUGCUCAUGUGUGAUAAGGGCAUAUGAAGUAACAUUUCCUCCCCAUGGCCACACAUAGGGCACACACAUAACCCCAUCACAUGCCUUUUUAGUUAUGCAUAUGAAGGUAGGAUGUUUUUAAUUACUCUCCACCAAAAUACUCUUAACUUGGCUUGUACCCUAAGCUUUCGUUGCCUUUUCAAUUUCUCUUCCCCACUAGACAAACUAGACAGUCCAUCUACCACACCAUACCUUGUGUCCAUCAUGGCUCUGUACAACAAUUGAACAGGACAAAUGUCAUUUCUUUAUGAUACCCACGACCAAGUGUCCUCUGCUCGAUUGUUUGGUCGUGGCAUAUUAAGGAUGACCACCUCAUCUGAUGGGACAAACACCUAACGUAUGAAAGGAGUGUUCCAGUUGCCCAUGUUUUUCAUCUCGAUAAGAUCAGCUACAAGUUGGACCGGAGUUUCUCAUGCACCAUAGUGGUUUCAUCAGCGGCAUGCCCUGCACACAUUUAUCAUGCCAUAUCUUUGUAGUGUGCAUUCCCAAUUUGUCACAACAUACCCUCCUUCAAACCUUUUUGCCUUUCAGAAUAGCACGCCAAGCUAGCGAUGCACUAUGCGGUAACCCACAUUUGAAAAAAAAUAAUCUCAUUUCAUGGUAUCUUCCACGAAGGACCCUCGCACAUGAGUUAUCUAGAUAGAAAUAGCCAUGUAUGUUUAGCAAACUUUGCAUAAGUGAAUAGAUCAAGGUCGUGGAAACCCAAGCCUCCAAUUACACCCAGCCUCUCUACCAACAAGAUGUCCAAAGACAUCAAGGAUACACAAAGCCAAAAAAGAAAAUAAAAAGAGCAGAAGAAAAAAAUACCCUGCCAUGGUGAUCAAUCACUAGAAUCAGAAGCACUCUAACCACCACCGAAGACAACGCCCGAAUUACAAAAAAGGUUCUCCAAAAGCAACGCCCCCAAGAAUGAAACAAUGCACAAGCAUUGUCGUUGCCCGAUCAAAGAUCAUGGGUUUUCACCCUGGAAAAAUUUCGAGUUCACUAUAAAAUAAUGCCUUCAACAAGGCCAUUGCCAAGUACAACCAAUAAGAGCCGGACCUUGGGUUUUCACCCUAGGAAUUGAGACUCGAUACUCGAGGAGUACCACCAAAAGUGUAGUCCGCAAGUGUUGCCGCCCCCGCUUGCCGAGGCCGUUGUUGCAAGUCACCAACCACCUGUCAUACAUUUGUCGUCGCAUCCAAUACACCCUUCCGCUGAAGCUUCAAGACCUCCAACCGCAUCCGCCAUGACUUUCUCCAAGUCUAUGAAUGCCUUGAGAAUCUUGAGUUAGACAUGUCCAAUGACAUAAAUAAGAAAUCGAAGCUUCGUGACACGUCCUCUUGAGGCCGUGUUGCCUGAUAAUAUUAGCGUGCACGACCGGAGCCUUUCCGAUCUAGAUAUCCAGGGGCGACAUACACCAAUCCAUAUAGAUCUCCGCUCGGUAAGACCGGAACUCAUCAACGGCCAGAUCCAAGAGGUCGACAUCCGGUAGAAAGAUGACUUGGCGGAAGAAGAGCAUCAGGGCCAAACCGCCAUUACUAGUCCGAAGCUAAUAGCCCCCACGCCACCCUCCUCUCGAUCCAGACCUGCAGAAAAUGACCAACAACGCCGCGUCGUGCCACUCGCAUCCAUGGAGGCUUGAACUUGGCAAGACGCCAACCAUGGCUGGAGACAGGGACCAGCCACUCCUGGUCGGAUCCGGUGACUCCUAGUCCCACCACUGCCACUACGGCGGCACCGCGUGUAGCCUACAAGCCCAUCCAUGAUGAUGUCUGAUUAGAAGGAUACAUGGAUAUACAGAUGAAAUGGCCCUCGUUAUCCCUCCAACAAUAUAUAUAAAGCUUAUUGGGACAUGAGAAAGCUCGCACAAUUUUAUAGCGGCUAUGGAAAUGUGUUGCCAAAUAGAGAUAUAAGAUUUUCGUUUGGCAUCUAGACCGCUUGUGUCAUCCUUAAUCGAUGACCACUCCAAUUUUUCCGGCGGGCCUUCCCUAUGGUACUGCAGCCUUACAUGUGUAUGGGUUUCAUACUGCUAUUCUGUCCAGUCGGAAAAGGAGACAACCAAAAUUACUUGGAGUUGAUAACUAAUAUGUUUCCUUUAACUACCACGUGCACGACGAGGAUUUACGGCACGCAAGUGCAGGGGCAGGUACUGGUGCCGCCUUUUAUUCUAGCCUCCAAUUUUCAAAUUUCUAUAUCUUUCAAACAAAAAAAUCAACUUAAGUUGUGUUUUCAUAUUCGUGUUUCUUGCCGCCAGCGCUUUGAAAUAAUAUUCAUUUUGAAUAUAUUUUGGCAAUUUUUAAACACAAUGUUAAUUUCCAUUGUUUGAAACUUAGUACGAGCGACCGAUAAUAUUCAAUUAUUUUGUGUCUCUGACCAACAGAAAAAAAUGCUUGAAAUUGCAUCUUUGAAACUUGUUGAAACUGGGCAUUUUCUAAUGCAAAAGCGGUAAGUUUUCAUCGUUGAAACUUAAAGGUUUUUGAUGGAUUUUCUUCUUUACUGUGCCCUACUUCAUGAAUCGUGAGACAAAUCGAGCAGGCGGCAGGGCUUGGCCAGUGAGUGCCCUUGCACUUAGGUGCCCCAGCGAAUUUCCACUUGCAUCGUAGCAUUCUUUUUCCGAGUCCUGCGAACGAACGAUGGUGCAUACAAAAAGUCUAUCCUAUAUGCGUACAUGUGCAUGAUCAAAACAUGUUUCUACGUGCAUCUGCUAUAAAUCUCGACCAUUUUGAACACAAAUCAUGACCAUUAGAAUACAUGAUUAGUGGAUCAUACUAUCGUAACCUAUGUGAGAUCAUGUGGAGUAAUAUAUUAUAGUAUAUAGAUAGAUCUAUGUUGUAUUUUUUUUGUUAGAAAAAUAUUUGUCAUUACAUAUUUAGAUUUAUGCAUCUGUUCUUGCCAAAAAAAUCACUAACAUUUCACAGUGGAAAGUUUGUAAUUAUAUCAUAUUGAACACCAAUGUUUUCCCGCAAAAGAAAAUAAUGCCUAUGCAUAUGCUUUUAUAUUAUUAUUAUUGUUUCAAAUAUAUCCAUAUAUUAUUUUUGGUUGUACAACCAUAAUUUUCUUAUCCCUCUCGUUCCACUAAAUGCUCCUAGUCACUGAAUUAUAUACACCAAAUAAACCCCUUUGCACGUCGUUAAUGACCAAAAAAAGUUGAUGCUGGCUAUGUUCUCUGAUGUCAGCAUGAUAUCAUAUAUAGUGAUUAGCAUGAACGAAUCCCUUUGACUCAUGCGUACUCCCUUCGGAAAGAAAUAUAAGAGCGUUUAGAUAACUAAAGUUGUGAUCUAAACACUCUUAUAUUUCUUUAAAGAGGGAGUAUAAAUUAAGAAGUCCAAGAUAAAGAAAUGCUGGUCCUUGAUUUGUUGUUGACUCUUAUAUUUCUUUAGAGAGGAAGUAUAAAUUAAGAAGUGCAAGAUAAAUAAUGCUGAUCCUUGAUUUGUUUUUGACGUCAGCAUGCCAUCAUUACCUUGUAGUUAUCAUACAAAUUGGAUCUUUCAUACAGAGUUGGAGGCCUGCUCCUUUGAUCCGCACACGCUUAAACACAAAAAGCAUGUAUAUGUUUUGUCUCCGGAUUUCAACUCGUGCUUGGCCAACAAAUAUGGUCUGAUCGGGACAUCGGGUAGAGGAAAAGGCAAGUUUGCUAAUACGCCUGGUGGAAAUGCCUUUGAUUAGGGCAUCUACAACAGCGACCAGUAAAUUUCCACCCGCAAUUUGUUGGAAUUCCGCCUUCAGAAUCGAUUACAUCAGAUACGAGGAACACACGCGCACAAAAAAAUGACAACCAAGGGCCCUUGUCGUGUCCUCUUUUCUCAUUAUUUUCUUGUUUCUCAAAUCACUGUAUUACAAAUCUGAUGCACCGGUGUGCAUAUAUAUGAAUGACCUCACGAGCUAUAGCUAUCUAACCUAAACCGACUCAAACAACUACUCCUGGCGGGACACACGUUGGAACAUAACUAGGACACGGACAGCAUGCAUGCUAAUUCCUAAUACUACACGGCUUGCAAACCGGCCACCCCAAGUACAUCUCAACUUACCUAGUUAAUUAUCCGACCAGCUUGAUCACGAUUACACCAAACUAACUCAGGCAUUGUUUGGAUUAUCCCAACAAUCACCCCUAAUCCAAACAUCCGUCUCUUUAUCCGACGACACACAAGACACGCAGACGACCACCUGUUCAUCUUGUUAGGCUGGCUGCGUCCGGUGACGCAACUUACAACAACAACAACAACAACAAAUCCUUCAACAAAUUCUUCAACAAAUUCUGCAACAACAACAACAACUGAUUCCAUGCAGGGAUGUCGUCUUGAAACAACACAACAUAGCGCAUGCAAGCUCACAAGUAUUGCAACAAAGUAGUUACCAACUAUUGCAACAAUUAUGUUGUCAACGGUUGUGGCAGAUCCCCGAGCAGUCGCGGUGCCAGGCCAUCCACAAUGUCGUCCAUGCUAUUAUUCUGCAACAACAACAACAACAACAACAACAACAACAACAACAACAACAACAACAACAACAACAACAACAACCGUCGAGCCAGAUCUCCCUCCAGCAGCCUCAACAACAGUAUCCAUCAGGCCAGGGCUCCUUCCAGCCAUCUCAGCAAAACCCACAGGCCCAGGGCUCUGUCCAGCCUCAACAACUGCCCCAGUUCGAGGAAAUAAAGAACCUAGCGCUGCAGACGCUACCGGCAAUGUGCAAUUUCUACAUCCCUCCAUAUUGCUCGACCACCAUUGCGCCAUUUGGCAUCUUCGGUACUAACUGAGAAGAUAAGAACUCUAGUACUAGAUAUAUAUGAAACACCGUUUCCUUAGUCCAUGGUUUGGUCGUUGUAGCGGUGAAAAAAUAAAGUGGCAUGCACUAUCAUGUAAGAACCCAAACUAUACUAGUUCAAACUUGGGAAUAAAAGACAAACACAUGUCUUGUCUGCAUAUGAUUGUUUGUUUGAGUUCCAUUCAUGUGCCCGUUCACAAGUUCACCCCUAAUUAUAUAUAUUACA
RNAcentral lists this long non-coding RNA (97643 nucleotides) under Triticum aestivum (bread wheat). RNAcentral's name for it is "long non-coding RNA (TAES_LNC011233)". The record is from RNAcentral. Lineage: Eukaryota; Viridiplantae; Streptophyta; Magnoliopsida; Poales; Poaceae.